RNAcentral lists this long non-coding RNA (116384 nucleotides) under Coffea arabica (coffee). Its description in RNAcentral is "long non-coding RNA (CARA_LNC000640)". Lineage: Eukaryota; Viridiplantae; Streptophyta; Magnoliopsida; Gentianales; Rubiaceae. The record is from RNAcentral.
GAAGACAAAUGUAUCUCUGCCAAGAUGAUGAGAACUUAAAUCAAGUUGACAAGAGGACAGAUGUAUCUCUACCAAAGAAGGGAUCGUGUUAAUCACCUCUAGCCAAUUAGACGCUGUACUAAGGUCCACGCCACUCAUGUCUAGGUGCUCCAGAUUAGAGAGACCAGCCAACCAUUGCAGGUUAUCAACUUGAAGAUCGAACCGAUGGCCUCCUAUGCUUAAAGUGCGUAAACUUGAUAGGUUUCCAAGCUGAUAGGGAACCAUUCCUUGAAAUCCAGCUCCAGAUAAAUCCAGAUACCUUAGACUUCUGAGAGACCAAAAAAACUGGGAAUUGGAAUUCCAAUGAAAUUAUUUUGACUUAGAUCAAGGUAACGCAAGUGAGUCAAAUUUUGUAACGAAUGACUGAUUUUACCGCUUAAUGGUAAGUUAGGAGCAACCAACACCUCAUCACCUUCGGCCACGACAUAAAUUUCAGGAUCAGGACUCUGAAGGUGAAGUUGAAUCACGCGGCCACUUCGGUUGCUACAAACAACUCCUUCCCAUUUGCAGCAAUCAACGUCGUGAAUCCAAGACGAGAGUCUGCCAUGGGGAUCUUUCAAGUCUUUCUUGAAGUCCAUAAGAGCUUGUUUCUCACUUGCAUAGCAAGUUGCAUUUACAGUUUUGCUGGAAGAACAGUGUAAAAUUAUUGCGACGAGUAAGAAAACAGAGAAAUGGGUUGAGCCAUCCAUGAUCAUGUGAAAUGUCGGAAAAAAUACAUUGCAUUCGGCUAUGUUGCAGGUAGAUAUACAGAGCUGGAUGGAAGAAAUGCACCGUUGAUGUGACUAUGAAUGUCAGGCUUGGAAAGCAUAUUUCACUUUUGCUGCGUUUACAUUGACAAGGCAACAAUGGAAGACUCAAGAAUCUGAUUUCGAAAAGAAUUUAUUAUUCGUUUUUUUGCUUCAUCAUUGAGAAAUUUUAACCUCAGAAAUGAUUUGAAACAAUUUACUAAGAAAAUUACAUAAACAUAAAAUUAACAAGUUAAAAUGAGAACUGGGAUUGGGGGAGAGGAAAGUUCUUCUUUUGUCUUUUUUUUUAUUAUAUAGUUUUUGUGUAAAUUACGUUGUUCAAAACCAAAUAUUGCUACGAUAGACAAAAUAUAUUAGGAUUAAUAUUUUUGUGGUAACAGUGCACUAAAAUUAGUAAAGCCAGAAAGUUUUAUAGGAAAGCCAAGGAAUUGCCUUACACUAACACUAAACAGAAUAGCAUAGAGUCGAAUUUCCACAUUUUUCUUUAUACAUUGUUUUUAUUUUUUUUUAUUUCUUGCAUCUAAUUAUAAUCUAUCGUGCUUUCAUUUUGCUUUUAAUAUGCUUUAUUUGCUAUAAUAUCAUUGAUGAUUCGUGCCCACUAAACUUUUGAAUUCGUCACUGAUGCUGAUGCAUAUUUUCAAGGGUAAAUACAUCAACAUAACCUACAUAUAAAGACGAUUAAACAUAAGAAACUUAAUAAUUCUGUUGAUUUAAAUCUACAUAUAAGAUUGUUAUACAAGUCAUUGAAAAUAGUUUAUUGAAACUUUUUAGUAUAGAUGAAAGCCGUCAAAGUUUAUCAAAUAUAUACGUGUCUUUAAAAAAAAAAAUACAAAGAAGAAGACGUCAGGGAAACACCUACAUGCUAGUGAAGAAAAUCAUAUCAAAAUUGUUUUAAAGAAGCCAAAAAUACACUAGAAAUAAUUGGUACUCUUUCACCUUGGCGGCUGACGGGAUGCUGUCUCCUCAAAUUUUCAAGCAAAGACAUAAUACUUCACCGAAGUAAAGAAAUAUCUGAUUGAAGCCUCAGAGAGACUUUUGCUGGGUUACAUUGACAAGUCAACAAUCGAAAACCAUUGAAAAAUCAAGUUUGAUUUCUCAUUUAUGAUUUUAGGCCAUGAUGUAACAGGUCUAGGCAUUAAUUUGAGUGGAAUCUGAUUAGGAUAAGAAUGUAUUCAUUUUUGGCCUGAGUAGUGACAAAUAAAAACUCGACUUUUAAGAAAUCUUCUUGUUCUCAUUCAACUUCUCAAAUUCAAAGUUUUUUUUAAUUAAUCAUCUUGUUCUCAAGCACCGCAGUAAGAACAGUUUUGCUCGGUUCGCAUUUCAAAUUUUCUCCAAUAAUUGUUCCUUUUUUAUUAUGUGGUUUAGAGCUAGAAAUUGGCCCCACAGGUUAAAAUCACUCCAAUAAUAUGCUAGGAUUUAACUCUUAUUGCCAUCACUAAAGCACUCAUUUAGUAAGAUUUUUUUUUUUGUUGCACAAUGUAGUAAAAUUAGUAAAGCCAGAAAAUAUGAAAAAAAAGAAACAUUAAAGUUGCUUUGAUUAUUCUAAUUUUGUAAUUAUUCUUUAAUACAAGUUGUAAUACCAAAACAAUUUAACGCAAUCUCAUCACUUAAGCAUAGACUUUAAGCCUCUUGCCAAAAAAUUCAAGUAUAUUUACUCAUAUAUAUAUGCACACUGUUUUUUCCCUCGGAAUAUUUUGUUUGGAUUGUGAAUUAUUAGAGAUAUUUUUACUGUAGCACUUUUUGUGAUGUGAUGUAUGUGAGAUAAAAAAGUAAUUGGGAAGAUAAAAUGGUGUGUUGGAAAUUGUAAUGAUGAUGUAAGCAAAUAAAUUUUGGUAAAUAAAUUGCAAUCCAAAAUGGAUACCCAAUGUUCGAGGGAUACCCAAAAUUUUGGCAAGUAUUGCGAUUUACUUUUACGAGAAAUUCCAAUUUGGAUACCCAAUGUUCGAGGGAUGGAGACCAAAAUGGUCUCUUUUGCAUACACGUUAAACAAAACAAAUUUAGCAAUCAAAGUUUGGAAGGUGAAAAAAUUUGAUUCAAAUAAUAAUUCUUUUUCUUAAGUAAAUUAAAAAAAAAGGAAAUUUCAGUCUGCACAAUGUUUUCUAAGAAUCGUAGUAAUUUAUUUAUUUAUUUUUUUGCAAUGCAGAAACUUCCAUUUCAAGUUUAGGAUGGAAAAAAUACUGAAAUGGAAAAUAAAAUUGAAAGAAAUUGAUUUCAGUGCACACAUGCACAAAAGCAGUGGAAAGUGCUGAAAAUACUUGAUUUUGGAAGCACAUAUAAUGCUGAUAUGUACCUUAGGCAUAAGUAUAUCAUCACAUCCUAUGUGCAAAGUAGAUUAAACAUAAGAGACAAAAUAUUUUUCUUUCUGAUCUACCUUAUUUUUUGACUAACUUUUCCUCAUUUCUUCAUAUUUUAUAAAUGUUCGUCCAAUGAAAAGUUUGAAGAUAAUUACGUUUAUUAUGAAAGUCUUUGAAUGAGGGGCCGAGUAAUUUUGUUAUUAUUCUAAAGUUGAACUAUUCAUUUGUUCAUUUAUUUGCAAAUUAGGAUUUAGGUUGCAAAGGUGCACAACUUAAUAUUUUGAGGCUAGAAAAAAAAAAUCGGUGAUAUUUUGUGACGACCCCACCUUCCCCUAAGGCGUACCAAAGGGUUCGGCGGACCGCCUGCCCAGCUCUCGCCAGGACUCACUCACUAUCUCAAUCGAGUCAUGUACACACAUCCAUGAACCAUAAAUAAUAUCCGCAAUUCAAGCUUAUAAUUUACAUUGAUAGAAAUCGAGGUACAAAGCCUCAAUACACCAAACUAGUUCAAAAUGUAUACAAUCCAAGUACAACAUGUUCCAUUCAAGGAAUAGCGCGAGUACAAGACCAAAAGUCAAAAGUCAAAACAAAAGGCUACGCUAGUCUUUUACAAGUCUCACGCGUCACUCGUACCCCCUGUAAGGAAAACAAAUAACGUGGUAUGAGCUAAAAGCCCAGUGAGAUUCCAAAUAGUAAAUUGACCAUUAUUUAUAAGUACAAGUUUUCGAUAUAGCAAAGUAACGAGCAUGAAGAGUUCAUAAAUGUGAGCAAUAACACGUCAAGUAGAAAUCUCAAAAUGAGCGAGUGUAAAAGUUUUUCAAAAUCAACAAUAAUCCAAUAAGCAAUAAUCAAUCCAAAGCAUAAGGAUACGGAUGGCCCUCAGGAGCCAACUUCCAUUCAUCAUCAGGAGCUUGAUCACGUAGUAGUUGACACUCCGUCAACUUUCAAGUAAAGGAACCAAUCCAGUAGAGCACCACUUACACGACUCUCCGUCCACCAUUCACACCCCCUACUGGGCCCAAAAUCCUCAAUAAACAUGGGUGGUAAUACUCGAGUAUACCGAUUAGCCGAGGAGGUAUCACUCCACUCGACAAAAUAAGAGACCCAGGGUUCGUUACCCAAUCGACCAAGCCCUUGCCGGCUCGACUAGAGUAACUCGCCACAGGGUUUCUGGAAUUCCAGGAAGUGCGCACAUCAAGUAUAUCAAGUCAAUUGCAAUCAAUAAACAAGUAUAUCACGUAAGGGCAAGUGCGAUAAAGUACACUCUUGCCCUGUCAAUUCACGUAUAUAACAAGUACUCAUAUUGGUCACGUAUCCAGUUCAAGUAUCUAGUGCAAUUCAGUAUUUGAAAGCACUCACCACAAGAUAUAGUGCCUUUACUGGUCACUUUCAGGUUAUACUCCGAGUUCGGAGUCCAAAUCUGCGAUAAAACUCAAUUUGAGAACUUUGAAACAUGACUAGAGUUCGAAACUUAGACGUUUCGUUCAAUAAGAAUCAAGAAAUUGAAAUUCACUUGGACAGUAGUCGUGAAACACUUGCUCGCCUUUUUAAACAGUAAAACUUUGUAAUAUUUAUACUUGAAAUUGUCUUGCGAGUUGAAAGUACAAGGAAAACAUAUUUCGAGCAAUCAUUAUUUCAUUUCUCAAGGGUACAAGUUCGUCCAAGUCCUAACGUAUAACACUCAAGAAACAUAGUGGCCAAGGUUCUCGCUAGUUCAAGUAAUAAGUACUUAACCUUCACUCAAGUUGCUAAUAUAGUUUUCUAGUCCUCGAGUAAAAAUUCGGGCAGCAUGCCCUUUGUGUUUACCUAAUUUUCCAGCCUUUUAGGCUUCAUGGUUUUUCUCAAACACAACCCAACAUUAUACAUAUCAGCAAUUCAUGUCAAGAGCCGUUCCAUAGGCUCACAAUAUCAUAAUAACAAGAAUUAUAACAAUCACAAGUGCAGAAAUUCAACUUAGCACAAGACAGAUUUGACAUACGAAUGCGGAAAUAACAUAUCCAAAGCUACGCUUAUCGGAUUGAGACAAAACCUAUGCCGUUUCGAAGCUAAGACACAGAUCUACAACAUUCAUGAAGGUCACUUAGUCCAGUUCCUAAUGUAACUCAGUCAAAUUCUCAAAUUACUAAACCAGAAACCAAUUCGUCGGCUGUUUAAACGCAGAACACUGUAAUGGACAUAUCUCAGAGUACACAAGUCCGAAUCAGGUGUUCUUAGAGGCAUUUGAAAGCUAAUUCAGAAUACUACAACUUUCAUGUUUUGGUAAAAAGCUAAAUCAGAAUGGAUCCUAGUCGAAAAACGGGAUAAACUGGACUUAACUGAUCACACGGACUGCUUGGGAAAUACUUAAAACAGUAAGGGUAUUUUGGACUUUUCACAUCCUACGUUGCUCUGAUUGAGCUGAAAUUUUGUAGGCACCUAUAAAAUGUCAUUCUCUACAACUUUUCUUCUUUGACCUAAGGCCAAAUCAGCCUCUAACACACAGAUACAAAUUCGGACAGAAUGUAAGCAAGAAUUUCCAGAAAUCUGAAAUCUUUAGUUUUUAGUGGAACUUUCCUAAAUUUCUUGGUCUAAUCACUACCACAACACCUUAUGAAACCUCAAUUGCAACAUAUAAGCAUCUUACAACAAUUUGGGCAGAAUUUCCAUAAGCCCUAGUUCAUCAAAUAAAUUGGGGAAAAACCUCUAAAACAUGCUAAUCAUCCAUGAUUCCACCACUAUAAUCAACUACUAAACUUAAUUUAACAAAAUUAAAACUUAGAGAGAUAAGCUCUCUUACCUUGAAUAGAGAUUACAAAGAGCAGCCCAAGCCUUCCCUUUCCAAACUUUCACCACCAAACACUAACUAACCACUCAAGGACAAGAUUAAUCGGUUUAGUUCUUUGGUUUUCUCACUUUGUAGCUUGAAUCAAGAAGAAAUGAAGAAGUUUUUCUCUUGGUCUUUCCCUCUCUCUCUUAUUUCGGUUAUGGAGCAGAAAAAUGAAGGAAAUGGAGCUUAACUUGUCUUAUAAGGAAGUAAGAAGAUUAAGGCUAAUUGUGUCCACAAUUUUUGGCCAACACUUGGACUAAUCUUGUCCACAAAUUUUUCUCUUUCUUCCCUUACAUUUCUAGCCUUAUAAUUUCGGUCAAACCAGCUGCAAAUUAGGAAGAUAUUUUGUGCAAAAGUCAAUAAGCUUGUUUGGUAAGAAAAAUGGUGGUCAAGCGGUGCGUUCAAUCGGUAGUGCGCGGGACCCGCCGGUUCGCGCCGUUUUUCUUAAAAACUCACGUACUAGGUUUUUUUUUCUUCCCAUUCACUAUCCUUAUAUCAUUGCUACUACUCACACAUUAUUUUUCACUUAAAAGUCACUUUUAAUCCCCAAAUUGAUCCCUGGCCAGUACCGAAAAUUUAUCCAGCGGAAAUCGCGAAAACCCUAAUUUUGCUCAAAUCUUGAAACCGAAGUGUAAAACCCUAUUUUCCAGGUUCAUCUGCACUUAUUGUUGAACAAUUGGGUAGUAGGGCUUUAAUAAAUAAUAAUUUUCAAAUAAAAGGAAAUUUUUAAGAAAACGUGAGGAAUUUUCCAAUUCCAAUGAUUAAAUUUAGGGUUUCAAUCAAAAUGUGAGAGAUUUAAGAGAACCGGUUAGUCACAAGUAAACUAGGGUUUUUGACUAAAAUAUUAGGGUUUCUAGUCUUUUAAAACAAAAUAAGGUUUUAAAUCAAACCCGAAGAAAUAUACUUUAAUAUUUUCUUCACAACCAACCUCCUAAUAUUCGGGAUGUUACAAUCUCCCCUCCUUAAAAGAAUUUCGCCCUCGAAAUUCCAACGGGUACUAAGAGUCGUUCAAAGUCAGUCAGGUACUAGAAAUCACUCCAAUCCCUUCUAUAUGACCUUAUCAUUUAGCAAAAAGCUAAGAAAUAACCAAAUAGAACAUGCAAAAAGGGCUCAAUUCACAUAACUAGCACUGAGUUGAAAGUAAAGUCUCAGAUAUUCGAAAAGCUUAGAACAUGGCUUAGCCUCAAGUCGAAAAUUUCUCAAGUCGAAAAUUUUACCCCUGGCGGUGCUUGGAAACACAACAGGCAAAGCCUCACCAGAGAGUUUUAGUUCAACCGCUACAGAGGAGUAGUAGCUGGUCUACAGUCACACAAAUACGAAUAAGUUCAAAAGCAAGGUCAAAACAGGGUUCAAACAUAUAAGUUCAAAAGUAGAUUCAAUUACUUCAAGUUCAAGAAGCACGGGUACGAAUAGGAACUCACUCGACUAGCCUAUACCCAGCAAUUCACAUUCUCAAACAGUCACCGAAUUCAAAUCCACAUAUAGGUCAUGUUACUCAAGUGUAAAAAUCAAAUCAGGUCCAUUACAUGUACGUAAGAGCACACUCGCCAAAACAAGUUCAAGUCCCAAAUGAGCUCAUUUUAGUCUGUCUCAGACAGUUCAAGUACUGCAAACCCCUUUGAUCAGUCCAAUAACAAGGUUAAAUGUUAGAAUCAUCCACGCUUUAACCUUUUCCAUCAAAACUCACCUCAAGUGCAAUCAAGAUACAGACCUUUAUUGUCGCGCCCCACUUUUCGAUAAGAAAAGUGUUGUGGAGUGGUGGUGUGAGUGUGUGUGAUAUACAUGUGAACGUGUGCGGAAUGAAAAGUAAAAGGCCAUGGGACUUAGAAUGCGACGAUUUGGCCAAGUGAAGUUCAAAAGGGUUUUUUGUAUCAAAAAUGGAGUCGCCACUUGGUAUAGAGUUAGGGUGUACCAAGUCACCCAAAAAGUGUUUUUGUUUUUGAAUAAAAAGUAAAUAAACCCUUUUUGAGAACUUUUGGGUCUGCGUAACUAAAAGAGGGAUCGGGGGUCACAUUUGACGAAGGGGAAGGCAAGGAUAAAAAUCCAAGGCACCCCUUCGACCUAGCCAAGGCUAGUUGCGUGACUUAAGCCAAUUUUCCUAAUUUUUCUACCCAAUGUAUGUUCGCACGUUGGAUAUAACUGAAUGCAAAACGGAAAGAAAAAUGCAAUCCUAGACUCUAAAAUGUCUCUUGUAAGGUUUUUGGUCCCAACCACAUGAGUUGUGGCGGCCAAUGAAGGAAAACCUUAUAGAGGUCGAUUAAUGCAAAUGAUGGCUAAAGUGCAAGUGUGCAUGUGUGCGAAAAGGUGCACGUGUGAAAUUGUAUAAAAAUCCAAGUGUUUGUGUGCAAGUGUAUGAAAAGGUGCAUGUGUGAAAUUGUAUGAAAAAUCCAAGUGUUUGUGUGCAAGUGUAUGAAAUAUAGUGAUAAGUGCAUAUAGGUGUAAUUAAGUGCAAUUUUGUGAAGUAGAAAUCAAAAUGAACAAUAAGGAAAGAAAAAUGUGAAUUGAAAAGGAUGAGUAAGUGAUAAAUGAGAAUGAAUGAACCUAAGGGAAUGCAUCAGGUCGGGUAUGGGAAUGACUCCUAACUUUUCGACUUCGAUUUUCCCUUUGAUUAGAAGGCGAAACUAGCGUGCUAAGGCUAUCGAAUAGCCACACUCGCUCGUUUCCCUUAUCAGAAGGGGACUCUCAGGCAAAUGAACCCUAUAACUAGCAUGAAAUGCAAAAAUCCUAAAAUGAGGGGAAGGGGGAAUCGAGGAGCAUGCCAGAUGAUAAAACUAAGGAAAAAUGCAUGAUAUGUAGUGAACAGGCAAAUAAUGCAUUAAUGAAAAACAAAGGAAAAAUCCUAUUGGGUCUAGCGUUGGACUAGCCCUUUCUAUGAAUUCCUAAUGAAAUAAUGAGCCACAACUAGCAUUGGACUAGUGUGGUGACGUACAUUCAUCCAUCACAUUUAUUCAGGCUAUGGAAAGCGAGUAGACAUGCCAAACACUUAUAAACACAUAGCACAUAACAUUUUGCAUGCUCGACUAGAUGCAAGGCCCUAACAAAGCAAAUUAACACGUAGCAACUAAGCAUGCAAGGCACAUGAGACAAUUAAAGCCCUAACUAUUACAUUUGCUAGCUAGGCACAAGUCUUCGAUAGGUCUUCAUUGAAUGCUCCUCCAAGCCCUAUCUAUUACAAGCCAAGAGGUGUACACAUACCCCAUUAAAAAUAACUUAAAUAAAAAGCAAAAGUAAAUGACAUAAAUAAAAGAAAUUAAAGAAAGGCUAGGAAAGCAAAGUAGACAUGUAUUUCUCACAUAACACGUAGGAGCACGUAGGAAAAAAAAAAACUCAAGAAUAUAGAAGUUACCUCCCUUGCAAUGGAAAUCGAGUAAAUGAGAUAUUAGCUUCAAAACAAUAAAAAGAGUCAAAGCACCAAUUUAUUUAACAAAUAAUCACAAAGGAUAAAAUAAACAUGAAUUUGAAUCAAUUAAAUCAUGUCAACAACCCACAUUUAAGAAGUCAAGAGAAGAAAGGACUUGAUUGCAAAGAUUGGCAAAAUUUUGGGGCCAAAAUUAAAGAAAAUAGAGUCCAAGGACUUAUUUGCAAUUAAAGUAAGGACCGAAUUAAAAGAAGUUAAAAAUGUCUAGGGCCACAGUACAGUUAAGGAGAAAUUCAGGGACUGGUUCGCAAAUGCAUUUUCUGGUUUCUUAGUGGAUCAAGCCACUUGGGCCAUUUCUUAUUUGCUUGGGCCACAACCUUCCAAGCCCAACCAAAGCCCAAAGCAAAACAAGCAAGCCAGCCCAUCUUAAGUCUAAUCAAAAUUCCACUAAAAACGUAUGGGCUUUAUCUCUCAAGCCCAUGUCAACAACCCAGAAAAAUCAAUCAUUAAUCCAUUUGUUAAACCCGAACAAAAGGUCCAGACCCAAACCGAAUUAUAUCUUAUGAGAAGCCCAACAAGAUAAAACCCAACUAAAAAAAUUGCAUUGAACCCCAAAAUUAAUCUAUCCAAAGUCACAUAAAGCCGUAUUAAAGAAGAAAACGUUUGGAGGGACAAAAUUGGUUAAAUUAUUUGAUUCUCUGAUUCAAGACAGAACAAAAGGCAGCUUGAGGGGUUCAAAUGCAACCAAAGCAGGGACUUAAUUGGAGGAAUCAUGAAGACUUUGGGGUCGAAAUUAAAGAAAAGCAACGUCCAGGGGUCAAUUUACAAAUUUCCAGAUUUUUGCAAACAAAUGGUUCACUGAAUCCUUUUUCUUCAACGAAUUUCACCAGAAUUUCAUCUCCUUUUAUUUCAAAAGAAACAAAACUCACACAAACUCAAAUCACGCAACAAAGUCCAUAAGUAAAACAGAAAAUCAAGAACCAAAGGAAAAAAAAUGAAACAAAAUCUAAACCAGAAAUUUCUGUAAAACACUCUUGGCCCUUGGUUCCUCACCAGCGAACUCGCUGGCUAUCUUCUGGCAGGCAUUUGCCAAAAUUUUGUCUCCCUCACACGCAGAUGGGCAAGUCAAUUUGCCCUUAGAGCUUUGUUUUUCAAUUGGGAAAUUUCAUCAAACAUUACAUGGGCGUAAGAAAAAAUCCAGCAGAGCUUUGUUCAAUUGAUGUCAUAAUCAGCCCCAAAACGUCAGAAACCAAAGAAAUUUCAACCCCAAUCAAACCAUACAGCAUACGUAUUCAAAAAUCAUGAACAAACAACCCUCUCACGCCAAUUCAAGAUGGAACGCGAAUUCAGAAAAGGCAAACACAAGCAUAUUAAAAUCCCUCAAAAACAGCCCAUUCGGCCUUAAAAAGCAUUAAACCUGCUGAAAAUCCAUUUUUCUUCACACAUUAAAAAUGCAAAUGAAUUGUCUUCAAAUGGAACGUUCGACUAAACAUUUUAUCGAACAUCAACUGGGCAUCAAAAACAUCACCAAUUCUCAACUUAAUUGAUAUCAUAAUCAGCCCCAAGAUGUCAGAAACACAAGAAAUUUCAAUCCCAAUCAAUACAGAGAGCAAGUAUAUUCAAAAAUGGCGUAUAAUUACAGAAACAUUGCUUGAACAAGUUCACAGAAGAUGAGGUUUGUGAUUUCCAGCUUUGGGCCUUGAAGAAAAACUGAAAUUUAAGGGAAGGAAAAGAUACCUUUUCAGCAAGCACUUUUUCUGAUGAAAUUCUCAGGCGAUGGUGGUAGAUUCUAGCGACGGCAAUGGCAGCUCCGGUUGCGGCUUCUUCCAAAUUCGUCUUUCCUCUGGUUCUUUCGCCUCUGCCCCAAACUCCUCCUCCAAAUUCCAGAUUGCAGCCGCGGCUUACUCUGUUUUCUUUCCUCUGUUUUUUCCAUUAGUUGCCGCCUCUGUUCUUCUUUUCCCUCUUAUUGCUUUCUUUGUUUUUGUUCGCCGAGACCUCCUUCCCAAUUUUUCCAGUUUUUCUUUUUUCAGUUUCUCCCCUGCUAACAGCCGCCAACUGCCUUUUCCUUCAGCCCAGCCAUCCACUCUCUGUUUCUUAGCCGAAACCAUUCCUCCCCUUUUCAUUUGCUUGCCCGACAGUUUUCGCUUUCUUCCCCCAAGUUCGCCGUAGCCCUUUUUCUUUCUUUUUGAUCCCCUCAGCCCUUGCCGAAGACCCCCUCUCUGCUAUUUUUCCUUUUUUCAUUCGGCCAAGCUCUCUGUUUUUUUCUUCAUUUCCUUCGCCGUCUCCUCUCUUUAGUUUUGCCCUGCUUUUCUUUAGCCGCCCCCCUUUUUCCUUUUUUUUCCAAUUCCUUCCAACUUCCCCCCUGUUUCUCUACAGCCGUAUACCCUAGCUCCCUUCUAGAAUCCUCCUUCCAGGUGUCCUAGACACCUGGCCUUUAAAGCUCCAAAUUUCAUCCCAAGGCCUUCCUCCCAUUUCUCUUGCAAGCUGCGGCAAGAAACGCAGCCUUUGCUGCAUACGCGACUCUUUCUCUUUUUUUUUUAUUUUAAACUAAUUAAUUAAAACAAAAAUUGAUAAUAAAAAGAAAUGACAAUUUAAUCGUAAAUAAAAUGUACAAAAUUCGCAACAAAAAGGUGAAAUAAAAAACUAAGAUUUUCCUGUAUUUUCUUUUUCUUUUUUCAUUUUUUUCAUUUUUUUCAAUUUUUCAUUUUUCCUUUUCAUUCUUAAAUAAUGAAACUAAAUCUAAAACAACUAAAACAUAUUUUUUUUUGAACGCUUUUUCUUUUUCCUUUGAGAAAUUCUACGCUAAAACUUAAAAAUAAAAUAACAACAUAAAAACUAAAAAGUGAAUAAAACGAACACAGACUAAAAGAUAAAUAGUAAAUGAAAUUACACCAAAAUUUGGUGUCUAUAGUUUGCCCCUCUUUGUCUGAGUUUUGAAAAAAACUUGAGACAAAGAAGUAGACAUCAAAUACUUACCUGUGUUAUUUGGCUGUGAACGACUCGAACGAUGGGGAUUGACCCCGGACAGGAAAUUAAACGGGACUGACCCGAACAGAAAUUUAAACGGGAUAGACCCGAAACGAAAUGUAAAUGGGAUAGACCCAGACAAAAAUGUAAAUGGGAUAGACCCAUGGGAUAGACCCGAACAGAAAUUUAAAAUAGGGAUAGACCCACGGGAUAGACCCGGACAGAAAUUUAAAAUUGGGAUAGACCCACGGGAUAGACCCGGACAGAAAUGUAAAAUUGGGAUUGACUAGAGAUUGGAAAUUCAAAUCAUGGGACUGGCCCGAACAAGCUUUAAUCACGGGACUGACCCGAAUAAGCUUUGAAUUGUGGGACUGACCCGAAAAUGCUCUUGAUCGUGGGACUGACCCGAAUGAGCUUUUGAUCAUGGGACUGACCCGAAAAUGCUUUUGAUCGUGGGACUGACCCGAAUAAGAUUUUGAUCACGGGACUGACCCGAAAAUGCUUUUGAUCGUGGGACUGACCCGAAAAUGCUUUUGAUCGUGGGACUGACCCGAAAAUGCCUUCGAUCAUGGACUGACCCGGAAAUACUUUCAAUCAUGGGACUGACCCGAAAAUGCCUUCGAUCGUGGGACUGACCCGGAAAUGCUUUCGAUCGUGGGACUGACCCGGAAAUGCUUUUGAUCGUGGGACUGACCCGAAAAUGUUUUUGAUCGUGGGACUGACCCGGAAAUGCUUUUGAUCGUGGGACUGACCCGGAAAUGCUUUUGAUCGUGGGACUGACCCGAAAAUGUUUUUGGUCAUGGGACUGACCCGGAAAUGCUUUUUGAUAAAAUUUUGUCAUGAUAAAGUGAGGUUGGCGGCACGACAUCCAGGCCCAACGUGAUAAAGUGAUGUUGGCGGCACGACAUCCAGGCCCAACGAGAUAAAGUGAAUGGUCAGCGGGAUAAGACCCAGUCCUACCAUCCAAUUGGUCAAGAACUUGAAUUUGAUUUGUCAGGAAUCAAGAAAUUUGAUUUUCCAAGUAACAAAAAUUUGAAUUUGAUUUUUGAUUUUUUGACUUUUGAAUUUUCUGAUUUUUCGAGAGAAUUUUUUCAAAAAAUAAUUUGCCCCAGUGUAGGGCCUUCUCUUUCCCUUCUUUCUUCUCUUUCUUCGGCGUCGGCCUUCCACAUCGCCAGAUGCUCUUUCGUCGAUUUCAACUAUGAAUACCUGCACAGGGGGCUUUCAUGCAUUCAAAUUUUCAUGAAAAGGGCAGCGUGAUUGACUUGAAAAAAUACAUUAUUUGAUUCUUGGACGAAAUCCUCAAUUGGAUUACACAAAUAUUUGCCCCUGUGUGGGCUUAUUUUGUGAAAUCUCAUAAACAAAAAUUUGCCCCAGUAUGGGCCCACUUGACUUCAAAAAUUUUGCUUGGAUGACGCUCCAUUUGUUUGAACAAAGUAAGCAUAGCAUGUGAAGAAAAUUGAAAUGUCUUGCUUAAACUCAUAUAGCAAAAUUCAUGAUGAAUAUUUCCAAGAUAACACCAAAUUCAAGAAGAUUUCUCCCUCACUUUUAGCAUCGGUGCUUUGGGUAGUGGGUGACCCUUUCUUGUUGGCUCAUCUGUCAGGACCAAUCAAGUGACUAUAUUUUUGAUUUGGAAAUGGCUAAAGGAAGAUGGGAGGUCAAGAUUUGUCUCAUUUUGUGCUCAUUCGAUAUCACGUCUUCAUGAAAGCAAAAUAGUUUGUCACCCUUAUAUGCCAAGAAAACUGAGUCAACAUACAAGCUUGACAGGCUUGCAACAAAAUGGGUAGAAACGAUAGCUAAACCGGUGAAAACUGGUUAUACUCCCAUGAUCACAAAUGAUUGAUGGAUUUCUUACGAGCAUAAUCGUCACUUUGGAUUGUCAUGAAGGAAUAAGUCAACGAUGGACUUUAUUAGCUUGUAAUGUGGCUUGAACACGAUAGUUAAAGAAAUAAUUUUCAAGGACAUUGCACCAAAGAUCGCAUUUUUUCCAAAAUUGCCCCUAUUUUUGGACUCCAAGAUCUUGGACUUCGUUUGACUUUUUAUCAUCGCUUAACAGGGUCUUUCAGCAUCAAAUCUUUUUGCAUCUUUCUUUUGCAUUCAUUUCGCUCAUUUUUCCUUUUCCCCAAAAAUGCCCUCGCGGGGUUUCACAUGAAAAGCAGUGUCAACCUCACACCUAAUCAAUUCAGAAUACAGCUAAAAUUUUCCGACAUCAGAAAUUUUCUUGACAGGGCCAUUGCAAAGAACAGAAGUCAGGACUUUUGGCUUUUGUAAUGGGGUCAGGCGGGGUGUUUAGGCAAGUUAAGGCUUGAAGGCAGAUUUCAAAAGCAGUUUGAAAAAUCUGAGAUCGCAUUGUUGCCAACCCUAUUUUAGGGUUAAACCAGAAUUUGCCCCAAUUUAUGCUCAAUUGAGGCUUUUCACUUUCAUUUUCUUUUCUUUUGCCUUUUCGGCUUUUUGCCAUUCUUUGAAAUUUGCCCCAGUUUAUUUUUGAACUGAGGUUCUCUUUUCUUCUUUUGAUUUUGAUUUUGAUUUUGUGACUUUUCACUUUUUGAAAUUUUCUUUUUCAACACAAACUUGCCCCCAGUGUGGGGUUUGCGAUUCUCAGGGGUUGCCAAACGAAAUAUUUUAUUCUGAAGGCUCAAAAAGGAUAGCUAGGGAUAGAAUGUUUGAUUGGAAAAGAAGAUGGCCUGACUUGUAUUCCGUUCCUUACAAUAACUCCGAAAGGAAACUUUCGUUAAUGGGAAAUUUUUGGCAUGUAUCUGAAUUAACUGAUUGAGGAAGACCCUUGUUCAUCCAUAUUUGUGAAACGUUGGCGAUCCACGCGGACAAAUCUCUUCCCUUUCUUUUUUCCCAAAAAUUGAAACCCAGAUAGAUUCAAAUUUCUCCAAUUUGUGAUUCCCUCUUUUCUUUCCUUUUGGCAUUUUUGCUUUUCUCUUUUCUCUCUUUUUUUUUUUCAAAAUUUCCCAAUCUCCUUCCCCAAUGUGGGGUGCGAUCAUAUGUGCACUCGAAAAGAACCACCAAUUUAGCUCAAACGAGGAUGCAAGGGAUGAUCAGUGUUUAGAUUGUAGAAAUGAUGGCCAAAGUAUCAUUCUUACACCUCAUGACAAUCAAAGUAAUGCAAUGCUCAUUAAGAACCCAUUCCCUUUUGAAAGUUUUUCCAAUGUAGGGUAGAGAUCAUUAAGGCACUUAUGUGAAACGAAAUUAUUCUUCCAUAGGCUCAAAUGGAAGAGCAAAUGAUAAAAAUCUGUAUAGGCAGCGAAAAGAAUGCUCAAAGUAUCAUUCCAAAUUUUCAAAACAAAUAAGAAUAACACACAUUUUUGCUUUCACUUAGAUGUGAUUGAACCAGAUUAGACACCUUGAACAUUUUCAAGCAAAAGUUGCCCCAAUUUAUCAGUCAAUGUGACUGACUUUAUUUCGGGAUUAAGUGAAGGAGAAAGGUAUCUCAUGGGCCUUCUGAAUGACCUCUUUCAAAAAAAUUUUUUUUUUUUUGAGCACUCUCAUUGUGUAACUCGGAUCAACAAUCUAGUGUACACAAGGAUUUUUGAAAGCGUACACUUGUGAAUUUUCAGGUUGGAGGUUGAAAAAUCUUAAUUUGGUCUUAUUUGUCAAAAUUCAUCAUGAAAUCUCCAAUGAGUAAGAAUAAAGAAUGAAAUGUACAUAAAUAUACACAAAACAAUAAUUGUCCAAAAAUUUUAUUGCUGAAAAAGUUUGAAACAAAAUUCCUCAUUCAAUUAUGAUACGAAUGAGAAAAGAGAAACUUGUAAAAGGCUCCACAUGUACACUUUUCAUCUCCUUUUCUUUUGACACAAAAAUAUAUUAACAAGUCAAAUAUACAGAAAUUUCUUUGAAAACAAUUAUGAACUCUCUUAGAAACUCUUAGCCUAGAGCUUUCAGAUGGAUCUUUCAGGUUUCCAUUGUUGGAUCUGCCCAAGAAUCAAAUAAUACUUUCCAAACUUUAUCGGAUCAAAAAUUGUUAUCCAAUAUAGGGAAAUAUUUUCAUCUUAUUGCAACAUUUUUAUGAAUGCAGGGGAGGGGGGAAACAAAAGAAAAAUACCCCGAGUUAGUGAACAAGAAUAUAAAAUCGGUAUGCAUGUCCUAUGGGGGAACCCUUUUAUGCCAAGAGUAGGCCUAGCAUGAAAAUGCAAUCCGUUAGAGUAGGCACCAUACUAUACCUGAUGGAUCCAAUCAGCUUAUGGAGUGAAAAAUAAUUUGAAAAAUUUGGCCAUUGGAGUGACGAGAGAUUUGUCAAAAUGAGGACAACGUCCGAAUAGAUUGAUCACCUUUGAUUUGCAAAACGCAUGGGUUUAACCUUGACGAACUCCUAUCGAAGAGAUUGGAAUUCGUUGACAAAUUUCCUCAGUGAAGCAUGAGUCAAAAACCCAACUGAUUAAAUAGUUGGAUAUAAUGGAUGGUUUUCUCAAAAAUUGACUAGAUUUCCCAAUUUGGAAUUUGACAAUGAAACCCUAAUAGGGCGAAUGGAUUGAAUGAAAUUGAUAAUUUAUUUAAAAUCGACCGAAUUACCCUAAAAAGGGAAACAGGUCAAAUGAAUUGAAUGAAAUUUAUCCAAAAUUAAUCAGAUCACCCUAAAAAGGGUAAAUUGAUCAAAUAGAUUGAACGAAAACUUGAUUUAUUCAAAAUCGGCUCGGUUACCCUAAAAAUGGGUAAAUUGGUCAAAUGAACGAAAUUGAAUUAGGGAUUUAUUCAAAAAUCGGCCGAAUAACCCUAAAAAGGGUAAAUUGGUCAAAUGAAUUGACGAUUUAUUCAAAAUCGACGGAAUGACCCAAACAAGGGUAAAUUGGUCAAAUGAAUUGAUGAUUUAUUGAAUGAAUUGGCCAAAUGGACUGGUUGAAAUGUCCAGCCAUUGGUUAUUUCAAAAUUAUUGAGGUGCAUUAGUCUAUGACCUUCUAAAAAUCAAAUUUUGGCCUCAAUUUAUUUAUCGUCUCAAUAGAAGGAAUCAUUUGUGAAUUUUCUUCGAAUUAAUGUCCUUUUACGCAAGGGAAUUUUACCAAUUUUGAGAAAAUGGCCAAAAAGUGAUUAUUAGAUGCUCAUAUUCCAAAAAUUGCUUCAUGAAAAUGAUCGGAUCUUUACCUUACCUUGUGCACUACCCCUUCGGAUGGUACGAGAAAGGUAAACGUGCAAGUCUCAUUUGGAUUAUAUAUCCGAGACAUGGGGUGGUUUAUUCCUAACGCGGGAUCCCCUAAAUGGCAUUCCCUUUCUAGGGUUUAUGCAUGAUGCCAGUUUACUAAAGCAGUAAAACAUGCAAUUUGAAAUGAAAUCAUGAUCUAAAAGGACCUUUUAUACUCCAAGGUAGGCCUAGAAUGAUAUGCAAUUACUAAUCUAUGAAUGCAACACACCAAAAUAUUUAAACGUGCAAUAACCUAUCUAUAAGGGUAGGUUCUAAAAGGAGGUCGUACCAGACCUCUUAUUUGCUAGAGUUUGUGAAUGCGAUGGGGACACAAAACCAAGAAAAGUUAGCUCAGCCAGCUAAAUGCACAUAACACAUUGUAACAACAAGAUAAAGCAAUCAAAGAAAUAAAGCAAUAAAAAGGAAAAAGGGGUUGGACCCCUCCCCUCGUGAAUAGUGUCCCUAAUUUAGGGUAAGGUCGACUCUACCCUAGGCAAUUCUAAUAUGGAUGCAUGAGGUUGGGGUUCGCUAAUGCAUCUAGACUCGAUAAGCUCAGGUCCCCGAGCCUUUAGACUUAGAAAUCAAGGGUCAUCAAUCCCAAGGUUCUUUGUCGGUGGCUCGAGCGAUUCCCCAAACACCGCUACGCACACAUCGUGUCGCGGCUACGUGUUUGAGUGAAUCUAUCAAAACCUCAAUCUUCGACCAAAAGCUAAAGGCUAUCAACCAAUAGCUUUAAGUGGAAGAUUGAGUGACCCAUUGGAACAUGCUACACACACAUCGUGUCGUGAUCACAUGUCCAAAUGAGUCACCUAAUCCUAAUAGGGUAGAGUCGCGUGACAAGCCACUAAAAGAAAAAUAAAGGGAUAAAAGAAGUAAAGCGUAUGCUCGUAUGCUAGUGCUCGUUUGGAGGGGAAGGGUCAAGAACCAACGCGAGGCUCUAGGGUGACCCAUACCUCCCAAAAUGCAAUGCAAGCGCGAGAUAACAAGUAAACAUUCAUUCAAACAUACAUUCGUGAGUCGAGGGAUUUAAUUACGUACAUAAGACAAAAUGUCCUAAAAAUGAAAAAUGCAAUCCUAAUAUCCACAUGCUAUACAUAAAAAGGGUAGAAAAAGGAAACGAAUGGCUAAGUCAAAUGCUCGGACCCACUUAGGAAGUCCCCAGUGGAGUCGCCAACUGUCGCGCCCCACUUUUUGAUAAGAAAAGUGUUGUGGAGUGGUGGUGUGAGUGUGUGUGAUAUACAUGUGAACGUGUGCGGAAUGAAAAGUAAAAGGCCAUGGGACUUAGAAUGCGACGAUUUGGCCAAGUGAAGUUCAAAAGGGUUUUUUGUAUCAAAAAUGGAGUCGCCACUUGGUAUAGAGUUAGGGUGUACCAAGUCACCCAAAAAGUGUUUUUGUUUUUGAAUAAAAAGUAAAUAAACCCUUUUUGAGAACUUUUGGGUCUGCGUAACUAAAAGAGGGAUCGGGGGUCACAUUUGACGAAGGGGAAGGCAAGGAUAAAAAUCCAAGGCACCCCUUCGACCUAGCCAAGGCUAGUUGCGUGACUUAAGCCAAUUUUCCUAAUUUUUCUACCCAAUGUAUGUUCGCACGUUGGAUAUAACUGAAUGCAAAACGGAAAGAAAAAUGCAAUCCUAGACUCUAAAAUGUCUCUUGUAAGGUUUUUGGUCCCAACCACAUGAGUUGUGGCGGCCAAUGAAGGAAAACCUUAUAGAGGUCGAUUAAUGCAAAUGAUGGCUAAAGUGCAAGUGUGCAUGUGUGCGAAAAGGUGCACGUGUGAAAUUGUAUAAAAAUCCAAGUGUUUGUGUGCAAGUGUAUGAAAAGGUGCAUGUGUGAAAUUGUAUGAAAAAUCCAAGUGUUUGUGUGCAAGUGUAUGAAAUAUAGUGAUAAGUGCAUAUAGGUGUAAUUAAGUGCAAUUUUGUGAAGUAGAAAUCAAAAUGAACAAUAAGGAAAGAAAAAUGUGAAUUGAAAAGGAUGAGUAAGUGAUAAAUGAGAAUGAAUGAACCUAAGGGAAUGCAUCAGGUCGGGUAUGGGAAUGACUCCUAACUUUUCGACUUCGAUUUUCCCUUUGAUUAGAAGGCGAAACUAGCGUGCUAAGGCUAUCGAAUAGCCACACUCGCUCGUUUCCCUUAUCAGAAGGGGACUCUCAGGCAAAUGAACCCUAUAACUAGCAUGAAUGCAAAAAAUCCUAAAAAUGAGGGGAAGGGGGAAUCGAGGAGCAUGCCAGAUGAUAAAACUAAGGAAAAAUGCAUGAUAUGUAGUGAACAGGCAAAUAAUGCAUUAAUGAAAAACAAAGGAAAAAUCCUAUUGGGUCUAGCGUUGGACUAGCCCUUUCUAUGAAUUCCUAAUGAAAUAAUGAGCCACAACUAGCAUUGGACUAGUGUGGUGACGUACAUUCAUCCAUCACAUUUAUUCAGGCUAUGGAAAGCGAGUAGACAUGCCAAACACUUAUAAACACAUAGCACAUAACAUUUUGCAUGCUCGACUAGAUGCAAGGCCCUAACAAAGCAAAUUAACACGUAGCAACUAAGCAUGCAAGGCACAUGAGACAAUUAAAGCCCUAACUAUUACAUUUGCUAGCUAGGCACAAGUCUUCGAUAGGUCUUCAUUGAAUGCUCCUCCAAGCCCUAUCUAUUACAAGCCAAGAGGUGUACACAUACCCCAUUAAAAAUAACUUAAAUAAAAAGCAAAAGUAAAUGACAUAAAUAAAAGAAAUUAAAGAAAGGCUAGGAAAGCAAAGUAGACAUGUAUUUCUCACAUAACACGUAGGAGCACGUAGGAAAAAAAAAAACUCAAGAAUAUAGAAGUUACCUCCCUUGCAAUGGAAAUCGAGUAAAUGAGAUAUUAGCUUCAAAACAAUAAAAAGAGUCAAAGCACCAAUUUAUUUAACAAAUAAUCACAAAGGAUAAAAUAAACAUGAAUUUGAAUCAAUUAAAUCAUGUCAACAACCCACAUUUAAGAAGUCAAGAGAAGAAAGGACUUGAUUGCAAAGAUUGGCAAAAUUUUGGGGCCAAAAUUAAAGAAAAUAGAGUCCAAGGACUUAUUUGCAAUUAAAGUAAGGACCGAAUUAAAAGAAGUUAAAAAUGUCUAGGGCCACAGUACAGUUAAGGAGAAAUUCAGGGACUGGUUCGCAAAUGCAUUUUCUGGUUUCUUAGUGGAUCAAGCCACUUGGGCCAUUUCUUAUUUGCUUGGGCCACAACCUUCCAAGCCCAACCAAAGCCCAAAGCAAAACAAGCAAGCCAGCCCAUCUUAAGUCUAAUCAAAAUUCCACUAAAAACGUAUGGGCUUUAUCUCUCAAGCCCAUGUCAACAACCCAGAAAAAUCAAUCAUUAAUCCAUUUGUUAAACCCGAACAAAAGGUCCAGACCCAAACCGAAUUAUAUCUUAUGAGAAGCCCAACAAGAUAAAACCCAACUAAAAAAAUUGCAUUGAACCCCAAAAUUAAUCUAUCCAAAGUCACAUAAAGCCGUAUUAAAGAAGAAAACGUUUGGAGGGACAAAAUUGGUUAAAUUAUUUGAUUCUCUGAUUCAAGACAGAACAAAAGGCAGCUUGAGGGGUUCAAAUGCAACCAAAGCAGGGACUUAAUUGGAGGAAUCAUGAAGACUUUGGGGUCGAAAUUAAAGAAAAGCAACGUCCAGGGGUCAAUUUACAAAUUUCCAGAUUUUUGCAAACAAAUGGUUCACUGAAUCCUUUUUCUUCAACGAAUUUCACCAGAAUUCCAUCUCCUUUUAUUUCAAAAGAAACAAAACUCACACAAACUCAAAUCACGCAACAAAGUCCAUAAGUAAAACAGAAAAUCAAGAACCAAAGGAAAAAAAAUGAAACAAAAUCUAAACCAGAAAUUUCUGUAAAACACUCUUGGCCCUUGGUUCCUCACCAGCGAACUCGCUGGCUAUCUUCUGGCAGGCAUUUGCCAAAAUUUUGUCUCCCUCACACGCAGAUGGGCAAGUCAAUUUGCCCUUAGAGCUUUGUUUUUCAAUUGGGAAAUUUCAUCAAACAUUACAUGGGCGUAAGAAAAAAUCCAGCAGAGCUUUGUUCAAUUGAUGUCAUAAUCAGCCCCAAAACGUCAGAAACCAAAGAAAUUUCAACCCCAAUCAAACCAUACAGUAUACGUAUUCAAAAAUCAUGAACAAACAACCCUCUCACGCCAAUUCAAGAUGGAACGCGAAUUCAGAAAAGGCAAACACAAGCAUAUUAAAAUCCCUCAAAAACAGCCCAUUCGGCCUUAAAAAGCAUUAAACCUGCUGAAAAUCCAUUUUUCUUCACACAUUAAAAAUGCAAAUGAAUUGUCUUCAAAUGGAACGUUCGACUAAACAUUUUAUCGAACAUCAACUGGGCAUCAAAAACAUCACCAAUUCUCAACUUAAUUGAUAUCAUAAUCAGCCCCAAGAUGUCAGAAACACAAGAAAUUUCAAUCCCAAUCAAUACAGAGAGCAAGUAUAUUCAAAAAUGGCGUAUAAUUACAGAAACAUUGCUUGAACAAGUUCACAGAAGAUGAGGUUUGUGAUUUCCAGCUUUGGGCCUUGAAGAAAAACUGAAAUUUAAGGGAAGGAAAAGAUACCUUUUCAGCAAGCACUUUUUCUGAUGAAAUUCUCAGGCGAUGGUGGUAGAUUCUAGCGACGGCAAUGGCAGCUCCGGUUGCGGCUUCUUCCAAAUUCGUCUUUCCUCUGGUUCUUUCGCCUCUGCCCCAAACUCCUCCUCCAAAUUCCAGAUUGCAGCCGCGGCUUACUCUGUUUUCUUUCCUCUGUUUUUUCCAUUAGUUGCCGCCUCUGUUCUUCUUUUCCCUCUUAUUGCUUUCUUUGUUUUUGUUCGCCGAGACCUCCUUCCCAAUUUUUCCAGUUUUUCUUUUUUCAGUUUCUCCCCUGCUAACAGCCGCCAACUGCCUUUUCCUUCAGCCCAGCCAUCCACUCUCUGUUUCUUAGCCGAAACCAUUCCUCCCCUUUUCAUUUGCUUGCCCGACAGUUUUCGCUUUCUUCCCCCAAGUUCGCCGUAGCCCUUUUUCUUUCUUUUUGAUCCCCUCAGCCCUUGCCGAAGACCCCCUCUCUGCUAUUUUUCCUUUUUUCAUUCGGCCAAGCUCUCUGUUUUUUUCUUCAUUUCCUUCGCCGUCUCCUCUCUUUAGUUUUGCCCUGCUUUUCUUUAGCCGCCCCCCUUUUUCCUUUUUUUUCCAAUUCCUUCCAACUUCCCCCCUGUUUCUCUACAGCCGUAUACCCUAGCUCCCUUCUAGAAUCCUCCUUCCAGGUGUCCUAGACACCUGGCCUUUAAAGCUCCAAAUUUCAUCCCAAGGCCUUCCUCCCAUUUCUCUUGCAAGCUGCGGCAAGAAACGCAGCCUUUGCUGCAUACGCGACUCUUUCUCUUUUUUUUAUUUUAAACUAAUUAAUUAAAACAAAAAUUGAUAAUAAAAAGAAAUGACAAUUUAAUCGUAAAUAAAAUGUACAAAAUUCGCAACAAAAAGGUGAAAUAAAAAACUAAGAUUUUCCUGUAUUUUCUUUUUCUUUUUUCAUUUUUUUCAAUUUUUCAUUUUUCCUUUUCAUUCUUAAAUAAUGAAACUAAAUCUAAAACAACUAAAACAUAUUUUUUUUUGAACGCUUUUUCUUUCUCCUUUGAGAAAUUCUACGCUAAAACUUAAAAAUAAAAUAACAACAUAAAAACUAAAAAGUGAAUAAAACGAACACAGACUAAAAGAUAAAUAGUAAAUGAAAUUACACCAAAAUUUGGUGUCUACACUUAUUCUAACGCUCUUCACUAUAUGAUACCCAAGUACAAGAACCCACAAUAAGACAAUUCACAACUCGAGCCGGCCGGUCCCAAAAGUAAAUCAUCCAUAUUAGAGAUUCCUACCUGGCAUAAUUAACUAAGGUCUCCAACAAUAGACAAUUGUUUCACACUUAACAAGUCAAUCCCCACAGUCCGAGAACCCUCUCCCGGCACGAGCUCAAUAGGAGCUCUGAUACCAUCUGUGACGACCCCACCUUCCCCUAAGGCGUACCAAAGGGUUCGGCGGACCGCCUGCCCAACUCUCGCCAGGACUCACUCACUAUCUCAAUCGAGUCAUGUACACACAUCCAUGAACCAUAAAUAAUAUCCGCAAUUCAAGCUUAUAAUUUACAUUGAUAGAAAUCGAGGUACAAAGCCUCAAUACACCAAACUAGUUCAAAAUGUAUACAAUCCAAGUACAACAUGUUCCAUUCAAGGAAUAGCGCGAGUACAAGACCAAAAGUCAAAAGUCAAAACAAAAGGCUACGCUAGUCUUUUACAAGUCUCACGCGUCACUCGUACCCCCUGUAAGGAAAACAAAUAACGUGGUAUGAGCUAAAAGCCCAGUGAGAUUCCAAAUAGUAAAUUGACCAUUAUUUAUAAGUACAAGUUUUCGAUAUAGCAAAGUAACGAGCAUGAAGAGUUCAUAAAUGUGAGCAAUAACACGUCAAGUAGAAAUCUCAAAAUGAGCGAGUGUAAAAGUUUUUCAAAAUCAACAAUAAUCCAAUAAGCAAUAAUCAAUCCAAAGCAUAAGGAUACGGAUGGCCCUCAGGAGCCAACUUCCAUUCAUCAUCAGGAGCUUGAUCACGUAGUAGUUGACACUCCGUCAACUUUCAAGUAAAGGAACCAAUCCAGUAGAGCACCACUUACAUGACUCUCCGUCCACCAUUCACACCCCCUACUGGGCCCAAAAUCCUCAAUAAACAUGGGUGGUAAUACUCGAGUAUACCGAUUAGCCGAGGAGCUAUCACUCCACUCGACAAAAUAAGAGACCCAGGGUUCGUUACCCAAUCGACCAAGCCCUUGCCGGCUCGACUAGAGUAACUCGCCACAGGGUUUCUGGAAUUCCAGGAAGUGCGCACAUCAAGUAUAUCAAGUCAAUUGCAAUCAAUAAACAAGUAUAUCACGUAAGGGCAAGUGCGAUAAAGUACACUCUUGCCCUGUCAAUUCACGUAUAUAACAAGUACUCAUAUUGGUCACGUAUCCAGUUCAAGUAUCUAGUGCAAUUCAGUAUUUGAAAGCACUCACCACAAGAUAUAGUGCCUUUACUGGUUCGGAGUCCAAAUCUGCGAUAAAACUCAAUUUGAGAACUUUGAAACAUGACUAAAGUUCGAAACUUAGACGUUUCGUUCAAUAAGAAUCAAGAAAUUGAAAUUCACUUGGACAGUAGUCGUGAAACACUUGCUCGCCUUUUUAAACAGUAAAACUUUGUAAUAUUUAUACUUGAAAUUGUCUUGCGAGUUGAAAGUACAAGGAAAACAUACUUCGAGCAAUCAUUAUUUCAUUUCUCAAGGGUACAAGUUCGUCCAAGUCCUAACGUAUAACACUCAAGAAACAUAGUGGCCAAGGUUCUCGCUAGUUCAAGUAAUAAGUACUUAACCUUCACUCAAGUCGCUAAUAUAGUUUUCUAGUCCUCGAGUAAAAAUUCGGGCAGCAUGCCCUUUGUGUUUACCUAAUUUUCCAGCCUUUUAGGCUUCAUUGUUUUUCUCAAACACAACCCAACAUUAUACAUAUCAGCAAUUCAUGUCAAGAGCCGUUCCAUAGGCUCACAAUAUCAUAAUAACAAGAAUCGUAUUAAGUACAAGUGCAGAAAUUCAAUUUAGUUCAAAACAGAUUUGACGUACAAAUGCGGAAAUAACAUAUCCGAGGUUACGCUUAUCGGAUUAAAACGAAACCUAUGCCGUUUCGAAGCUAAGACACAGAGCUACAACAUUCAUGAAGGUCACUUAGUCCAGUUCCUAAUGUAACUCAGUCAAAUUCUCGAAUUACUAAACCAGAAACCAAUUCGUCGGCUGUUUAAACGCAGAACACUGUAAUGGUCAUAACUCAGUGUACAAAAGUCCAAUUCAGGUGUUCUUUGAGGCAUUUAAAGCUACUUCAGAACACUACAACUUUCAUGUUUUGGCCAGAGUAAAUCAGUAUGACUCCUAGUCAAAAAACGUGAUAAACUGGACUUAACUGAUGAAACGGACUGCUGGGAAAUAUUUAAAAUAGUAAGGGUAUUUUGGACUUUUCACAUCCUACGUUGCUCUGAUUGAGCUGAAAUUUUGUAGGCACCUAUAAAAUGUCAUUCUCUACAACUUUUCUUCUUUGACCUAAGGCCAAAUCAGCCUCUAACACACAGAUACAAAUUCGGACAGAAUGUAAGCAAGAAUUUCCAGAAAUCUGAAAUCUUUAGUUUUUAGUGGAACUUUCCUAAAUUUCUUGGUCUAAUCACUACCACAACACCUUAUGAAACCUCAAUUGCAACAUAUAAGCAUCUUACAACAAUUUGGACAGAAUUUCCAUAAGCCCUAGUUCAUCAAAUAAAUUGGGGAAAAACCUCUAAAACAUGCUAAUCAUCCAUGAUUCCACCACUAUAAUCAAACUACUAAACUUAAUUUAACAAAAUUGAAAGCAAAACUUAGAGAGAUAAGCUCUCUUACCUUGAAUAGAGGUUACAAAGAGCAGCCCAAGCCUUCCCUUUCCAAACUUUCACCACCAAACACUAACUAACCACUCAAGGACAAGAUUAAUCGGUUUAGUUCUUUGGAUUUCUCACUUUGUAGCUUGAAUCAAGAAGAAAUGAAGAAGUUUUUCUCUUGGUCUUUCCCUCUCUCUCUUAUUUCGGUUAUGGAGCAAAAAAAUGAAGGAAAUGGAGCUUAACUUGUCUUAUAAGGAAGUAAGAAGAUUAAGGCUAAUUGUGUCCACAAUUUUUGGCCAGCACUUGGACUAAUCUUGUCCACAAAUUUUUCUCUUUCUUCCCUUACAUUUCUAGCCUUAUAAUUUCGGUCAAACCAGCUGCAAAUUAGGAAGAUAUUUUGUGCAAAAGUCAAUAAGCUUGUUUGGUAAGAAAAAUGGUGGUCAAGCGGUGCGUUCAAACGGUAGUGCGCGGGACCCGCCGGUUCGCGCCGUUUUCUUAAAACUCACGUACUAGGGUUUUUACUUCCCAUUCACUAACCUUAUAUCAUUGCUACUACUCACAUAUUAUUUCUCACUUAAAAGUCACUUUUAAUCACCCAAUUUGGUCCUUGCUCCGUACCGAAAAUUCAUCCGGCGGAAAAUCGCGAAAACCCUAAUUUUGCUCAAAUCUUGAAACCGAAGUGUAAAAUCCUAUUUUCCAGGUUCAUCUGCACUUAUUGUUGAACAAUUGGGUAGUAGGGCUUUAAUAAAUAAUAAUUUUCAAAUAAAAGGAAAUUUUUAAGAAAACGUGAGGAAUUUUCCAAUUCCAAUGAUUAAAUUUAGGGUUUCAAUCAAAAUGUGAGAGAUUUAAGAGAACCGGUUAGUCACAAGUAAACUAGGGUUUUUGACUAAAAUAUUAGGGUUUCUAGUCUUUUAAAACAAAAUAAGGUUUUAAAUCAACCCGAAAAAAUAUACUUUAAUAUUUUCUUCACAAACAACCUCCUAAUAUUCGGGAUGUUACAUAUUUACACUACGUCCUUCCCCUAUUCAAAUUGACGGCUAAUAGGGUACUGUAUUGACAAAGGACCUCAAAUUUUCCAGCAGACACAAAAGGACCGAGACCUCAAGAUCUCAGAUUUUCUGGCAAAUAAAGAGACUUCACUAAACUGGAGAACUAUUUGAUUUAAAGUCUUUACGUGUGGAAUACGUGCAAAUUUUAUUCGUAGUCAUGAUCUGGACUGUGACAAAUAUGUGAAAUUAGACAAAGUUGGUGGGAAUGCUUUGACUUUUUCAUGCAUAAUUAUAUCUUAUUACUUCUUCUAUUUCUUAUUUCAUCUCUUUUGACACUUUUCUUAUGCUAAACUUGUUUGGCUUUAGGUCUUUAUGAAAUUUAAAAAGGAAAUUUAGUCAGAGGAGUGAACAUUUUAAAAAUUUGAAGGGGAACAAUGUGGUUAUGGAAGGGAUUAUACAAAGUUGAGGAGGGGCAAAUAAGGUGCAAAAUGAAAACAUAUUGUAAAAUAUUACCACCCUGAAUUUUUAAAAUAUAUAUUUUUCCCACUCAAAUGAAUUAUGUUUAUGCUUUUACUUUUGAACAACCUAUGUGCAUAUUUUUCUUCCUAGAUUACCCCCAAUUUUUCAAGUUUCUCAACGGUCAACUUUUAGAUUGUUGCAUUUUCUUCUUAUGUUUUCAUCAAAAUAUUCUGUUAUUGUGUGCUAUGAUGUUAGAUUAUAAUAUAAAUUAAAUAAAAAACUCCCCCUACCUCAGCCUUUUUCCCACCCCAUCCCACUUUCUUAGGAGUGCUCCCAUAGUGAACAUUACUAUUUUUUAUUUGACCUAAUUUUUUUUAAAAAAUGUAUAUAUAGCACCAAUAAAAAUCGCAAUUAUCAAUCUUUUGAAUUAGCCAAAAAUUCAAUGUUAAUUAUCACAUUUGAUACUAUGCGAAAUCUAAAUCAAUACCCAUUAAGUUUUUUACAAACAAUAUAUAACAUGUGACAAAUAAAAGUCAAAUAAAUUAAUAUAACAAAAUCUUAAUUUUGCCACAAACAUAAUAAAUGCCAAGAAAUGAUAUAUUAUUUUAUCACAAUAAAAUACCAUAUUGUUUAUUUUAAAUUUGACUUUUCAUAUACAUAUUAGUACUACACUACAUAAAUUCACUUAGAAUAAUUCACUUUUGCUCCGUUACAUUGACAAGUAAACAAUGAAAAAAAAAAUGGAAAGCUAUUGAAAACCCAAGUCGUGCUUCUCAUUUAUGAUUUGAUGUUACAUUGACAAGGAAACAACGGGAAAAAAGAAUGGAAGGAUACCUUUAUGGUGGGAACCUGCCUAUGAUAGGGAGACGGAGACGUUAAAUUGUUGUACAAUGCGUGGAGAGGAUAUAUACGAGAACCAUCUGCGGAUGCAACCAAAAAGCACAUUGACUUUCGUACGAGUUGGGGCAGGAAGUGUUUUUGCAUGUUAAAACCAGAGGCAUUUAUGUAUUUGUAAAUGUACCCAUUACGACUGGAAAAAUGUUGCAAAUGCCUUGGACAAAAAAUGUGCAUAAAGAAGGUACCGAAAUUUUAAGAAAUAAUAAAUGAUUAUCCCACACGCGUGGGGGAUAAUAAUUUGGAAAAAGGAAAAGUGGAGGUAAACGAAAGGAUUCAAGCCUUCAUUAUAUUUAUAUACAUAUACAAAUUUAGUGACCAAGUGUUCAGCUUAAGCAUCCGGGAAAAUGGUCCCAUGACUAUCGUUAUGGUAAAAAACUUAUUAUAAUCGGUUAUAAUAAAUUUAGCAAGCAUUUGAUUACCUGUUGGACUUAUCCACUUGAAUAGGAUUAUGCGUAAAAAUAAGGAAGUAAGUUUGUCAUCUAAAAUAGUAAGUUAACGUAAUAAACUAGUAAUUUUUGCAGCCCAAAACGUGAAUUGAAAGUAUUACGAAACAUACUUUUUAAAGAGAUAAAUUACAAUUUUUAUCCUCAAUAUACUUUUGAGGGAGUAAGUUUAUUUGAAGUAAUAGUAUGUUUUUAUACAUAAAUAAUCAUUUUUACUUAUAACAUAGUAAAUUUGAUUAAUGACAAAAACAUACUAAUUUAUGGCAAAAAUUCUCUAUUAUGCUUAAAAAACUUAUGCCAAGCCCAUAUUUUAUUGUUAUUUAAAAUAACACUAAAAUGUUUUAUUAAUGAUUAAAACUGAGUACCUUACUUAGUAAGUAAUGUUAAUAUACUUGUAUAAAUACUUGAUCGUAUGUGAAAAAAUUAGUAUUUUUGAAAUUUAUACAUAAUUAAAUUUUUUCUGUUGCAGUUUAAAAAAAAAGUAAGCGAAAUUUUUUUUUGCGCAAAGCACCAAAAUUCACAAGUCAAAAUAGUUGGUCUGAAAGGGAAAGAUACAGCUGAAUAGCAUUGUUUAAAGUACCAAAUAAAUAGAUGUAAAAUGCUGGUUAAAAACUGGUAGUUAGACAUAUAACAAAGGAAAGUCAUAAAAAUCAGGCCAUUUAUGGAAAAAGUUUUCAUUAAUAAAAAUUCCAGCUCUUCACGGCUUUCUUACCAGUCCUCCAAAGCAUGAGCAAAGUGCCAAUAUUUGAAAUAGUAAUCUUUUCGAUUUAUACAAAAUUAAUUUAUUUUUUACAAAUUAAAAAAAUAAUUGAAAUUUUUUAUCAGAAAGCAAAUAAGUCAAAAGGUUGGUCUAAAAGGGAAAGGAAUAGCAGAUAUGUACAGUACUUGUAUUUCAUGUUCGAAGGACUACAGUGUUGUUUUUUACAAUACCCCGAAAAAUAUGCAAUGCAAACGGAACCGAUUCUUCAUUAUUUAAAAUACCAAAUCUGUGAUUGUGUUUUAACUGUUAUCCAUUGGUAUUCUAAAGUAUCAUUUUUUCAUCCAAUACCACCUCUUUAACACUCGUUUCCCCUUAAAAAAAUUAUUUAUUGGAUGAAAAAAAUAAACCUUUUAUGCAAUAAAACAUUAACUCUUUAUGUCUUUCCUCCAUUAUAAGAACAAAGUACUCAUUUUUCCCUAAAAAAUUAAUGGAUAAAAUAAAAUAAAAUAAAAUAAAAAAUCGAUUUUAGGUUAAAACACUAGCUCUUUAUGACUUUUCUCCAUUAUAAGAGCACAGUACCCAUUUUCCUCAUCAAAAAUUUUAUUUAUCGGAUAAAAUAAAAAUAAACCCAUUUUCCCAUAAAACACCAGCUCUUUAUGACAUUUCUCCAUUAUAAGAAUAAAGUAACCAUUUUCUCACAAAAAUUUAUUUAUCACCUAAACUUAAAAUAAACCCAUUUUUUAAUAAAAUACUAACUCUUUAGCACUUUCCUCCAUUAUAAGAAUACAGUACCGAUUUUUGCAUAAACAAAAUUUAUUUAUUGACUAAACUAAAAUGAAAUCCGUUUUCCAAUAAAACACUAACUCUUCUUUAUAACUUUUCUCCAUUAUAAGAACAAAGUACCCAUUUUGUCAUUAAAAAAUUUAUUUAUCGGCUAAACUAAAAAUAAACUCAUUUUUCAAUAAAAUACUACCUCUUUAUCAUGUUCCCCUGUUAUAAGAACACAGUACCCAUUUUUGCAUAUAAAAAUUUUAUUUAUCGGAUAAGAUAAAAUUAAUUCUGUUUUCCAAUAAAACACUAGCUUUAUGGCUUUCCUCCAUUAUGAGAAUAGAGUACCCAUUUUUCAUAAACAAAUUUAUUUAUUGGAUAAAAUAAAAAUAAUUCAGUUUUUCAAUAAAGGACCAGCUACUUGUGGCUUUCCUCCAUAAAUUAUCUAUUUUCAUACGUUAAUUUUUUAGUUAGAUAAAAUCAGAAUGAAAUUAGGUUGAACAAUAAAUUACCCUUUACAAUGAAAUUGAAAUACAGAAAAGUAACCCAUAGCAAGUUUUAACUCCAUUUCCAAUACAAAAAUAUGCUACAAAUUCUUUUGGCAACCGCAAGACACCUCAUUCAUAAAGUCUCAAGAAAACUUUCCAACCAUUAUGCAAAAGCAACUUAUUCAUUCUAAAUUUUUAGCAUUAAUUUGAUUAUCAAUUGGACGUAUCCACCUAAAUAGGAUAAUAUGUAUUUUCUGGGACACAAGACAUAAUAGGAAUUAAACUUGCAUUAAUGUAGACCUAACAAAAUGAGAGAAAUAGCAUAACAAUUAAUACAAUAAUAAGAAUAACAGAGUUGGUAUAACAAAAUUAGUUUAGUCUACAAAUUUAUUUUUUUCUGCAGAUAGUUUGCGAAUAUGACAUUCAACCACCAAAAAAAAGACAUCUAUAUCUGUCUAUAUGUAUUGCAGAGAGAAUUUUAGAUAAGGAGCUUUUCAAAUUGUCAAAAGUUCGAAUACUAUUUUAUUACAAUUUUACAUUUCUAAAAUUAAGAAAUGUUUAUCUCACAACUAAUCCUUUAAUUGCUCGUACAAAUCCUAUAAUCAUGCUCAUGUUUUUCCCACAUUUCCCUCACAUUUUCCCCACUAACCAAUAAAAUUAAAACUCCCGAAUUUUAACUAACAGAUAAUAACCAAGCAUGUCAAAUUAAUAUCUGCAAAUUCCAAUUAACAUCUCACAUUUACUGCUGACUUUACUGAUAGUAUUAACUAACAGUUAUUACUGACAUUCACAACUCACACUUACCACAUUACUCAUAAUAAUAACUAACUGUUAAUUUAAGAUAUUCGCAACAGUGAAAGUCACAUAUCCAAAAUUUAGGAGCAUGUAGAAAUAAUAAUUUUCACAAUUCAAUGUAUUUUAUUGCCAUAAUAUAGUUUACUCUCAGAAUCAUUCACAAAACUGCUGCACACUAAUCCAAUUGACCCAUUUAAUUUGCCAUCAUAUAAAUUCAAUACAGUGAAAAAAUUAUGUAUUAUACAUUUUUUCACUAAGGAUAAAUCUCAGUUACAAACAUUUCAAUCAGUGACAAAGCCAAGAUUUUUUCUCUAGAGAGGCUAAAAUGGAUACUCAGUUUUUAUAAUGGAGAAAAGUCAUAAAGAGUUAGUGUUUUAUUGAACAAUGGAUUUAUUUUAAUUUCAUCCGAUAAAUGGAUUUGUUUAUGCAAAAAUGGGUACUCUGUUCUUAUAAUGGCAGAAAGCCAUAAAGAGCUAGUGUUUUAUUGAAAAAUCGAAUUUUCAUGUAUUUUAUCCGACAAAUAAAUUGAUUUAUGGGGAAAUUGGUGUUAAAGAGGUGGAAUUUUUGUAGAGGGGCUGAAAUGGGUACUCUGUUUUUAUAUUGGAGGAAAGGCAUAAAGAGUUAGUGUUUUAUUGAACAAUGGAUUUAUUUUUAUUUCAUCCGAUAAAUAAAUUUGUUUAUGCAAAAAUGGGUACUCUGUUCUUAUAAUGGAGGAAAGCCAUAAACAACUACUGUUUUAUUGAAAACCGAAUAUCAUGUAUUUUAUCCGAUAAAUGAAUUGGUUUAUGGGAAAAUUAGUGUUAAAGAGAUGAAAUUUGAUGGGAAAAUGAUACUUUAUGAUACCAAUGAAUAAUAGUUACAACACAAUCACAGAUUUGAUAUUUUAAAUAGUGAAGAAUCGGUUCCGUUUCGAUUACAUAUUUUUCGGGAUAUUUUUCAAAAAUAGCACUACAGUUCUUCGAACAUAAACUAUAGGUACUGUACGUAUAUGCUAUUCUUUUUCCUUUUACACCAUUCCUUUGACUUAUGUGCUUUCUCAUAAAAGAUUCUCAUUCAUUUUUUAAAUGGAAAAAAAUUAACGAAAUAUGUAUAAUUCAAAUAAAAUACUAUUUUAAUUAUUGCCAUUUUGCUCAUACGUUGCAAGACUGAUAAGAAAAUCGUAAAGCGUUGCUAUUUUUAUGAAUGACAACUUUUCCCGUAAAUGGCCCGCUCUUUAUGUCUUUUCUUUAUUAUAUGUCAACGCACCUGCUUUUAACGAGCAUUUUACAUCUAAUUUAUUUAGUACUAUAAACAAUGAUAUUCAGAAUGUUUCUUUCCCCUUUAGACCAACAACUUUGACUUGUGGAUUUUUGUGCUCUGAGAAAAAAGAUUUUCGCUUACCUUUUUUUUUUAAACUGCAAAAGAAAAAAUCAAUUUUUCCCCAUAAAUCUCAAAAAUGCUUAUUUAUACACAUACCAUCAAGUAUGUAUACAAGUAUAAUAACUGUACUGACUAAGUAACGUACUCAGUUUUAAUGAUUAAUACUACAUUUUUGUGUUAUUUCAAAUAACUCUAAAAUAUGGGCUUCGUAUAAGUUUUUUAAGCAUAAUACAAUAUUAUGGCCACAAAUUAGCAUGUUUUUGUCAUUAAUCAAAUUUACUAUGUUAUAACUAAAACUCACUAUUUCUGUAUAAAAACAUAUUUUUACUUCAAAUAAACUUACUCCCUCAAAAGUAUAUUUGGGAUAUACUAUUGUAAUUUAUCUCUUUAAAAAAUAUGUUUCAUAUUAAUUACAAUUUACCUUUUCGACUGCAAAAGUUACUAAUUUAUUACGUUAAUUUACUAUUUUGAAUGACAAAUUUACUCCCUUAUUUUUACCUAUAAUCAUAUUCAAGUGGAUAGGUCUAACGGGUAAUCAAAUGAUCGUUAAAAUUUUUAGAACCUAUUAUAUCAUGUCUAAAACUGUGUUGUUUACCGUAUCGAUAGUUAUGGGACCAUUUUCUCGAAUGCUUAAGCUGAACACUUGGGUACUAAAUUUAUAUAUGUAUAUAAAUAUAAUGAAGGCUUGAAUCCUUUCGUUUACCUCCACUUUUCCUUCUUCCAAAUUAUUAUCCCCUAUGCGUGUGCGAUAAUCAUUUAUGAUUUCUUAAAAUUUCGGUACCUUCUUUACGCACAUUUUUUGUCCAAGGCAUUUGCAACAUUUUUCCAUUGGUAAUGGGUACAUUUGCAAAUACAUAAAUGCCUCUGAUUUUAACAUGCAAUAACACUUCCUGGCCCAACUCGUACGGAAGUCAGUGUGCUUUCUGGUUGGAUCCACAGACGAUUCUCAUAUAUUUCCUCUUCACGCGUUGUGCAACAAUUAAACGUCUCUGUUUGGACUGUAUAUAACGUCAACACGUGUCACUCUCUGCCGGUCUUCCUACCAUAGGCAUGUUCCCACCAUAAAGGUUUCCAAGAAUGGAAAGCUACUGAAAACCCAGGUCUUGCUUCUCAUUUAUGAUUUGAGGUCAUGAUGUAACAGGUCUAGGCAUUUGAGUGGAAUGUACAUUGGAAUUUGAUUUGGAUAAGAAUUUAUUCAUUUUUUGCUUGAUUAGUGACAAAUAAAAACUCAGGUCUAGGCUUAUAAUUUGGAUGAGAAUGUAUUCAUUUUUUUCGAUAAGAAUUUGUAAUUUGGAUAAGAAUUUGACAAGUAAACAAUGGGAAAAAAUAAUGGAAAGCUAUUGAAAACCCAGGUCUUGCUUCUCAUUUAUGAUUUGAGGUCAUGAUGUAACAGGUCUAGGCAUUUGAGUGGAAUGUAUAUUGGAAUUUGAUUUGGAUGAGAAUUUAUUCAUUUUUUUGCUUGAUUAGUGACAAAAAAAAAACUCAUAUGGCUUAUAAUCACUCUCAAUCUGAUUUCAAUAAGUAUAUUUAAUGUACAAAUGAAAGAGUAACAAAAAAGAAUGAGAAAAAAUCUUCUAGUUCUGUUGGACUGAAACUAAUAUUUCAUGAUUCGCGUUUCAGAUUUUUUUCCGAAAUGAUUUGAAAUGACAUGGGAAGAAAUCACAUAAACAUAAAAUUGACAAGUUAAAGAGAUACUUGGGAUUGAGGGAGAGGAAGGUUCAUUUUGGUCGUUUAUGGUUUUUUGGCUUGUGUAUACACUACGUUGUUUAGAGCCGAAUAUUGAUCCAAGAGGUAAAAUUCACCCUUUCUAAGCACAUAUGUUGGGAUUUAACUCUUAUUGCUAUUGUUGACGCACUCAUGUAGUAAGAUUCUUGUUGUAACAAUGUACUAAAACUAGUAAAAACCGAAAAUAAGACGAAGGAAAAAUAAACAUGAAAGUUGUUUUGAUCAUUCUACUUUUGUAUGAUACUCUAACAAAAGUUCUAGUACCAGAAUAAUUCAUCAAAAUCUGGUGUUGUAAACACGCACUUCAAGCCUCUUGCCUAAAAAAGUAAAAAAACACCAACUGAGGAAUUACUCCGAAUUUUUUUGUUUGCAAAUGUCAUGAUUUAUUUUUACGAGAGAAUUACUAUUUGGAUAUCCAAUUUUUCGGGGGGAUAGACGAAUGUAGCCCUAGAUAAUUUGGUAAAAAGAAAAAAAUAAUUCCUUUUGUUAAGUAAUACUUAAAAUUUUUGUUUAAAUACAGCUUUUAAAGCAUCAUAGUAAUUUUAUUACAAUGCACGGAGGAAUUUCUAUUUCAAGUUUAAGAUGGAAAAGAACUGAAUGAAAAAAAUGAAGUUCGACCGAAAUAGAUGUCAGCCAACAAGCUCAAACAAAAAAAAUAAAGGAUAAGCGUCUUUGAAUGAAAAUACUUGACUUUGGGAGCACACAUAUUAUGCUGAUACAUAUUUUCAAGUGUAAAUAUGUCAUCACAACCUACAUAUAAAGAUGAUUAAGCAUAAGAAACUUCAUAUUCUUUUAUGCUUGCAAUUCAUAGAAACAUUCAUGCACUAACAAGAAGUUAUUUAACCUUAUUUUCAGCUUAAGUUUUUCUUUCUUCAAAUUCUUUAUGUUCGUUUAAUGGAUACGUUUUCAUUAUAAAAACCUUUUAAUGAUUCGGGACCGAGUAAUUUUUUGUUGUUGUUUUAUAGUUUAAGAAGUGAUUUAGUUGCAAAUUAGCAUUUAGGAAGCCAAGGUGCACAGCAUAAUGUAUAAAACCUUUUGUUGUUCGUUUGAUAUUUCUAUUAUACCCCUAGAAUUGGCUAAAAAUUUUGAAGGCAAAAUAAGUAAAGAAAAACACAUUUCCCAACCUACCUUUUUAUAUUUCCAAUCACCUUUUUAUCUCACAUAUAUCAUAUCACAAAAAGUGCUAUAGUAAUUAUUCCAAAUAAUAUUUCAAAUAAUACACUAUCCAAACAAACUGUAAAAUUAACUGGCUAUAUCUCAAGGGGAGAUUUUGUAAUUAAUUCUAAUUUUAAUUAACAUUCCUAGAGAUAUUUGAAAUCUGUCCAUGAAGUUGAUUGUGGGAAAAAAAAUUUAAGAGCAAGAGUUGGAUUGAUAAAUUCUAAAAGGAAGGUGAUAUGGCACGUAAAUUUUUAGUGAAGGAAAAUUCCAAAGAGUAAAAUGCUUUCUGUCACAGAACCCACGUAAGAAUCCGGUACUCAAGUAAUGCACUUAUAAAAUAUGGCUAAAAUCGAUCACAAGUUAAUUUUGUAGAAGAAUGUUUCAUCAAAUUCUGAUGCAACUCCAUUUGAUGAUUAAAAUUUAAAUAUUGUAACAUAAACUAACAAUCAAUAUUAUGGAUUUUUCUUUUAUUUUGUAACUGUAAUUCAAAUUUCAAACUUCCAGAAUUUAUACAUGAAUAAAUUAAUUGUACAAGUUGGUUUUUUUUUUCACUUUAGCGGCAACUUCUAGCCUAGUCUAGCCUACUCCUACUCCUAAGGGGGGGAGAACUUACUUUUUAAGGGAAGCGACUCUAGGGAGUGGGUCAAUUGAGUAUGGGGAACCAGACGGGGACUUAACCACCAUCUGACCAGACGGGUGCACCACUCACCCGCAUGGAUUUAAAACACUCCUCAUAUUGAGGCACGUUGAUGGGAGGCAAGAUUUGAACCCUUGACCUCCUAUCCUACUAUAUACAGUGGUGGCCAACUCCUCUAUUGGGAGUUGGUUAUUUGUACAAGUUGGUUGAGAAAGAAAAUUUUUUGAGUUGCCAUAUAAACGGCAGACUUGCUAUCAAUACUUGAGAAACGAAGCUUUUCUCUUGAUUUCUCAAAACACUUGAUUUCCCCUUACAGAUUUGAAGCAUAGUUAUUAAACUCAGAUCAGCCCGAUGGUCAAAUUGGUCAUCCCGCUGAACAAGUCGUUGCAUCAGGUUGGGUCUCUAAUUGGAUCACUUGAGCACAGAUUUCGUUGACUGGUUAAUGCCAGCAAUUAAAUCGAAUUAGACUGGAAUCCGACCGAUUUUGUCAAUGAGCCGGAUUUUAUGGAAAAGAUGUUAGUAAGCUCUUAUCAAGAUUUGAACUUAGGACUUUAAGCAUAAAUGUAUGGUAUACUCACCACCAUACCACUUGACAUAUGUAAGUUGAAUAGCAUUCUUAUGCUAUAUGAAUGUUUUGUCAAUUCUAUCUUUGUUUUUUUUUUAUUUUUCCAAACCAUUAUUUGAAAUCUUUUAAUAAAAAUUUAUGACCCCCCUCCCCAAACAUUAUAAGUUAUAAAAUGGAUUUUAAAAAUAUUAUAUUACAUAAUCUAUUUUAAAGACAAUUAUUGUUUCAAGUAAUUAUUUGCACUUAAGAUUUGUAAAUAAACUCGAUAAUUACACUAAAUACGAUAAAAUUUUAUGCUUGAAGUUUGGUGGAUUAUUAAUUAAAUUUAUGUUUUGUUGAUUCUUAUAUGAAUUAAUUAUUCUACAAUGAAUUAAAUUAAAUAAGCAUUUACUAUGGCAUUUUUUAUUAUAGUUUAUAACAUAUAUCUCAUAUCAAAAAUUAUGAGACAUAAUAUUUAAUUAUAUUUAGUGACCCACUGGUUCAACCAUUUACUAACUGGUUGAACCAAUGAUUCGUUGACCCACCUCCUUCGUCAAAUUCCUUUGUGGGCCGGGUUUAAUAACUAUGAUUUGAAAAGUUAUUUUUGUGUUUUAGAAAAUGGAUAAUAAUAAUUACAAGUAUUAGAGUUGGGAUGGCCCAACAUUUGAGUUCAAACGCGCCAUAGCAUCCAGAGAGCUAAUUGUUAAAUCUGGAAACAUUUCGGACUUCAAAACACGUAGUUUGGGCCGCCAACGUCCACUUGCACAGAUUUGUGUAGGUUUUCUAAACGACUCAACAAUCCCCCACUAAUUUGCAAAACAUGUGUAUCCUAAACCAUGAACUCUUCAAUAGUUCAACUUUAAUGGAUGAAUCUUAAGCAUAAUCAGAAGUAUCUCUUGAUAAUUUAAAAAAAAAAGAAGAAGUUUCUCUUGAUUUAAACUUCUAACUGGUAUAGAUGAUUUAAAUUUAUAAUGUAGUUGUUAGUGUUCUUAAAUUAGGGAAGUUCUACGGUCUCUUUAGAGCACUGUGCCGACGAAAUUAAAUUUAUUGUUGGAUAUAAAAUAGGAAUUAUCAAUCUUUAGAUUAUUUUAAGAGUUUAAAUUACUAAAUGAUAUGAUAAGAUAUGAAUAGAUUAAAAUUAUAGGUACCGUACCAAAAAAGGACUGUAGCAUUUUUCCUUAAAUUAAACUAUAUCUCUUAAAUGUCAAAGACUAAGGCUCCGUUUGAUAACACUGAAUCUGAAUUCUGAAUUCUGAAUUCUGAAUACUGAAAUAAUUAAUUUGCUGAAUUUUAAGCACUGAAAAGAGAUAUAUGAAUGUCUGAAUCUUAAUGCUGAAUCUAUUUAUACUGUUUGAUAAAUAUUCAUAACUUAAUGCUUAAUAAGCUAAAUUGUACAAUUUUGCCCUUCUAUCUUUUAAUCCAAAAAGGAAAUAGAACCUAUGAUUUAAUUAGCUUAAAAUUGUUAGGUAUGAAAAAGACAAUAUUUAUUUUUAAAUCAAAUUAAUAUAAAAGAAGAAAUAUAUUAUGCAAAACAUUAAAAGAAACAUUACAAUCCAAUAAUUCAUAUAACAUAUAAAUUCGACCUAAAAAAUUUAGAAAUGAUUGUUUGAAUAGAGAAUAUCAGAUUGUUUUGUUUAAUUAGAUAAGGAUUUUGAAUAGAGAAUAUUAGGUUGUUUAAUUAGAUAAGGAUUUUGAAUGUAAUUAACAAAUAGGGAUAGAUUUGGUAGAUAAGAUAAAGUAGUUGAAGUAAAUCUCUUGAUUCUUAUCAAAUUAAGCAUUCAGUUACGAUUCUUGUGCUGAAAAAAAUACAUACAAAUUUAGCACCACUUAAUAAGUUCAGCAGGUGAAUUUUUAUUUAUCAAACACCCAAAAUCUCUUAAUGUCUGAAUGAAUUCAGUUUCAGCACUUUUUUAUGUUAUCAAACAGGCACUAAAACACAGCACAAUUAAUGAUAUAUACUUUUCUCGAGGUUAAUAUUAGCUUUACAGCUAUUUUACCCACGUGCUAAAGUGUGAUUACAGGAUGAUAAAGAAGAUUAUGGGUCGUCAUGGCGGAUUUUAUGGAGAGUAAUGCCUUGUAUUCCGGCAUUCAGGGUGUUGUUGCCGCAAAGGCAGAAUGGAGUAAGAAGAACUGAAAAAGAGGAGGAGAGCAAAACGCAUUUUCAGUUUGCGUAUUGGGGUAUUUUGUGUGCAUGGGAUUUGGGAACAAGAAGAGUUUGAUAUGUUGACAAAGGAACGAUUGAAAACUCGAGUUUUGUUUCUUAUUUAUGAUUUGAGGUCAUGAUGCAAUAGGUCUAGGCAUUUGAGUGGAAUUUACAUUGAAAUUUCAUUUGGAUGACAAUAUGUUCAUUUCUUGGUUCAUUUGUGACAAAAUAAAACUCGUACCAUUUGAUAAGUAUACUAGUUUUGGGCAUAAGCUUAAAUUAGUUAUUUGUUGCAUUUGAAGAACCACAAAAUUCUGCUUUCUAGAGCUGAUUGGACAAAAAUUUUACCAUACAACUCCAUAAAAUUUCCACCAAAAAAAAGAAAAUCAUCUUCACAUAAUGAAAAUAAAGAUAGGUACAUUUGUCAACUCAAUUGCCAGUGAAGUAUUUAUAAAGGAAAUUUUAAUCUACUUUUCCAUUUCCUUUGCCUUGAUUCUUUUUCGUUUCAAACUUUACAUGUAUGUGUGCAAUAGUCCCCACCGCAGUUUCCUCCUUCCUCUACUCUUCUCCUCUUCUUUAGUCGCAAUAGCAAGCUUCCUCUGUUUUUUGAGCUCCCUAAUCUUCCGAAGAGGAUAGGAUUAAAUUUUUGUCUGAACCUCAUAUUGAAACCAAUUCCAACUAUCAACAGGAAAGAAACAGUAAAUAUUUACUAUUAUCCAAACAUUAAAUGAAGGCAGAACUAACAAGAAAGUACAAAGGAGAUUUUAAGCAUAAAGUGUGAUUACCAAAUUCCCAAUUCCCGUGAGAGAUAGUUGAUACUCACCUGCAUAUGCACAAAAUGUUCAAAUGCAGUUUGAAAUUCCCAGUUCCCGUGAGAGGUAGUUGAUACAUGUCUGUAUAUGCACAAAAAGGUUCAAACGCAGUUCAAACGCAGCAAGAUAAAGGAUCAUUCUCCUUGUCUACAAGUAUGAUCUUUUCUCUGCAAUGUGAGUAGGGAAGGCCUGCAACGUGCUUAGUCCCUUCAAUAUAUCAUAUUUGCAAUAGCUGCACAAAGUCAAUCAAGAGCUUGAAUCUCACACUGCAAAUCCCAUCACCAAAAUUUUUCUUUUGACUAGGAAAUUACAUUUGAAAGUUUCUUAUCCUCUAAUCAUGACUAUAGUAAAUUCCAAUUCAACACAUCAUCUUUUAGCUACUAUUAGAAUCCACCACAGAAAAAGAGGAAGUAACAAAACUUCCAACAAAUUAAUGUAAAAUUCCUCUAUUUCAAUAACAUUCUUUUCCAAAUUUCCCAAAAAAAAAAUUGAGAAAAAACCAUAGAAAAUCUCUCCAUACAACCUGGAUAAGCAAGUAAGAGGAAACCUGCUGUGCAGUUAUAAAAAAUUCUCAAAAAAGGCCCAGUUUGUAUUUGAAACAGUGGUUGUAGAGCAUUGAAUCAUCUCUAAUGUCCUAAAUGACUUCUUUCUGAAAUCCAAACAAUAUCAAAAGUUCAUCACCUUUUCUCUUCUAAGCUAACUACUAAGCUAAAAGCUAAAAAUAAUAUGCAAACCUAGUUGGUUCAAUGAUUUUUUUUUUUUCCAAAUUUGCAAUAACUUGAACUGAAUAUAUCAUAUUUCUUCAACAAUACAGAGGGUAUAUCAUUAUAAAGCUGGCCAGUCAUAAAAUAUACAAUAGCACAGAUGCUUUCCUCAAUGCAAAGGCCAUGUUUUUUCUACUUUUGUUUUUAUUCAGAUAUGAAAGCUCUCAACUUGCACACUGCCCAUGCUUUUUCAACUCUUAAUACCAUAAGAAACAGAAGAGGAAAAGAGAAUGCAGAGCUAUCCUAAGUGAUAACUUAUCAUGGUUGAAGUUCAAUGAUCAACUAACUUCAAAAACUCCAGCAACAUUAUAACAGCAGAAAAGCCAAAAUGUGCCUAAAUAAAUCCGAAAUUGCUGUAAUUUAAAACAAUUAUAAAGCUGCGACUGAGCUCAUGUUGGUACUGAACUUGACUGGUAUAAGUUCACUUAAUUUUCAUCGAUGGGAAAUUGCAUGAGAAGUAUAGCAGUCGACUCUAAUGAAAUCAUAUGACCCUUUAACCAAUUGUUCUAUUCAUGCAUGAAUCUUAGAAGCACAGCUCUCACAAAAGCCGCAAUGAUGAACUGAUAGUCACCAAUAAUUUUGCAAUCCUAUUAUUUAUAUUAAAAAACAGAGUGAAUUUAAUAAUGGAAAAAUCCUACAAUUACACCACACCUUCCCUAAAAAUCACGAAUACUGAUUUCUAGUUGCUGGACAAAAACCAAUAACAGCAUCCAUUACAACCAACCCAAAGAAAGAAGUUGAUCAUAGCUAAACUUUCGGUAAAUAGCAUUUUUGUGGAUAUAUAACCCCAAGCGCAUCACUGGGAAGGGCUAUCCGAAAUAAUCUAAUGUAGAAAAUUGCAAGAAAAAGCAAUACCUAUUCUGUGAUGUCAAGGCCCAACAUUGAAUAUCACCACAGUAUUAGAUUUAGAAAUUAAUUUUGAUGCCCAGUAUCCUAUACCGCCUUUGAUUUUUAAACUUCAUCAAAAUACCAAAGUAAAGUUGGGAACUUAGCAAAAUCAUACGUGAAAAGGCUCAGUAUUCAAUGCCAAGAGGGAGGAAUAGUGCCAUGGCUGCAACCCAGUUGCGUGCAAGCGAGGGGAACUAUUAAAUUUGUUCCCAUCUGAGAUCUGCCAUUCGAGUGGCCCUGCCAUGGAAUGGGUCCACAACCUCCAUGCCGAAUUCAUAAACCACUACAAAAAUAACAUCAUAGCCGGCAUUAUGAAUUUUGCUAUAACAGAUUCCAUGGGAGGCGGUUUGGAUAUAGACUUUAGGUUGGAUUAGGAGGGUGAAAGGGAAGAAGGAAAUUUCUCAAAGGGAUAAGCUCAUUAAGAGGAUAGAAGGACAGAGUACAGGAGGCGGUGAAAGCAAGGGGUGGGCGCUCGACAGAGAAUGCAAAGAAUAUAAUCGCUGCCAUCAGGUACUGUAUCUGAAAAGUGAAAAGUGCGAAAAAACACGUGGCAUCUCAGCCCAUGACAGCAAGAAUGAAAUGGGAAUAUCAAAGCAAAUUUCUUUCCUAUCCACGUGGAAAGAUCGUGGGGCAUUAGUCUCUGGGUUUAAGGUUUAUGGAUGGCCGGUUCUAUCAUCAAUUAGCUGAACUUGGUUGCUUUGUAGGUCUCACCUUAAAUUGCUCGUUUGGGCUGUUUUUUGAUGUUCUCCAAGUGUUUAAUCUAAUUGUGUGCGUGAAUUCUUGAUCAUUUGUGAGAAAAAAUCGUUUGGCUGUUCGUUGAUGUUCUCCGAGUGUUUAAUCUAACUGUGUGCAUGAAUUCUUAAUCAUUUGUGAGAAAAAAUCGUGGGGCAUUGGUCUCUGGUUCAAGGUCCAUGAGUGGCCGAUUCUGUCACAAAUUGGCUGAACCUGGUUGCUUUGUGAAUCCCACCUUAGAUUGUUUGUGCCUUGGUUCUUGAUCAUUUGUGAGAAAAAAAAAGAAGCAAAUUUCUUUCUGUUGACCAAAAGACCCUCAAUUAAUGGAGCAGAAAAUCGAGAACGCCCUUUAAAACCACGGAAUCACGUUGAAACCCGACGAAAUUAUUGCCCCUCAAAAAGUCAAUAUUUAUGUUGAAAUCGGACGAAAGUCACUUUUCAAAAGAAGCAUUGACGCUUUAUAUGUCUGUUAUGAUUUAAGGAAUAUGGGAAAGCGCCCCAAAAAAAAAAAAAAAAUCUUGUUCUCUUACGCUUUUUCAAGUUCAUAUUUUUAGGUAGUAUCCCACCGAGAAAACUAAACUUUCAUCGUUCAGAAGUCAGAUUUUCUCCGAUAACUAUUGACAAUUUUUAAUUUGUUUCAGCCCGGGGACUGAUUUCAGACAAUUUAGGAAUAGAAGUACAUAAGCAUGAAUUUCACAAAUUAAACUGAGUAUUGGGAUUGAGGGAGAGGCAAGUUCUUUUGUGUCCUUUUUUUUGUGUAUAUUAUGUUGUUUAGUUUAGUGCCAAAUAUUGGUCCAAGAUGUUAAAGCCACUCUUUCUAAGCAAAGAUGCUAGGAUUUAACUUUUAUGCUGUCUUUGAAGCACUCAUGUAGUAAGAUUUUGUAGUAACAUUGUACUAAAAUUAGUAAAGCCAGAAAAUAAGAAGGAAACAUAAGAGUUGUUUUAUUUAUUCUGUUUUCAUAAAUAUAAAUAAUAGCACUAAAAUAGUUUAAUAGAAAUUGGUUUUUUAGAGUUUGAACGUCUUGCCUUAAAACCACCCAUUGAGAAAUUAGUCACAUAUAUGCACACCUUUUUUUCCUCAAAAUACUCUUUUGUUUCUUCAUUGCAAGUGUGGCAGUCCUGUUUGGAUUGCUAUUUUUAUGAUUUUUAUAUAAAAAUAUAUAUAUAUAUUAUAGUAACUUGAUAUAUGUGAGGCAAAAAAGUGGUUGAAAAAUGUGUUUAAAAAAUUUUUUUGAUAGAAAACCAUAAUCUAAACACUUUUACAAGACAAUUACAAAUUUGAUACCAAUGUAUGUUGGAGGGGUGGGCAAAAAUGGUCCCUUUUAGUGUGUAUUUUAUGCAAAAAAAAAAAAAAAAAUGUAGUCCCAAAGUUUGAAAGAUGAACCAAUCUGGACCCUUAUAUUUGGACACAAAUAAUCUAGUUCCUGAUUUUCCCCAAAUUUAAUCAUGGGUAGAUUUCUAUAUGCUCCCAUUGUGGUUUCACAUUAUACCACUUAUUCCCUUUUGUUCAAUAGUAUUAUUCAAUUUCUCUAUAUUUUAUUAAAAGUGAACAAAAAAAGAUGUAAAAGCAAUUCCAAUUAUAUUAAGGGAUAAUUUUAGAAACCUUCCCUGAGGUUUCUAACGAUUUCACUGGUCUCUCAUGAGAUUUGUAAAAUUACACUUAUCUCCCUUAGUAGAAUGGUGGGCCCAGUUAUAUCACAUGGGAAAAAUUGCUCAUAUACCCUAAGACAUUAUGUCUUAUAGAAACUAAUAUCUAAUGAAUGAGUAAUUAGAUCACUAAUUAACUAUAAGUAACUAAUUAAUGAAAAUAAUUGUUGAAAUUUUCUUUAAUGAUGAAUAGUGACUUGCAAUUGUAAGAUAAGGCCAAUUGAUAUACCAGAUGGUGAUAUUUUGUGAUUGAUAGAACUUGACAAUAAUUAAAAUCUAGUUAUACACAAUGUGAGAAGAAGAGCUUUGGUAAAAGGAAAAACAUAUGGCAAAAGAAGAUUGUUCAUGGAGAAAUUUUUUUUUGAAACUCUUAAAACUAUAAUAGUUAUAAAGUAAUUUCAUGGAAAUAAAGAAGAAAUAAGGGAAAAGAAAGGCGAAAUUUAAAAUUUUUUUCUGUUCAUAAUCACAAGAAUUAUAGUAAACCUAAUGUUAAGAGUGAUGACCGGUCUAUUUUACUAAUUCUUAUUAUCAUUAGUAUAGUUUUAUUGUUUAUUUGUGUUAUCUAAUGUGUUGAAUGUGAACUUUUUGAAUAGUGAAAUGUAUGUAUUAAUUAUUUCUAACUUUUAAUUUUUUUAUGCUUUUACUAAUGCAGCUUAUAUACAUGUAUAAGGGGUAUUUAUGGGAUAAAAGUUUCAUUUUUCUCCUUAAAGUAUUUUUAAAUGUUACGUUUUGUGAUUUGGAUUAAUUUGUUACUAAAACAUUAAUCUCAAGGGAGGUUUGUGCAAUUUUACAAACGUCAAGGGAAGUAGUGAUAUUGUCAGAAACCUUAGGGGAGGUAGGGGAGGUUUCUGAAUUUAUCCCUCAUAUUAAUUGAUGCAAACAUAUUUCAAAAACUUGUGUGAGGCAUGAAAUAUAGAAUAUCCACCCACCCCACAGUGAUUUCACAUUCGAUCACGUGAUCUUCCUAUGAUUUUAGGUAAAGUGGUUAGGAUCUUGUUAUAUUUCAUAUUUAAAUAAGAACUUAAUUGAAAUUUUAACGAGUGCCGUUACUAGAUGUGCUUUUUUUUUUGUUAUAUGAUUAGAUGUGCUUCGAAUCAAUUUUACAUCUAAAACUACAGGGGAUAAGUAUAUGUUAAAACAUAACUAGUGGACUGAUUAUGUGGUCGAAGGCGAAACAAAUGGGGGGUAAAUAAUAAUUUACAAUUCAAUUAAUGUAACACAAACCAACCCAACAUGGUUGUAACUAGUGUUUAGCUAACUUGAUAACUAGCUCUCGAAUGGCACUUGUGAAUUCUUAAAAAGGUGCUUACACCAAGGCUAUUGAUUGAAUUAGGGACUAGAUUCCUCUUUAUUGUGUUGUAGAGAACUUCUCUAUUACACUAAUAAAAUUAAUUUAGAACUUUUAUUUUUGAAAGUUAGCACCAUUUAUAAUGUACUUCAUCACUAGUAGUUAUAUACAAAAAUUGGUUUGAACAACAAAGAAUAGGUCAAAAUCCUAACAAAAUUUGUAAUGAUGAAUAAUAAGAGACUUAAUAUUUGAAACAAAAGUGAGAUUUUAGUCAAUUCUCUAAAAAUUAGGGACCAAACUCGCAAUUCUCCCUUGCUUUUAUAGUACUACAACUCCACAAGGGUUAGUGUUAAGCGAAGAGAAAUUGUACGCAAAUAAAAAGAUUGAUAAACGUCACAAUCUUAUCUGCACAAGGCAAAGCAAAGGUAAUAUUCAUCCACAAUUCAAUAAAAGAAACUCGAUAUUUAUAGUUUCAUAUGUAUUUUAAAUUUUUCCUGUCACUGUAAACUGCUUUUGUCCUUGACGGGUCACCAUUUUAUUCCACGUCAACAUAUGUCAUGGUUAAAAUCUGGAAACUUUCUAUAGCCUUUAUCCAUUAUCCAAAAAAAAAAUAUAUAAUUAGUAAAAAACAAAAAAGUUUACAUUAACUAAAAUUUCCUUUAGUGAUUAACAAGAUAGAGAGUGAUUAAAAAAAAUGAAAAAGAUAGAGAGUGAUUAAAACUCUCACAAAGUUUUGCAUAAAUUGAUCUCUCACGAACAUCAAGGUCGAUUCUUAAAUCACUGAAAGUAUUCAACUCUCACAAAUUUUUAAUAUCACCCAAAUUGCUGAAAUUUCAACAACUGCUUGAAUCACAAUACAGACAUGCAUAAGAGCCUUCUAUUUGUUUCAUAGCAUGUGAUUGGGUAAUAGCAACAAAGUUAUUCCUCAAACACUUCCCGGGGCACUGCUUUAUUUUUCUUCAAGUUUUUCGAUAUAUAUUUCUUUUUAAAGGCAUUCUCCCAUGAUUUAGAGUCGAUCGGAUUUUAGAAUUUCUAAUAAGAAGAGAUUCAAAGGGAGUUGAAAGUUACGCUCACUAGACAAUUAGAUUGAAGGGGGUAAUAAAAAUUCGUUGGAAGAAGUAACUGCAUAUUAAGCAAUAAUGUUUCAAUGAAAAUUUACAGCAAGCAGCGCUUCUCAUAUUGUUAAGCCUCAGAGACUUUGACUUGGCUGCCAAAAAUCAGGCUCGGAAAGAAUUACACACUUUUGGUCUAUUACACUUACUAGUCAGCAAUGGACAACGACGCAAUAUCAGGCUUUUUUUCUGAUUGAAGAUUUGAAGUUUCGAUGUGACAGGUGUGAACUAUUCGUUAAAACUAGUAAUCUAGAGUGGGGGGUAGUUAUCUCUUAGCAGCAGGACACCCUGUAGGAUUUUCCAUCUCACAUCGGAUUGGGAGGAUUGGGUGUUUGGGUAGAUAAGUCCCUCGCAGGACUUCAAAAGUUGCCGGCUUUUGAAGUUACUGUGGGGAUUAGGUUUAUUUGCAAAAACAAUCUUACUUUCGUAAGAAAAUGUUGGAAACAAGUAAUCUAGAGUGGAAAAUAAUCUCCAAAAUUCAUAUAUAUACUGAAUUUUGAUCUGUGUUAUGCACAGAUUUAUAUUUUAAUUCAAAAAAAAUGUAUACAUAUACAUUGAAGUUCUUGAUAGAGGAUAUGAAAAGAAUUACAAAUUUCAAAGAAGUUGUGCUUAACAUGUUCAAAAAAAUUACUUCGUGAGUACAAAAUGGACUUUCUUGAUUUUAACAUCUUAAAUAAAUUGAAAUCAAAAUUUUUUUACACAUUGUCUAUCAAUAUAAGAUAAAAAUUUGAAUAAAAUAAAAUAAUUUAUAAUAAUUUACAUGAUAGAGCAAUUGAAAACCUAUUUAUCAAUAGCCGACGAAAGAUAUCAUGUUAUAUUGACAUAUCAAAAAUUAUAAUAUAAAAACAUAAAUUAUAACUAAUUCAUUUUUCUCGAUUUUAGAAAAAAAUUUCGCCCAUCUUGUACCCUUAAAAUUGUUGAGUGCUUUAUAGAAUAGUGUUUUUCAUGUAGUUUAAUAUAGAUUACAAAAAAAUCUUUGUAAAAUACAAAAGCAAUUUUUUAAAUUAUUAAAAACUAUUACCCUUUCUGUCCUUUUUUAUUUGCCAACUGACUAUCCGCUGCCUCCUAUGACUUUCGCAAGUCCUAUCGCAAUGUCAUCCUUCCUAUCGUUUUUUGUCAUCUUUGUCAUAUUCGCGUAAUUCCCUUAUUUCUUCCCUCCUUUCUUUGCCCAAUCUUGUUAUUCACUUUCUUUUUUUGACUUUUCUCAUCAUUCUUUAAUUCCUCACCAUUUUCUUUAUGUCUGCCUCUAACUUCCUAUUCUCAUAACUUAAUUUUUUAUCCCGUUCCCCUUAUCAUUCUCCCAAACACUUGGAUAGGCCCUAACCUCUAUCCUGCAUGGCCAACCUUCUCCAUUCCCACUUCCUCUGCUUCUCCCUUUUUCUUUUACCCGUCCAAUCAGAAUAAAGUAAUAUCAAAGUUUUUCAUUCUAGAUAUAUUACGUUAUAAAAAAUCUAAAGUUUUCUUAUACAUUUAUAAGAAUUACAUAUGUAUAAAUGUAUAUAACUGCUCUAUGUGUGUUGAAAUUUUCCUUUUGUAGUAAUUGUGAUUAGCAUUUUUCACAUCUAUUGGUCUGAGAGUCCAAAUUUUUUUUAUUUUUAUUGAAAAUAUAACUUAACAUAUUGUCAAUGUUACACUAUUGCAAAGUGAAUUUGGUGAGUAAAAUAUAAAAAUAAAAAUUCAAUACAAAAGUAUAAAACACCAAAUUUAAUUAUUUUCAUAUACAUUUUGAAUUGAAUAAUUUCAAAUUUUAAAGGAGAAGUUGAAUCCAUAUUCUAUUGUUAUGUUUUUUUUAUUUUUGGUAGAAUUGGUGUUGUUUUUAUUUUUUUUGUCAAAAAUAAAGAUUUCAAACAAAAUUUUCCAUAUCCAAAUGGUAAGUAGUACUUUGUUAAUUAGUUAGUGAUUUCAUAAUUUAGGUUUCAUGAAUGGUAUCAUUCUUGAAUUUUUAAAUCCAUGAACAAUGAAUAUUAUUUUCUUUUCAUUUUCUAUAUAAUUUGCCCUCUUAGUUAGAAUUACGAAGUUGAAGACAAAAUAUUAUUAUUUACUUUUUACUUUUAGUUGUUUUGGUGAUGUUUCCUUUUUAUUUAGACUUACAUUAAUAGAUUUCAAACCAAAUUCCUAUAUAAGUGGAGCCACUUUUUACUUUUUAAAUUCAAAAAGCAUGAAAGGACAUAUAACAAUUUUUAAAAAAAUAAAAUUCUAUAAACAAAACGAAAAGUUGGAAACAUUUUGAUUUAACCAUACUAAAAACUUCUUCUCAAAUUUAUAUAGAUAUAGAUUCUCAAAUACAAUUAAAAAAUAAAAAUAAAAAUAAAAUAAUUCCUACCACUAUCCACUGCUGUCUAACACUAUCACCACCCUCUCCCUCCUCUCUCCUCCCUCUUUCUCUUUCUCUUCAUCCUCCCUCCUUCCUUCUCCUCCCUUCCCCUUCCCUCCUUUCUUCUUCUCCCUUUCCCUACCCUCCUCUCCUCUCCCUUCUUUUCCACUUGCAGAACCUUCUCCCUCUUUUAUAAAAGGGUUGAGACCUUCGAUAGCAAUCAUAUCUCAUUAGAUAGGGUUGGUAGCAACUUAAGCAUCUCAUCGUAGAAAGGGGAGUGGUCUGGGUUAGGGUCACACUUGGAUAAACCAAUUUUUCAAUAAUUCAAUGACCCAAAUUGUGCUAUACCAUCUCACCAAAUGAUGUGGUACAAUAUAGAUCAUUGGGUUUUUGAAAAACGGGUCUACCCAAGUUUUGACCCAAGGGUGAAAACAGGGAGGGGAGGGGAGGGAGGAGGAAGGAGGAGGAGAGAGCGGGAGAAGAGAGAAGAAGGGAAAGAGUGGUAGCGAUGGUGGUGGGUGAUUUUUAUUUAAUAAUAAAAAAAACCCUGAGAAUUUUAAAAUUUUAAAAACACCUCAACAAACAACUACAAUAGAUGAUGAAAACAGUUCCAAAAAUACCUAAUCCAUAUAGAUUUUUUUUUUUAAAUUUCUCUUCCUCUCAACGUUCACAGUGGCCCGUCCUCCUCCUCCAUAAUCUCCUUUUUAAUAUUAAUUGCCAAUUACCAAACUUUCUCUUGACCUCUUUCACACAAACCCAAAAAAGAGAUCCAUCAUGUUAUUUGACGUUUUUGAUAUGUCUUUAUUCAAAUAUGUCUCUUUGAUUUGUCACUACUUUGAUCAAUGGAAUUGGAAUUAGAGAAGGGAUCUAUGGAAAACUAUAAAUAGCGACAGGUCAGGUAGGAUGGUAGAAUAUCUUCUUGUUUUUUGCUAUGUUUGUUAUACCUGGGCAUUUGAGCCCAGAAAAUGUAUGUCCGUGAGUUCUAAAUUUACUAUCCCUUUAAUCCAUUUGAUUUGGCAUGAGUGACAAACUUUUAGCCGGAACAAGUUGCCUUACUUUAUUCAAGGUGCAAAAGCGAUCAUGUGUGCAAGAAACUUUCUCUUGACUUCUUUUUUUUUUUUUUAAUUAUACAUAUGAAAACGUAGUGGACAAAAAGUCCCAGUGGUGAUUUGAUUUUUCCUAGAAAGAAAGUCUCGGAACUAUUUGGUGCAUUUUUGUAGAGAUAUUAUAUUCCAUUGAGUGAUUAGCUUUAUAAUUUCUUGACAGGUUUUUAAAACUUUUUAAGUUUUUUGAAUGAUUUAUUAAUCGAAGAAUUUUUUAUACAGUUUAGGAAAUUUUUAGGAACAGGUUGAUGUUUAAACAAGUUCACAAGUACGAUAAGACUAUAUGGAUGCUAGCCUCAAAAUUUUCCUCCAAACAUUACAAAAGAUAUUAGAAAUUGGCUUUAAGUAGAUGUGGUUACAUAUGUGACUUUCGAUGUGCGAAGGUAUUACAACUAGAGGUGGCAAAAUGGGUUAUUUGGGUAGAUUUGGGUUGGGUAAAAUGGGUAAUGGGUAUAAGUGAGUCAACCCAUUUAUAUCCAUUUAAUUAGAUGGGUAUAAAUGGGUAUGUCAAAAAAUGAGUUGGGUAACCCAAUUAUCCAUUUAUAACCCAUUUAUUCUAAUUUUUUACAAACUCAUAUAAAUUCAUUUUGUAAACUAAAUUAUCAAUCAUCAUUAAUUUUAAAUAUUUACUUAUUAUGCCAAAUAAGUCUAAUUGUCAAUUUUUUUUCCAUCCGCGUGCUAUGUUGCAAAAUUAUAUAUUAUUUAAUAAUUGAACAAUUAGAAUCUAAAAAUUUGGACUAAAUAAUAUGAAAGUUCACAUAAAAAUUUAAUCCAAAACUUUGAACACCUAGUAUUUUUUCGUGUAUAAAUUUAAAUUUUCAUUUUGAAAAGGUAAAAAAGGAGGCUAAAAUUUGUCAUAAAUUAGUAAUGCUAAAAAAUGAUCACAUUAAUAAAUUACGAGGAAAUAAAGCGAUAAGACAAAACCAACAAAUAAAUAAAAUAAAAAUAGUUAACAUAAAAAAUGGUUAAAAAUCCUGAUGAGGAUUAGCAAUCACUUCAUUUAGCAUACAAACAAAGAUAAAUUUUCAAUAAAUAGGAAUAAAUGAUAGAACGGUGAAAGGUUACAUGGCCAAAACUUCUUGCCAACCUUCAGUACUAGAAUAAACAAUAGCUACUUGAAUUCCCACAAAUUGGUAGACGAAAUAAAUACAAUUACAAUCCAUGAAACUUUUACAAUUUAAUACUCCUACCAAGGAUUGUAACAAAAAGACUUAACAAGCAAGUUAAUACUUCAAAUUUGCAACAAAAAAUCCUCUUCUCAGUUUUCAAAAUCCAGGUGGAGCCAACUCUAUCAAAAUACUUAACAAACAUUCAGCUUCUCAAGCUUCGUACAACUGCAUAGCAUAAAACUCCUCUAGCUCACUGUUGGAAUCCGCCAACAAGUUUGCUGCUGGCUCAACACAAAACAGAGAAGAUUCCUGACAAUCAAAACCAAAUUCAAAGUUUUGUUUUUUGUUACUUAAAUUUCAUCUAGACAGAAAGAUAAAAAAAUUUUCACCACAUUUCUAACAAUCUCCAUAUAUCAAGACAAUCAACAAACAAAAAUUUGCAAUCAGGCUCAGAAUUGUGAAGUGUGAACGGACAGGGAAGGGUUGAUACUGCAAAAGUCAACUCUAAUCUACUAGCAUAUUUCCUUAUGCAGCUAAACAGAACUUACAAACAAACAUCAAAAAAUCCUUUUCAUACUAAAUCAUCAAAACUUCUUGUUGUGAUGAUCAUAAGAAUACAAGUUACCUAAACAUGAAGGUUAGUAAGUUUAGCAACUAAAGGUGCAAAGUCAAUACUCAGUCUUUCUCUAUCUUCUUCAUCUUCAGAAGCUGAAAUCAAAAGUAAAGUUCAAUAAGUGACUAAAAAAGUAAAAUACAAGAUCAUGUGCACAAAAAGGUUAAGUAUAACAUACAUGUUACUCCAUAUAACCAGUCCCUAGUACAUAACAAGACCUCCACAUUUUCUGGUAGGAGCGAAGUACGAAAUUUACCCACAAUUCUACCACCACUACUGAAAGCUGAUUCCGAGGCCACUGUAGUGAUAGGAAUACUUAAAAUAUCCCGUGCCAUCAAAGAAAGAAUAGGGUACCGAUUUUUGUUUUCUUUCCAAAAAUUGAGAACAUCCAGUUCUUGAGUUGAAAGGAGUCGAGUAUCAUCCAAAUAAGAGUCUACUUGUGACUUAUUCCUCUUGUUUGCAUGUUGUUGACUCUCAAAUUCAGCAAAAUCAUCAUUGUCAUUGCCCAAAUCACCACUAGAGCAGCCCGCUAUUGAUCCAUCCAGCAAAUCACCAUCAAAAGUAUUCUCAUACUCCUCAAAUAGUAAAUAAAAUUUAUCCCAAACUUCCUUAGCACGUUCUUCAUAAUCAAAAGGAUACAGCUUCUUAAAAGCAUACACCACAUAAUCCAUUUUGAAGCGCGGAUCCAAAAUGAUAGCAAAACUCAAAACCAACCUAUAACAUUCCCAAUACUUCUCAAAUUUCAGUUUCAUUUGCUUGGCCAUUUCACUCUAAAUUAUUGACCUCUUCCGUGAUAACUUUUUGAAUUUUCCAGACACCAUGAAAAUACAAAUUUGCAGUUGGAUAGUUAGUCCCCGAAAAAAGGGUGGUCAGGUCAUAAAAAGGCCUCAGCAGUGUUGUAAAUUUCUGCACCCUAAGCCAUUCUUCUUCAGUUGGGUAAAAUCUGCUGAAGCUGCGAUCAACCACGUGCAACUGAUGAAAGGCAAGCUUAUAUUCAAGUGCACUAUCCAGCAUCACAAAUGUAGAGUUCCAUCUGGUUGGGACAUCUUGAUGCACCCUCUUAUUGCAUGGCAAAGAAACUUGAACAAUACACUCUGCAAAUUUCAACUUUCUUGAUUCACUAGCUCUGAUAUAUUUCACACAGUCUCGGAUCUUUGAGACUGGUUUGGAAAUAACUUUGACACCGUCUUGGACAAUCAAAUUUAGCACAUGUGCACUGCAUCUUACAUGAAAAAAUUCACCCUCACAAAAUAGUGUAUUUCUUAGCCUCAAAUGCUGCUUCAACAGAUUCACCAUACCAUCAUUGUAAGAUGCGUUAUCCAAUGUGAUAGUAAAAACUUUUUUUUCAAUAGCCCAAUCUCUCAAUAAAUCUAUGACUUUUUCAGCUAACAUUGGACCACCAUGUGGUGGUGGCAUGUGGUGAAAAUUUAGAACCCUCUUUUGUAAAAUCCAAUCUUCAUCCACGAAAUGAGCCGUCAAUGCCAAAUACCCAUCUGUUGCAAUAGAUGUCCACAAGUCUGCAGUAAGGCAAAUUCGACUUGAAAUUGAAUUUAAUUCUGUCUUUACUCUCUCUUUUUCCCUUUUGUACAUCUUUUCAAUAUCAGCCUUUAUUGUGUUUCUCGAAAUGGGUAAAGCAUCUGAAUUUAAGUACACGCACAAGUCUCGAAUUCCUUCUUGCUCCACCAAUCUAUAAGGAUGGUUAUGCUUAACAAUAGCAAUUGCCAUCUUUUCCCGAUAAAUUCCUUGGUCAAUUGGAGACCGUUCUUCAAAAUCAGAUUGUCCACGCUUAGUACAAUUUGAAAGAUGACGCCAUAAGUUGCUUGUUCCGGUUGUUCUACCACAUGCAUAAUCACACUUGCACCAUUUACAUUGUGCUCUUUGUGAACCAUCUGGUUCAACAUACAAUAUAUCAAAUUCCUUCCAAAUCAAUGACGUGAGCUGUCUCGAACGCUUAGAAGAACCUUGGAUCAACUCAUCUGUAUUGGUAGGCUCAUGGCUUGUAUAAGAACAUUGUUCCUGAAUGUGCUCUGACAACUCAUCUGUUGGAUCAUGAAGGGAUAGCAUUUCUGUUAUCUAUACUACCAACUUUGUACACCUCAUCUGAUGUUUUCCUGUCUAAGACUCUCAGCCUUCAUAUAACUUGUCAUGACAUUGUAGCUCAAACUCUAAUUUUCUGAACCUUUUGACAAGUGCAGCUGAAGAAACUACUUCAAAAGAAACUGAAGACAGGAAACCUUCACUAGCUAUGCAAAACUUGAAAUUUAUUCAGCAUGUAAAGUAAAGUACUACCUACUAGUAUUUUGAAAAAAUAGUAGUAGUGCUACUAGUAUUUUGACAAUAAGAUGCAGAAUAAACCACGGCUGACUUUACAAAUCAAAUUGAGCAAUCAAUCAGCUACUCAGACGCGUGCUAUGCAACGCACAUCCAUUUAAACUAUUUUAGAUUAGUAAUAUAACCAUGUAGGAUGAAUCCUGAAUACCAGUGAUUGCUGUCCAUUUAGAUUAUAAAGAGUACUAAUGAAUGGUUUUAUGAGAAACAAGACAAUUUUAUAGUAGAUUCAGAAAUCCUAGAAUUUUCUGAACCUUUUGAUUUCCCGAUAUAAACUACAAAAUUUCUUCUUAUAAAUCUUAAUUAGACUGCCGGCUGCCCUCGUAGUAAAGCCGCAUCUCUGACCAUAAGCAAGAAAAUAUGUGAAAGAACAAUUGAGAACCCCAACUUGAUUGACAACCUAUGGUUCAGCACUUUAGCCAGACUCCAAAUCUUCUACAAAAAUAAGGAUCAUCAGGAAGUGACAUUUGGAAUGCAUUACAACCAUGCCAAGUUAGCAAAGACUUCACGUAUCAAUUUCAUGAUUAGUCAGAGACCCCAUUUUGCAUUUUUGUGCCUUCAAAAUUCCAAAACAAAUCGCUUCAGUUUAUUGUUACUUUGAAAUAGUCUUAAGAGUCCCGACAUCAGAUAAGAGGUGGUUGUGUUGUGGGUACCUGUUUGCAGAGGUGGUGAGCAGCGGCCAGACUCUUAACAUUCUCCAGGAAAAUCUUCAAGACACCGCGAAUUUAUUCAUAGAUUAGCUCAGGAAUCGGACAUGGAAGGGGCAAAAACCUUCUAUUAAGCAGAGACGGGGAGAAGGGAGAGGGGAAUCAAACACUGGAGGAAGAGGGGGGGGAAGCAGUGGGCUUGCUGAUGGGGAGGAGAAGAAGAUUGACGGUGAAAACUGAAAAUACAAAGAAGUUUGGGGAUGUAAGUUAAAUGGGUUAAUUGGGUUUGAUGGGUUACCCAAUUAUACCCAUUUAAUAAAUGGGUAUAAUUGGGUAACCCAUUUAUACCCAUGUAUAAAAAUUUAAUGUACCCAUAUCCAAUUAUUAAUGGACGGGUAUAGGUAAAAUUAAUUAAAUGGGUUUAUUUGACACCUCUAAUUACAACCUGUCAUGGCAAUGUAACGUAAUGAUUAUCUUAUUGUCUUAACUUUGUAAGUGUAUAAUUAUUGAUUAUAAUUUUGGGCAUGCCUCGCACUUUGUGCAUAAAUUAUUGCAAUACUUGUGGACAUGUGUUUGAAAUGCUUUUAGUUAAAAAUUGUGGUUAAAAUAACUAAUGAAUGUAAGUAUCAAUACGACGUACUUCUAUGGAUUCUGAAUUUUUUUUGUGCCUCCCCUUCAUAUUAGAACCUAAUUUCCAAGAAUAAGUGAUUAAUUGUUAUAAUGUUCAUGUAUGUAAAAAAUUUUAUCUCAAAAUCUAAAUAAUUUUAUAUAAUAGAUAUUUCAUUUCGAACUGGAUUGAUAAUCUGUUGAAAUGUACAAAGAAAAAAAGAAAGAAAAUAUAUGUUAGCUUGUCAAUCUAAUUUACAUAUAAUAUAAUUGAGUGUUUAAUAAUUAAUAUAUGUGAAAUAAAGGGAAAGAACUCAAUUUGAGACCAUGUAGUAUGCCCAAUUUGAGACCAACUAUAAAUCCAAAAGAGAAGAAAGAUAUGAGAAACUAGUGGCAUUAUAAAACAAAGAAAAUAAAAAAAUGAAGUAAAAGAAAUUUAAACAGUAUUUGUAAUACACGUCUAAAAACAAUUUUGAUCUAAUUCAUUUAUAUUUUUAUCUAAAACUCUUAAUAAUAUUACUUAAAACUUAAGAAACUAUAACAAUUCAAACUCUAAAUAGUGGGGACAAAAAUAAUGCAAAGUAAAAACUGUUGGCUGAAGGUAAAUUGAUUUUGACCAUGAGAAUUAUUGAAUUCUUGUCUAUUGUCCUAAAUUUGGAGAAAAAAAAAAGGAGAAAUUUUGGAGGCCAAAUUUAUUUUGAUCAAAACAGUUGGGCCUAAUACUGGAUCAGAAAACUGAACUUCUCCCAAUAAAGUUUACAAUUUGAUAUGCAUUUUAGGUGAUAUUGACUUUUUCUUUUGUUCAUUUCAAGAGGACGGGGUGCAAAUGUCAUUUCCUAUUGUCGUCAAAUGUAUAAUAGAAACCAUUACGUGGAAUCUGACAAUCAUAGCUUCAAAACACUGGUGAAUCCAUUAACGACUGUUAAAAAUUACAACAUUUUCUAUAUAUGAAAGAUUUGGGAUUGCAGCUUGACCUGCAAUUACAUCACCACAACUCUGCUGGAGGGUUCCGAAUUCCAAACUUAUUUAUUCAAAGUCAAAGGUUAUCGAACCAGUGAGGCUGUUAUUACCCAAGCCUAAAUAGUCCAGACCUUCCAAAUGAAACAAUGACCUUGGAAUGCUUCCGGUGAAGUUAUUGCUGUUGAGGUUGAUGUGUCCCAAGCUUGGGUAAUUCAUCCAACAGUCAGGAAUUUCUCCUGAUAGAGAAUUCUCCCGAAGAUCCAGAUACAAAAGAAAUUGAUUUUCAUUCUUCACUUCACACAAAAUGUGAGAGAUGCCUCCUGAAAAUCAAUAGUUGGAAAUUAAGUUCUAAAUAUGUCAAUCAAUGAUAAAUUAAUUGGGUGUGUAAGCAAUUGAAUAUCUUUGAUUGUUGUGUGCAUAUAAAUCUUUUAACAGUUUUAGAGAUAUUUGAACUUUUACUAUAAAAUUAAUUGUGAGAAAUGAUGGGUUGAAUAAUCAAGAGGGAAUAGCCAUUGAAUGUGUUUGACUAUAAUGCACAUAUAAACCUUUAACAAUUCAGAGACAUUUGAACUCUUACCCUGGAGUUGAUUGUGAGAAAGGUCUAUGGUUUGCAAUGAUGAAUUGAACAACCAAGGUGGAAUGGUAUCUGAAAUUCCUGUGAAGGACAAGUUCAAAUCCUGAAGGAAUUUUUGUGAUCUGAUCCAUGUAGGAAAUUGGGGAUCCAGCUUCCAUGAACUCAAUCCAAGUACAUAAAAUUGGACAUGAGGAGUCCAACUUGCACUUACUUUUAAGGUCAAGGAGUUUCCAGAUGCAUAAAAAAUCCUUAAAGCUGUCAGAUUGUCCAGGUGGCUCUCACUCACAAUACCUUCUAUUAAAUUAUCAGCAAUACCAAGCUCUUCAAGUUUGGAAAGUUGCCAAAGACUUUCAGGAAGAGUUCCAGUGAGUUUGUUCUGAGAUACAUCCAAGUGCUCCAAGGAUGACAGUUUUCCUAAAUUUGAUGGAAUUGAGCCAGAUAGAGCAUUAUCAUAUAGCCAAAGGUAUUCUAGUUUGGUACAGCUUCCUAAAUUUGAUGGAAUUGAACCAGAUAGAGCAUUAUCAUUUAGCCAAAGUAGUUUGAGCUUGGUACAGUUGCCAACUGUGCUUGGAAUUGAACCAUUUAAGUGAUUACCGCUUGCACCAAGUGUAAUCAAGUCCUUCAAUGUGAAUACUUCACUUGGUAAAGAGGAGCCAAGGUUGUUAUAAGACAGACGAAGAUAUUGAAGGUUGGAAAUGUUGGCAAUAGAGCUUGGGAUAGAACCUCGAAAGUGAUUGGAGCCAAGAUUUAGUGAAAUUAGGGCAGGUAAAGUGGAUAAUUGGCUUGGGAGGAAGGUAGCGAAGUUAUUCACUGAACUCCAAUUCCAAAUUCCAUCCAAAGAGCCUUCGAAUUGAUUCCCCCCAAGGUUGAGAGAAAUGAGGUUGUUAAGAUGAACAAGCUCAUCUGGCAGUGAACCAUUCAGAUGGUUGAAAGAAAGAUCCAAGUGCUUGAGGGCAGUCAAGUUCCACAGAUCUCUGGGCAAUGGGCCUUCAAACGAGUUCUCACUUAAAUCAAGGGAAGCAAGGGCAGUAAGACCGAAAAUCCAUCUAGGGAUGAGGUGUUCAAGAAAAUUUCCAGAAAGAUCUAGGACAGUAAGAGAAGAAAAGUUGGCAUGGAAGACAAAUGUAUCUCUGUCAAGAUGAUGAGAAAUUAAAUCAAGUUGACAAUAGCGCAGAUGUAUCUCUACCAAGGAAGGGACCGUGUUAAUCACCUCUAGCCAAUUAGACGCCGUACUAAGGUUCACGCGACUCAUAUCUAGGUGCUCCAGAUUAGAGAGACCAACCAACCAUUGCAGGUUAUCAACUUGAAGAUCGGACAGCGGCCCAAAUUCUGCGCCAACACUUAAAGUGCGUAAACUUGAUAGGUUUCCAAGCUGAUAGGGAACCGUUCCUUGAAAUCCAGCUCCAGAUAAAUUCAGGUACCUUAGACUUCUGAGAGACCCAAAAAAACUGGGAAUUGGAAUUCCACUGAAAUCAUUUAGACUUAGAUCAAGGUAACGCAAGUGAGUCAAAUUUUGUAACGAAUGACUGAUUUUACCGCUUAAUGGUGAUGUUUCCUCAUCACCAAAAUCAUCAAUUUCAGGAUCAGGACUCUGAAGGUGAAGUUGAAUCACGCGGCCACUUCGGUUGCUACAAACAACUCCUUCCCAUUCGCAGCAAUCAACGUCGUGAAUCCAAGACGAGAGUCUACCAGAGGGAUCUUUCAAGUCUUUCUUGAAGUCCAUAAGAGCUUGUUUCUCACUUGCAUAGCAAGUUGCAUUUACAGUUUUGCUGGAAGAACAGAGUAAAAUUAUUGCGACGAGUAAGAAAACAGAGAAAUGGGUUGAUCCACCCAUGGUCAUGUGAAAUGUCGGCAGAUAUACAUUGCAGUACUUCGGCUAUGUUGCAGGUAGAUAUAUAGAGCUGGCUGGCAGUGGUCGUCAAAUUAUGGUGGAAGAAAUGCACAGUUGAUAUAAAGCUUCACUGUUGACGUGGCUGUCCAUAUCAGGCUUGGAAAGCAUAUUUCACUUUUGCUGCGUUUACAUUGACAAGUCAACAAUGGAAGACUCAGGAAUCCUGAUUUCGAAAAGAAUUUAUUUAAAAUUCUCCCUAUAAUUUUAGUUGUUAUCCCCCUAAACAAAAUUAUUUUUUUCGUUACUUUGUUUAAUUUCUUUUGAUAAAGUGUCAUAUAUCAAACUAACAAUUAGUUUCCUUAUAAAAGUAUACCAUUCAUAUCUACAUUACUAUACAGUUAGUAUUAUUUUUGAAUAAAAAUUAUAAAAAUAUAAAGUUUUCUUUUCUCCGAGUUUCUUAUGACAAACCAACUCUUAGUCUCUUUGAUAACUACAAUUUUACAAUAGAAACUAAGGUAAUACUGUAUAUGUUACAUAGGAAAUCAAAGACAAAGAAAAGAAAAAAAAAAUAUUCUAGCUAUCAUACAGAUUAAAGAAGUUUCAACUGUGAUUUUGAAUACCUUACACUGACAGUAAAUAGAAUGGUAGAGAGUUUAAUUUUCACAUUUUUCUUUAUACAUUGUUUUUAUUUCAUUUUUUUAAAUUUCUUGCUUCUAAUUAUAAUCUAUUGUGCUUUCAUUUUGUUUUUGAUAUGCUUUAUUUGCUAUAAUAUCAUUGAUGAUUCGUUCCCACUAAAGUAAAAGCUCGAAUUCGUCACUGAUGCUUAUGCAUAUUUUUAAGGGUAAAUACAUCAACAUAACCUACAUAUGAAGACGAUUAAACAUAAGAAAUUUAAUAAUUCUGUUGAUUUAAAUCUACAUAUAAGAUUGUUAUACAAGUCAUUGAAAAUAGUUUAUUGAAACUUUUUAGUAUAGAUGAAAGCCGUCAAAGGUUAUCAAAUAUAUAUGUGUCUUUAAAAAAAAAUACAAAGAAGAAGGCGUCAGGGAAACACCUACAUGCUAGUGAAGAAAAUCAUAUUAAAAUUGUUUUAAAGAAGCCAAAAAUACACUAGAAAUAAGUGGUACUCUUACACAUUGGCGGCUGACGGGAUGCUGUCUCGUCUUUCAAGCAAAGACAUAAUACUUCACCGAAGUAAAGAAAUAUCUGAUUGAAGCCUCAGAGAGACUUUGAAAAGAAUCUUUGGAAAGAGUAAUUCACUUUUGCUCGGUUACAUUGACAAGUCAACAAUGAAAACCAUUGAAAACUCAAGUUUGAUUUCUCAUUUAUGAUUUUAGGCCAUGAUGUAAUAGGUCUAGGCAUUAAUUCGAGUGGAAUUUGAUUGGAAUCUGAUUAGGAUAAGAAUGUAUUCAUUUUUGGCCUGAGUAGCGACAAAUAAAAAGUCGUAUGACUUUUAACUAGUCUCAGUCUGAUUUUAAUAUGUAUAUUUAAUGUAAGAAGAAAUCUUCUUGUUCUCAUGCACCGCAGUAAGAACAGUAUCAGAUUGAAACUAAUGUUUCAUGGUUCGCACUUCAAAUUUUCUCCAAUAAUUGUUCCUUUUUUAUUAUGUGGUUUAGAGCUAGAAAUUGGCCCCAGAGGUUAAAAUCACUCUUUUUAAGCUCAUAUGCUAGGAUUUAACUCUUAUUGCUAUCACUAAAGCACUCAUUCAGUAAAAUUAGUAAAGCCAGAAAAUAUGAAAAAAAAAAGAAACAUUAAAGUUGCUUUGAUUAUUCCAUUUUUGUAAUUAUUCUUUAAUACAAGUUGUAAUACCAAAACAAUUUAACAGAAUCUCAUCACUUAAGCAUAGACUUUAAGCCUCUUGCCAAAAAUUCAAAAACCACCCGUUGAGAUAUUUACUCAUAUAUAUAUGCACACUGUUUUUUUCCCUCAGAAUAUUAUUUUUUAUUAUUGCAAGUAUUGCGAUUUACUUUUAUGAGAAAAUUCCGAUUUGGAUACCCAAUGUUCGAGGGAUGGAGACCAAAAUGGUCUCUUUUGCAUACACGUUAAACAAAACAAAUUUAGCAAUCAAAGUUUGGAAGGUGAAAAAAUUUGAUUCAAAUAAUAAUUCUUUUUCUUAAGGAAAUUAAAAAAAAAGGAAAUUUCUGUCUGCACAAUGUUUUCUAAGAAUCAUAGUAAUUUUUUUUUCUGCAAUGCAGAAACUUCCAUUUCAAGUUUAAAAUGGAAAAAAUACUGAAAUGGAAAAUAAAAUUGAAAGAAAUAGAUUUCAGUGCACACAAGCACAAAAGCAGUGGAAAGUGCUGAAAAUACUUGACUUUGGAAGCACAAAUAAUGCUGAUAUGUACCUUAGGCAUAAAUAUAUCAUCACAUCCUAUGUGCAAAGUAGAUUAAACAUAAGAAACAAAAUAUUUUUCUUUCUGAUCUACCUUACUUCUGCAAUUCGUAGAAUCCUUCAUAUACUUUUUUUUUUUUUUUGAAAUGUGAAGGUUUAUGAAUCUUUAAAACAUGGGCAUUUCAAUAUUAAGAAAAGAAUGAGUGCUUUUUUUUUUAAAAAAAAUAAAACUUUUAUUGAUGCAACCAACAAACGUACACAUAUCAGGUCCAACCCAUUCCUAGGAGUACAAACUUAAAAACCCUGACCAGUCCUAGCCACCCCCCACCGCUGGCGUCUUCGAAAACUUGGAAACCCGUACGCAUCCAAGGUAAUGUCCCCCCUCACCAACCUAGGCAAUGCACUAUAACCCUCAUAAAUUGUAGUACACCCAGCCUCCACUCCAACAUUAGACAACCUGUCCGUCGGCUUGUUUGCCUCCCGAAAGCAAUGAGAAACGGCUUCAAAAUACCGUCCAAAUUGCUGCAGCUCUAGUAGCUCCUUCUGCAACCGCCAAGGACACCGAACCUUCCCCUAAAUAAUACGGACCAACACCAUUGAGUUAGACUUCAGAUGCAACCUAAUUAAGCCACGGGAUACACCUCAUCGAACACCAAAGAGAAGCGCUUUCAGCUCCGCAUGAAGGCUCGUAGCCUCCCCAAAAGAACACGAGAAGCCAAGCAGGAACCUCCCAUCAGAAUCCCUGAACAAACCCCCACCACCACUCCUCCUCGGAUUACCCCUUGAACAACCAUCGGCAUUCAGUUUCACCAUCGACUGAGUCGGACAUCCCGAACGAACCUCCCGUAUGAUAACCUUGCUCCGCAACCUAGAUAUCAUCUCAAAAAAACCAAUCCGUGAAUUACAAGACAGAGAUAUCUCUCGAAACUGAAGACAGACGCAUUCUCUCAGCUCCAAGAAAAUCCGAUCACAAAUAUGCACUACCGAGUCUAGCUUACCAUAAAAAAUCCACAUAUUCCGCAUCUUCCACAAAUUCCAACAAAUUAACAAUGGCAAUGUGUGGAGAACAAAACCAAGGUAUGGAUUAAUACUAGGUUUAACCCACCAACUCAUCACCUUAUGUCUAAUCGUGAGAGCCUCACUAAACCCGCCAAUGAGACCCUCAAAGCAACCCCAAAUCUGCCUAGCCACCUCCCCUGUACAAAAAAUGUGGCUAAUAGUUUUUGGGGAUGGUCUCAGAGAACAACAAAAGCUCUUAGAAGGGCCCAGAAACCCAAACUUGUGUAACACAUCCAUCAGCGGCAACCUACCAUACAUCAAUCAUAGCAUGAAGAAGGAAAUCUUGGAUGGUAGGGCCUGAUGCCACAAGGAAGCAAACAGACUGGAAACGUUACCUCCUUGACGCACUAUCUGAUAUGCCGACGCAAUAAUAAACUCACCUGAAUUAGUGGGGGCCCAGAACAUUUCAUCUACCGCCACCGCUGUAGGGGGAGCCACCCCCAGCACCCGCGACACCCAUUCUGAUGGUAACACCCUACUUAAGCCUUGCAAAUUUCACCUGUCUUCCACGACAAAGUCUGCAACCGAGCGCUCCUGAAAUGAGUCCACCUGCCUACUUAAGCUUUUGGCAUCCUUCAUAUACUAAUAAAAGUAUUUUGACUAACUUUUCCUCAUUUCUUCAUAUUUUAUAAAUGUUCGUCCAAUGAAAAGUUUGAAGAUAAUUACGUUUAUUAUGAAAAUCUUUGAAUGAGGGGCUGAGUAAUUUUGUUAUUAUUCUAAAGUUGAACUAUUCAUUUGUUCAUUUAUUUGCAAAUGAGGAUGUAGGUUGCAAAGGCGCACAACUUAAUAUUUUUAGGCUAGACACAAGAAUCAGCGAUAUUUACGCUAUGUCCUUCCCCUAUUCAAAUUGACGGCUAAUAGGGUACUGUAUUGACAAAGGACCAAGACCUCAAAUUUUCUAGCAGACACAAAAGGACCAAGACCUCAAGAUCUCAAAUUUUCUAGUAAAUAAAGAGAGUUCACUAAACUGGAGAAAUAUUUGAUUUAAAUUCUUUACGUGUAGAAUGUGCAAAUUUUAUUAGUAGUCACAAUCAGAACUAUGCCAAAUAUGUCAAAUUAACAAAGUUGAUGGGAAUGCUUUGACUUUGUCAUAUAUAUAUAUAUUAAGGGAAGACGAGAUUUAAGGAGUGGGAAAGGAAAAAUUUGAGCACAAAAAUUCUAAAUCCCAAGAUCUUAUAAUUAUAUCUUAUGACUUCUUCAAAUUCAAAUUAAUUCAUCUCUUUUUGAGCUUCCUUCUCCUCACUUGUUUCCUCAAUGCGAUUCAUCAUGUGGUUGGUUUAUGGGAAUAAAAAUUAAUGAACUACUAUAAUUUGGAGAGCUAUUUUUGAAUCAAUUUUUACUAUAAUUUGACUUAAGAAGGGUAAUUUUCCUGUUUGGAUUGCAUUUUUCUGGAUUUUUUGUAGAAAAUUACUGUAGCGAUUUGAUAUAUGUGAGGUAAAAAAUUGAUAGGAAAAUGUGUUCACAAAAAAUGUGGUAAUUUUUCUGAGAAAAAUCGCAAUCCAAACGGGAGUAUUUUUACGAAAGAAUACUGUGCUAUUAAAAUUUGUCCUAUGGAAUAACUUCACUAGGUACUUAAACUUAUUACCAUUUUCCUGCAGCUAAAUGUUUUGUGCACUGAAAAAGUAUUAUACUAGAAAGUUGCCAGCAUUGUAUUGUUGUUUCCAAGGUUCGGGUUGUUGUCGUGCAAUAUACUAGCUAGGUAUUUAAGUAGGCUUAUGACUGUUGACCUUGAGUUCAUUUCUGUCAAGAGUAGGUUUUUCCAGUGUAGUCCUAAUUUUUAGGGUUCUCUACCGAUUAAAACUGAAGUAAAAUGUUCAUUCUUCUAAUGGAUAUGGAGUAAAAAUUGGUACCCAAUAUGUAUGUGCAUUUAGAAAUGUCAUAUUUUAGAGUUUUAAAUCUAUAACCUACCAUGAGAACUAAAAAAAAAACUGCAGUCCCAAUCCCAUCAUGGGAUUUCUGCCUUGCAUUUCCCCUUUUCCUUCUUUAUGUUUCUAUCUAUUUGUCAAUUAUCAUUGUGAACUAAAAUAUUAUGAACACCAUUGUGAGCAUUAUAUGUGUAUUUUCUAGCAAAGACAAAAGACUUAAUCGAAGUGGAGAAAUAUCUGACUGAAACUCUUUAAUGUGUAUUUUCUUCUUCUCUUGUCAAUAACUUUUUAUGUGUAGAAUGUGGAAAUUCAAAUACUAGUAAUGAUCAAGAAUAUGACUACAAGUGAAAAUUCAUUUGAUGUGGUCACAUCCUAAUUGGUUACUUUCUUAUUUGUCAUUAAAUUUUUGGAUAUCUAACACAAUGUUUGGAAAUGAUUAAAAGGAGUGAGUAAAUUAGUUUCUAAUUUUCUUUUUUGUUAAUCUUUUUUGUUCAAGGGAAAACUCCAAACCUUAUAAUGGGGAAAGGGGAAAAAGGAAGAAGUAUCAAAGGUGAAGAGGAAGGAUUUAAGAGUCAAAUAAGGAAUUUCAUAAACAACUGACUAAAUAUCCUAAAUUAGGUCUUGGGGACAAUUUUUGUUACCUUAACAAUAUCUAAAGCAUUACUUUCAAUUUAAACAUUUUUUUAUGACCUUUUAAACUUCAAUUCUUACUCCUUUGAUGGAGGAACAAAACUAAUUCCUGCCCAAAUUACUUAUGCAUAUGAUGUCAACAUAAACACAUAUAAGCAUUGUGAGUAAUUGCAAGUUAUAUCUAAGAAGAUAACUUUCAUUUCAUGAAGUAAAGGAAUAUCAUAAUUUUGCUUUAGUUUUGAAAAUUUUUUGUCCAAUAAAUUCAAAACCAAAAUUUACGUACUUCCAAAUUUAAUACCGCAUCAAGUAUUCUAUUUACACUAAUUAUCAUACGGUUACUUUUCGAUUCUGCGAACCCAUUGACAUCAUAAUCCUUCCCAUAUUACAUCGAGGGCUUAUUGGAUUUCGUACAGACUAAAGACCAAGAAGUCUAUUUCCCAGCAACCAGAUACCAAGAUUUCAAUUCUAUCGUUUCUGAAAAAAAAAAAGAUACCAAGAUUUCAAAUUUUGCAGCAAAGACGGAAGACUUUACGUGUGGAAUGUGCAAAUGCACAGGAUAGUGAUGAAUGCCUCUAGAAAACAAAUUCUCAGAAAGGUCUAUUGUUUUAAACAUAAGAAAAUUCAUAUUCUUUUAUAUUUUUUUCUCGGUCUCAGCAAUUCAUAGAAACAUUCAUACACUAACAGUAAGUUAUUUGACCUUAUUUUCUGUUCAAUUCAUAGAAACAUUCAUACACUAACGGUUUUUCUUAUUUCACCAAAUUCUUUACAUAUUUGUUCAAUGGAACGUCUGAAAAUAGUUACAUUCACUAUGAAAACCUUUUAAUAAGGGACUGAAUAAUUUUUGUUGUUAUUUUAAAGUUCAAGAAGUGUGAUUUAGUCGCAUAUUAGCAUUUAGGAAGCAAAGGUCCACAAGUUAAUACUCCAGUCUAAUGACGCCAAUGACUAAUGGGAUGCCGUGUAGACAACGGACCGAGACCUCAAAUUUUCCAGCAAAGCAAAGGACCACGACUCUCAAGACCUCAAAUUUUCCAGCAAAGAAAGGGACUUCACAAAAUUGGAGAAGUAUUUGGUUUAAAGUCUUUACGUGUGGAAUAUGUACAAAUUUUAUUCGUAGUCAUGAUCUAGACUAUGACAAAUAUGUGAAAUUAGACAAAGUUGAUGGGAAUGCUUUGACUUUUUCAUACAUAAUUAUAUCUUAUUAAAUCUUCUAUUUCUUAUUUCAUCUCUUUUGAAACUUUUCUUAUGCUAAACUUGUUUGGCUUUAGGUCUUAUAUUGCACUUUUUCAUGUUACAUUUUAGGGUAAAAUAUCAAAAAAUUUCUUGUGGUUUGUCAAAUAUACGGUGUAGGUUUCCAAAUUAGAGAGAGUUAAAUUGUACAUUUAACAAACUACAGGAAGUGUUUUGGUAUUUUACCCUACACUUUAUUAUACAACUUCUUAAAGUGACAUAUGUCCCAUGAAUGGGGAUAUUUUAAAUAACUUGGAUUGUUACUUAUUAUUACAUAGGACAUAUCAUUCUGAUGGAUAGUAUAACAAAAAUAUAACAGAAAAAGUUGUCAUAGAGGAUCUUGUGCUGCCCAAUAGGGCUUUCCUCUAAUGUAGGAUAGCAUAGAAUUAGUGCAGUUGCCAUUGAUUGAUAAAAGACUCAGUAGAGAAGAUUGUACUGCUUUGACUCAUUCAUUAUUGUUUUGUAAUUUUUUUUGGGACAGUGCUUCCGCAUCGAGAGUUACUAUCAAUGGCAGAGGGGAGCAACUAUCCUUUGGGGAUAUAUUCUUGGAGAUUCGAUCGGCGGAGCAACAGGUGGUAGAGGCCGAACUAGCCUAUGAUGGCAUCCCUUCCGCGGAAUUACUGAUACACCUACAUGAGGCACGAGCGCGGCUGCGCAAUGCUUUGGUAGUUGAAGAAGGGUUUUGGAAGUAGAAAGCUUGGGUCAAGUGGCUGGCGGACGGUGACCGGAAUACGGCUUUCUUCCAUUCUGUAGUGACGGAGAGGAGAAGAAAGUCGGUUAUUCAUCGAAUUCGGAGUACAAAUGGCGACUGGGUGGGCGACGAGGCAAGUAUUUGUAAUGAGGCCGUCGCUUUCUUCAGGGUUUGUUUACAGAGGAGGUAGGAAGUGUCCCCAGUGACAUGUUGGAGGUGAUUCCGAGGGUUAUUGAUGAUCAGGAUAAUAGCGGGCUGACGAAGCUCCCUUCUAUGGAUGAAGUGAAAGAGGUCGUGUUUUCGAUGGAUGGGGACAGUGCCGCAGGUCCGGAUGGACUUACAGGGAAGUUUUUCACGGCUGCUUGGGAGGUAGUUGCCGAGGAUGUUCACCGGGCUAUAGAGAGUUUCUUUUGUGGCGCGGAGUUGCCAAGAUUUGUAACUGCUACUGCCAUUGUGUUGUUGCCUAAGGUUCUCUGUCCACAGGAUUUUACACAAUUCAGACCGAUAAGUUUAUGCAACUUUGUCAAUAAGGCCAUAUCUAAGCUCUUAUCCGUCCGCCUGGCUAAGGUUCUUCCUCGGAGUAUCUCGCCGUAGCAGAGUGGUUUCGUGCCAGGACGACAAAUGCCGGACAACUUUCUGUUAGCUCAGGAGUUGUUGAGCGAUAUUAGGAAACCCAACCGGGGAGGGAAUGUUGUGCCCAAGUUGAAUAUGAUGAAGGCCUAUGACAGGGUAUCGUGGAUGUUUUUAAUACAAGUCUUUCGGCGGUUUGGGUUCAGCAAGCUGUGGAUUGAUAUGGUGUGGAGGCUGGUGUCAAAUGUGUGGUUUUCUGUCAUUGUGAACGGCUCGCCGCAGGGGUUCUUCAGGUCCACCCGAGGCUUGCGCUAGGGAGAUCCGAUAUCGCCGGCUUUGUUUGUCAUUGGAGCAGAGGUACUUUCCCGUUCUCUGAAUGCAUUGGCGGUGCAAAGGCAUUUCCACCCCUUCAAAGUUCCUAGUGGAUGCCUGGUAGUUACGCACUUGGCAUAUACAGACGAUGUGAUUAUUUUCACCAGCGGAGUCAAGGCUUCGGUGCAGUUAGUCAAGCAGGUAGUCGAUGGGUAUUGUUUUCUGUCGGGGCAGCGAGUUAAUUGUCAGAAGAGUUGCUUUUUGGUGCACCCUAGGGUGCCUCCGCAAAGACGAGCAAUGAUCAGGGCGGUUACGGGCUUCCCGCACAAGUUGUUUCCUAUCAAAUACCUUGGAUGUCCUUUGUUCAUUAGGAGGAGACGUGUGUAUUAUUUUUUCAGAUAUCUGCAGUGCGGUCACGGCUAGAAUUUUAUCAUGGAAAAAUCGGGUCCUGUCAUCUGGGGGCAAACUAGUUUUACUUAUGUAGGACCCAAAACAACCAAUGCAAAGAUCAUAAACGAAACAAUAAGUAAAUAAAAAGGAAAGGAUUGCAAACCAAUUAACUACCCAACUCCUCUUGAGCUUGUAGAUUAAUUGAAACAAGCUACUUCAAGUUGAUGAAUUACAAUCACUCUUGUGUACAAAGGAAGGUUCACCUCCUCCUUGCCCCAAGCAGCACUCGGUCAAGCCAGGACGUUUUACUAUCCCUCAGGACAACCCUCACAGAGUUACACUCAUGAAAGAUUCACUCACAAAUGAAAAGCUUACAAUGAACCUCACACCACUAAGACUACAAAUAUUCUUUUUGGAGUAUUUUCUCACUAAAAUCUCUCUAGAUCUUUUGUAUCUUUAGUGUGCCAAAGUUCUUUGAAGUAUCUGACCAACCACUAUUUAUAUAGGACCAAGAAAGAGCCUCAUUAAAGCUUCCAACGGAUAGAAAGUAGCUGAACAGUCAACUAGCCGUUGGUAGUGUCGGACGUCCGAUAGCACUGUUUUAUGCGUCCGACAGCAGGCAGUGAGUUUGAGAAAUUUUUUUCAAUUCUUUCGGACGUCCGAUAGGCUGGUUUUCUGCGUCCGAAGAUACUCAAUGGUUGUCGGACGUCCGAUGCAGUCUUUUUGAGCGUCCGACAACUUCAGCAUACUUUGUCUUCUUCCAAUUGCACUUGUUCAUGGAAUCAAAUAAUUUCAUAACUGAAAAUAUAUCUUGAAGAAAUAUUAGUAUCAUCCAUUUGUUUUGUAAACAUCAAAAGAUAGGGAUCAAGAUCAACAACUUAGAAGCGUCCUGUCCUCAAUACCGAUCCACUUGUUAGCGGCGGCAUCACCGCCGAAGGCAGUGUUUGUGUCCCUCGAGAAGGUGAUGGCAGCCUUUUUGUGGGGCUCAUCGGAGAUUGGUCCUAGGUUUUAGUGGAUAAAUUGGGCGGAGCUAUACAGGCCCCCGGAGACAGGUGGGGUCAGUUUGCGUAGUAUUGCUAAGGUGUAUGAUGCAUUCGCCAUUAAGCUUUGGUGGAAUUUUAGGCAGCAAAAGUCGUUAUGGGCGUAAUUCCUGUCUGCGAAAUAUUGUAAAGGAGGGCAUCCUUGUUUGGUAGAAGAGAUCGCUUCACAGUCCUAUACUUGGCGAAGAUUAAGGUCAAUCCAGGAUUUGGCGGAGGAGCAUAUCGACUGGGUCCUGGGUGAAGGUUCCAUGGAUUUCUGGCAUGAUAAUUGGAUGGGUAAAGGAGCGCUAUGCCAUCGGGUAGAUAUCUUUCAUGAGCAUAGGGUGGCAGAUCUCGUCUUUCAGUCACAAUGGAACUGGUGACUGCUUAGUCAGUUAUUGGCGCCGGAACUAGUGAGGCAAGUGAUGCAAGUAUCCCCUCCGGUCUCUAGAGGAGCAGAUAAGAUGGUCUGGGCUUUAACAGCUGAUGGGGCGUUCUCAGUAGCCUCGGCUUAUUCCGUUGUUACAAUGUCAGAUACUUGCUCUUGGGUAGCUUCACGUGUUUGGCUGCAGGGUUGCCCCCUCAAGAUUUCCUUCUUCAUGCUCCGGCUGUUGCGGUCGCGCCUUCCUCUGAUAGAUAUGAUACAGGGAUUUGGGGUCCAGGGGCCGUCUAGGUGUCAGUGUUGCGCUGAGCCGGGUGAGGAAGGGAUCCAGCACACCUUCUGCACGGGGGAGUUAGCAAAGGCUGUUUGGACUAGCUUUGAGGAAUAUCAGGGAGAGUUGGCUAGGGUUUCCACGGUGUGUCAUCUGGUCGUGCGAUGGUGGCUGCGCCGGGGACACAAUGAGUACCUCAAGUUCGUUUAUCGAUUACUCCCAAUGCUGAUCUGUUGGGAGUUGUGGAAAGCGAGAAACAAAGGGGUAUUUGAGAGGAGGAAAGCGGUGUGUUCGGCAGUGGUGCGUCAGGUAUUUCUACAAUUGAGUGCUUUAUUUCAUUGCCGCUUCCCAGAGAUAGAUGGCUCUUUUAGGUCAUGGGAGGCUUUUCACUUGACAUUGGUGGGUUUGAGACGAAGGGUUUCUAUUAUACAGGUGGCAUGGGUGGCUCCGACGGAAGGGUUUAAAUUGAAUUCUGAUGGAUGCUCUAGAGGGAAUCCGGGGAUUAGUGGAGGUGGAGGUGUGGUGCGUGAUAGGGAAGGGAGGUUCAUUUUCGAUUACUCUUGCUUCUUUGGGUCCUUGACGAGUGUGCAUGAGGAGCUCAGGGCAAUGCUGUUUGGGGUACGGUUAUGUGUCGCUAAGGGUUUACAUGGGUUGCAUAUCGAGUCCGACUCGCUCAGCUUGGUGCGGACUCUGCAAGGGAGUCAAAGUUGCUCGUGGCGACUCCAACAGGAGAUGUACGAGUUGCUCAGCUAUAAGCAGUACUUCACGGAGAUCACGCAUUGUUAUCGGGAGGCAAACAAGCCUGCUGAUUGCCUGGCUAACAUGGGAGCGGAGUCGGAGCAGGAGAAGGUCUUUACUAGCUUUUCCGCUUUGCCUUGUAAUGUUCGAGGGGAAUUGGCUUUGGAGCGCGUAGGGAUUCCUAAUUUUCGUAGGAGGUGGGCUCGUUGAGCGUUGUAUGCUAUCAUUUGCUUAUUAUCAAGUUCAAUAAAAAAAUAUAUAUAUAUUUUGUAUUGGACUAAAAAGCUUACUGUCAAUAUGGGUUAUUGAACAUAUUACCUUAUACAGGAUGAAUCUUUUUUUUUCCCUGAAACUGACGCUAUAUUUGAUUUAAAAUAUAUUCAAUACUUCCAUUGAAGUUAUUCAUUACAAAAAUUUUCUGUGGAAAAGAAAACUCUAUAAAAUUUAAAAAGAAAAUUUAGAUAGAGGAGUGAACAUUUUAAAAUUUUAAAGGGGAUAAUGUAGUUAUGGAAGGGAUUUUACAAAGUUGAGGAGAAGCAAAUAAGGGGCAAAACAAAAAAUAUUGUAAAAUAUAUUAUAAAGUGUAAGGGGCCUAUUAUAUAACUAGUUUUGUACCCGUUCAUUGAACGGGAAUCGUCGAAAAAUAAUAAACUAUUUAGUCAAUUUUAUAAAAAUGUCGAUAUAAAAUACAAACUUAAUGUAUAAUCUAUUAUAACCUGUCUUAAGUAUAAUAGUAUGUGCGCAUUGUAAUAUAAAGUAUUCUUAUAACCUGUCUUACUGUAUUGAAGAAAGAUGUACCUGAUAAUCAAGAGGAAUGAAAAACCCAAAAUCGAUACUUUAAUGUGCCAACUACUUGCAUUGGAAAUACCUAACCAUGAAUUUGAUGCUUGAAAUUCAUAUAGUAGAGGCUAUAUGAAGUAUAGGCAUAAGAAAUAAAAAUUGAUAAGGAUAUAAAGAAAUAUUGAUAAGAAUAUUAAAAGUAAUUUUAUCUUGAUUUAAGUUGCUUAAAGUACGUAAGCCACGUAGGAAAGAGAAAACAAAGGCAAAAGAAGAGAGAGAUGAAAUAGGGUAGGUCAUUUUAUAGAGCGUGUUGAAAUUAUUUGCCGUUAAGCCACGUAGGAAAGAGAAAACAUGAAACUAUAUAAAUUUGAGAAGGGAUUUUUAGUAACAAGUUUCCACACAUCUUUCCACUAUCAAUUCUAUUUUUCUAGCAUUUCACAUUUAAUUUAAUUUAUAAAAUAUAUUUCUCUUAACUUCCACAUCUACUCUUCACAUUUGAAAUUGUUGGUUACUUUUUAAAAUAAUUUCAUUUCAAAUUGUUGGUUAAUGUGCAUGUUAUCUUAUUUGAACUUCAACCUAUCACGUUUCCGAUUGUCUUGCGUUAUUUAUGAUUCUACUCCAAUUAAAACUUCUAUAAGACCAUAACAAGAGAUAACAAAUAUAACAUCCUUUCAUGCUUUCUUAUUAAUUUAAAUAAGUAAGAUUAUUUACACUAUAUUUUUGUUAUUCACACUUCAAUAAUCUUUUUGAUCAUAUAGUUUUCAUUAAUUAGACUAUAUGAUAAAACAAAUGGUGGAAUUGCAAAUAAUAAAAAAUGGAGUGCAAAUAACAUUUUUCUAAGUAAGGAGUGGCUUCCAUGUCUUUCUAAUUUAAAUAAGUAAGAUGUGCCUCCAUUUAUAUAGGAAUUUGGUUUGAAGUUUAUUAGUGGGAGGGUAAAUAAAGAGAAAACAUUGCCAAACUUGGUAAAAGUAAAAAUGUAAAUGAUAAUAUUUUAUCUUUUAACUUAGUAAUCCUAAGUAAAAGAGCAAAAUUAAAUAGAAAACGAAAAGAAAAUAAUGUUGUGGAUUUAAAAAAUCAAGAAUGGUACCAUUUAUGAAAUCUAAAUUAUGAAAUCACUAAAUAAAAAACAAAGUACUACUGGCAUUUUAACGUGCAAAAUUUUUUUUUUUGAUAAAUAUGAUAAUAACAAUACCAAUUCUACCAAAAAUUUUAAAAAAAGUAACAUUAUAGUUUAAGAGAAAAACAUUGCCAAACAUUCGACCCUAAAAUACUACUUAAUUUGUAUAUAUCUAGCCCAAAUUUGACCCUGAUUAGAUUUGAAUAGGAGUGUAAAACCCAAACACUAAAGAUAACUUUUGGUAUCAUUAAUUAUUUUAUGUAUUCUUAUUGCCGUCUUCAUAUGUAAAUAUGUAUUUGCUAAGUUAUAUAUAUAUAUAUUGUAGUACUUGAAGAUAUUAUAGAUAUUAUCAGUUUUUCAUUUCCAUUUUUAGAUACUAAUAAUUGCAACCAUUGUAAUCAAUUUUCAAUUUUAUAUUUUCAUUAUGAUAGGUAAAGUUAAAAAUAUUUUUUUUUAUAGAAAUAGGGGUUUAUUCAUCAAGAAAGCAAAACAAUCACAAGUUCUUCUUACAAACGCCUACUUCUCCAAAAUGCAUGGAUAUGAAUUUAGAAGUUGGGUAUGGGGGGAAAAGGGAGGGAAGAAAAUGGUGAGGAGUUGAAAAGUGACGAGAAAGGUUGAAGAAGAAAUGUGGGUUACAAGGAAGGGCGGAGUAGGGAGAGAAGAAGAAAGGGAAUUGCAGCAAUAUGACAGAAAUGACAAAAAAAAAUAGAGAGAAUGGUAUCAUGAUAGAAGAUACGAAAGUCGUAGGAGGCAUCUCAUGAUUAGCUGGCGGAUAAGAAAAGAGGGAAAUGAUGGUGAUUUUUAAUAAUUUUGAGAACUCUAAAAAUAUAUAUUACAGAGAUUUUUUUUAAAUAUACGUUAAAGUUUAUAAAAAAAUGCUAAUCUAAAUGCAGUCAACAAUUUUAGCGGUACAAGACAGGAGAAAGAUUUUUUUCUAAAACUGGAAGAAAAUAAAUUGAUUAUAAUUUAUUUUGUUAUAUUAUAAGUUUUGAUAUAUGGGUAUAACAGAAUAUGUUUCGUUCGAUACUGAUAAUUUGAUUUUUUUUUUAGAAAACUCUUCUCACCUUACCACUCAACCUAACCCUUUCCUUAAAUGCGUUAACAAUUUCUCUAUCAUGUAAAUCAUUAUAAAUUAAAAUUUUUUCAACAUGUUAAACAUACACUUCUUUAAAAUUUUUAGUCUAUAUAUAUAUAUUAUUCUGUACCACAAUAUAUAAAUAUAUACAAUAUUAUUUUAAUUUGAAAUAUAAUCCCGUGCAUAGCACGAGUCAAAAUACUAGUAUUGAUAAGAAUAUUAAAAGUAAUGUUAUCUUGAUUUAAGUUAUUUAAAGUAUGUAAGUCACGUAGGAAAGAGAAAACAAAGGCAAAAGAAGAGAGAGAUGGAAGAGGGUAGGUCAUUUUAUAGAGCGUGUUGAAACUAUUUGCCGUAUCGUUAAGCCACGUAGGAAAGAGAAAACAUGAAACGAUAAAAAUGAGAAUACGACUUUAUUAUAUAGAUAUAGGAUUAAUCUUUCCUAUACUGACAGUGUAUACACUAUCAGCAUUGGAUGAAUGAUAACUAUGCAAAAUUUGAAAUUGAAAUUCAACUUUUGUACACAUGUCAUGAAUCCAACGAUGAUAGUGUAUACACCGUCAGUGUAGGAAAUAUUUACUCAUAUAUAUAUAUAUAUAUAUAUAUAUGAUUCUUUAAAACUUGAAAGGAUGGGGCAAUUGCCCACCCUCAAGCAUCCAUGGCUCCGCCCUCGGUUACUGUGCCAAUAAUAGGCUGAUUGUAUUGCUUUGACUUGGUCAUAACUGCUUUGUACUAUUAUCUACUUUUUUUUAUCUCAAAAUGAUUUAUCUAUUUUUUUUGUUUGAGUUUUUAUGCUAUGUAAUAUUUGUUUCACAAAUCAAUAUAUUUUCAUUUUAUCAUGUAUCUAGUUGAGGGAAAAAAGUUAAAGGUUUAGCAGAAUUGGAGAAUGGUAAUAACCGAUUCACGAAAUAGACCACAGUAUAAUACAACAAGACUUAGUUUUAACCUUAUUUUCAGAAGUCAAAAUUGUGGAAGAUGUUUCAUUAAAUAUUGAUGCCAUUCUACUUCAUCAUUUUCAUAAAUAGAUCUUGAAUAACGCUUUGCCCCCCUUGACCUUUACGAUCUUGAAUUUCAAAAAUAUAUAUUCUACCCAUCUCCCCCCUCAAAUGAAUUAUGUUUAUACUUUUAAUUUUGUACAACCUAUGUGCAUAUUUUUCUUCGUAGAUUACCCCCAAUUUUCCUAGUUUCGCAACAGUCAACUUUUAAACUAUUGCAUUUUCUUCUUAUGUUUCCAUCAAAAUAUUUUUGUUAUUGUGUGCUAUGAUGUUAGAUAAAAACUCCCCCUACAUCAGCCUUUUCCCCAACCUAUCCCAGUUUCCUGGCAGUGCUCUUGUGGUGACCAUUAUUAUUAUUUAUUUGACCUAGUUUUUUGUUUAAAAAAUGUAUAUAUAACACCAAUAAAAAUCGCAAUUAUCAGUCUUUUGAAUUAGCCAAAAAUUCAAUGUUAAUUAUCACAUUUGAUACUAUGUGAAAUCUAAAUCAAUACCCAUUAUUCUUUUACAAAUAGUAUAUAACAUGUGACAAAUAAAAAUAUAAGUAAAUUAAUAUAACAAAAUCAUACUUUUAACACAAACAUAAUAAAUCUCCAAGAAAUGGUACAUUAUUUUAUCACAAUAAAAUAACAUAUUGUUUAUUUUAAAUUUGAAUAUUUACAGACAUAUUAGUACUACACUACAUUAUAUAUAAGGCAGGGGAUAGGGUAAGGAAUUUAGCCCAAUUUAAAUCGAUGCUAAGUUAUAUAUAAAUCUAUGUAAUAAGUUAAUUAAACUAUUGUCCAACAUCACACCAAACGAUAGUAAAAUGUUUUGAUGAAUAUAUAAUAAGAAAAUACAACAAGCUAAAAGUUGACCAUUGAGAAAAUAGGAAGGUUAGGAGUAAUUUGGAAAGAAAAAUAUGCAUAUCGAUUUGUCAAAGUUAAAAGUACAAAUAUAAUGCAUUUAAGAGGGCACAAUGUAUAUUUUUCAAGUUUAGGGUGGCAAAGUGUUAGGUUUUUGUUGGGGGGGGGGGUUGCAAAGUGUUAUUAACCCAUGUUAAAUAUUGUAACAUAAACCAACUUUGAACAUUUAUGCAUUUUUUACAUUUUGUAACAGUUCGCCACCAACUGCGGUUUCAAACAGGAAUAAAACGCCUUUUUCCCCACUUUUUCUGGCAAACCGUUGGGUAUGACGGACAAGGGGCUGGAGCGGUUGUCUGACAACCGCUUAUAAAUUUUUCAUGGCCAAGAUGUGGUGGGCCCAUCAUUAAAGGCCAAAAUGAAAUCGAACAAAAUGGAGAUGAGUGUAGAGGAUUGUUGCUUUAAUACAAGCUUAACUUUUAACUCCGUUUGGUCUGGCCGUUAAGGGUAUGAAAAAUUCAAAAUCAAAAUUUGAAAAUCAACUUUUGGUAUGAUCGCGCGGGAUUUAAAACUGUUUCAACUUAAAAGAUGUGGGAAGAAAAUGACAGUAAUGAAUUUUCUCUGAACACAAUACAUUGUCGUUGUAGCUCCUUUUGUUUUUCUCCUUUCAACAAGCUCCUUCUAUUCUUCUCCACUCAACAAAUUAUUUCGCAUAACAUAGACAUAAAUUUUUGUCUUCUUCUCUUCCAACUCUUAAAUAAACCUUAUCAAAACGGGCAUCUUUUCUGAGGUGUGCACAAGAUAAUUGUGAAGAUCCGCUGCAGCAACAAUACACGCUGAUUUAAGUAGUGGAUGACUGAGAUAGAUAUUCAUCGAGUAACAAAUGCAUAACCGAGACUUGUGAGCGACCCAUCUGAAAUUUACUGCAUGGUGAACUCUGUCCAAGGUAAACGCUAAUAUUAUAUGUAAUUCGGUUGUAAUAAAUGUGUUAUUUAGUGAAGCAUGAUUUAAAAAUUAUAAUAAGUAUGUCAUUAUCCUUUUAGAGAGAAUGGUUAACUUGUACAAUAAAGAUCCCGUACAGAAUUUCAAAAUAUAAAUGAGGAUGUGUACAAAUAAAAUAACAUAAGCGUAAAAAUAACUUAACAAUGUGACCAACUUAAAUAACUACAUAAACGGUAUAGAUGACAAUGUAUAGAUUUUGAGAAUUCUGUCAAACCUUAAGCUAUGUAAAAGUGUAUGAGGCAUACAUGCAUUUGUUAUGUUACAAGUUGAUAUAAAGGGUGUACACAUUGUUAUAAAGUGUGUACAUAUGAUUGUAAAAUAUGUAAAUACUGAUAUUAUGCACAAAUUGGUUAUAAUAUUUGUUUGAAAUGUAUAUAUUAUGUAGUGAAAUAUGCUAUGCAAAUUAUUAGAGUUAUGUGAUUACCUAUUACAAAGAAGAUACACAUCCAUAAAAAUUAUUUUACAAAAUGUUGUAAGGUGUGUACACGUCGUUAUAAAGUAUGUACAUAUGUGAAUACAAAUAAUUAAGUGCUUAUGAUGUGAAUAAAGAAAUAAAAAAUAAAUAUAAUUGUUUGUCCUGAAAAACAAUAGCAAAAAAUGCUUUUGUCGAAUACAGCACAAUGGAAGAAGCAUUGUGUCCUAAGAUCGGCAUGGAGUUUCAGUCAGAAGAUGAGGCAUACAACUUCUACAAUAGGUACGGAUUAGUUGUUGGGUUCAGUGUUCGGAAAGACUACUUGAACAAGGAUAAAGACGGUGUAGUUACAUCGAAAAGGUACACAUGUUGCAAAGAAGGUUUCAAACCACGGUACAAAGGAGAUGUAAAACCAAAGAGAACUCGGGCUGAAACAAAAACCGGAUGUGAAGCUAAAAUGGGGAUAAUUUUGAACAGAGAAACAAUGAAGUAUCAGGUUCGAGAUCAGGUAAUCGAGCAUAAUCACACACUACACAUUUCAGAAUGUGCUCAUAUGAUGCGUUCGCAAAGAAAAGUAAGUAUUUCUCAAGGAACCCAAGCUGAGAUUGCAAAUGAUGCAGGAAUAUCCUUGAAACAAUCCCAUGAACUCAUGGGAAAAGAGGCAGGUGGAUUAGGCAAUAUUGGCUACACUCAUGAUGACUUAAAACGCUAUCUACGAGCAAAAAGAGAGAGGGGAUUAAAGUAUGGUGAAGCUGGUGCAAUGCUACUAUACUUUGAAGAACAAAAAUUGGAAAUUCCGUCAUUCUUCCACGUAGAGCAGCUUGAUUGUGAAGAACAAAUUACAAAUAUAUUUUGGGCUGAUGCAUCAAUGCUGAUGGAUUAUACCUAUUUUGGGGAUGUGAUUACAUUUGACACCACAUAUAAAACUAACAAGGAGUACAGACCAUUGGGCGUAUUUGUGGGAUUCAAUCAAUUUAGACAAUUGGUUAUUUUUGGAGCAACUCUAUUGUAUGAUGAGACCAUUGAAUCAUUCAAGUGGGUGUUCAGUACAUUUGUAGAGACAGAUUGUGGAAGGCACCCAAAAACCAUCUUCACAGAUCAGGAUGCAGCCAUGGCCGCUGCAAUUUCAGCUGUUAUGCCUUCAACAUACCAUGGUCUGUGCACUUUUCAUAUUAUAGUCAAUUUCAUGAAACACCUUGGGAACUAUUACAAGGAUGGUAGUAAUCUCCCAUAUAGAUUUGUUGAAUGUAUGUAUGAGAUAGAAGAUGAAAAUGAGUUUAUCAUGGCCUGGGAUGCAAUGCUAAAAGAACACAAACUCGAAACAAAUGAAUGGUUGUGUGGCAUUUAUGCAUGUCGAAAGAAAUGGGCAAAAUGCUUCAUGAAAGGCGCCUGGACUGCAGGUAUGCGUAACACCCAGCUAAGUGAGAGUCUAAAUGCUUCAAUAAAAAAUUAUCUGAAACUUGAUCAUGAUCUGGUUCAAUUCUUCAAACAUUUUAACCGAGUUGUGGAUGAAAAAAGAUAUAAUGAACUAAGAAUUGAGUAUCACAGUCGACAGAAGCUGCCAAUGUUGGGAUUGCAACAGACUCCCGUACUGAUCCAGGCAGUUUCUAUAUACUCUCCAUGCAUGUUUGUUGCAUUCCAGAAUGAAUACGAUGAAUCCACUAUAAUGGUGAUCUUGGACCAAAAGCAUACUACAAUGCAUGUGGAAUACAGUGUCAGUCACUAUGAUGGAGGAAGGGAAAGAAGAGUGAUAUUGAAUCCAAUAACUAAAGACAUUACUUGUAGUUGUAAUCUUUUUGAGCAGGAAGGAAUCCUAUGCUCACAUGCUUUAAAGGUGUAUGAUAUGGUUGGAACAAAGUUUAUUCCUAAUCAAUAUGUGACAAAGAGGUGGACAAAGAAGGCAAGGUCCGGAGGCCGCAUCAAUUGCAAGGGUCGAGAAAUAUCAUUAGAUCCGUCUCUCUCUAUUUCCCAUCGAUAUAGGCUAUUAGCACCCGAAAUGGUAAGACUUGCUACCAGGGCUGCCAUGUCAGAAGCCGCUACAAAGUUAGUCAGUAGCGCAAUGUCUGAAUUGUCAAAGAGAGUCGAAAUGCUAUUUUGUGGAGAAAUAGAUGAAAUAACAUAGAAUAGUGCAUCAAUGGAUCUAUGUAAGGGAAUACAGGUGUAGAAUGCAGCUGGCCACUUUGUGACUCCAACGGGUUUGAAGAAACGAAGUGGCAGAAAAAUUAAGAAAGUAUUGCGUAGUUGGGUGGACAGGUUUCAUAGGCAAAAGAAAAACUCUAGAUUGUCUGAGGCAAGCACUCCUGAGAUGGUUAGUACCGAAUCUUAUUUUUGGACUUACAUAACUAUAUCAUUUCAAUUGACUCUACUAUCAUAAGCCGACUGAGUUGUUGUAUAUUCUUCUCUUGUCAGUCAUCAGAAUCCUAUCAACCUAUCCCAAGCCAAACAUCAAGCAAAUGUUUGUCAUCGAAUAAUUCUGUGGCAGUAAGUAGUUAUUUUUAUACUUUACAUAAUGUGCAUUAUAGUUCACUGUUAGUUAUUUAGGUGUUACAAAUUAAUAUUUUACUUGUACACAUUGGUUAUUAAGGUAUACAUAUUAGUGAUAGGAUGUUCAUCACAUGUUAUUUAUUUUUGACACAGUAAUAUCAUAUUUUGUACAUAUUAGUUGGUACACAUUACGACGAUCUCUUAAUUUAAUAGCAUUUACAUGUUGUUAUUUUAUGUGUACAAACUGAUAUAUAUGUUGUACGCAUUGAUUGAUACCAUGUACCACUGGUUAUUUUGUUUUGAAAUAUCGUUAUUACAUUUGGACACAUGAUUACACAUUUGGAUAAAGUUUUUUACAGAUUAUUAAUUUAUUUUCUCACAUUUAUUUUUUCAAUCGUACAAGUUACAAUUAUUUAUCACCCGUUGAUUAGUUUUGACAUCGUGUUAUUAUUCUGGUACACGAGUGUAUAUUAGUUGGUACACAGUACGGAGAUCUCUUGAUUUAAUAACAAUUACAUGUUGUUGUUUGAUGUGUACAAACUGAUAUAUAUGUUGUACGCAUUGAUUGAUACCAUGUACCACUGGUUACUUUGUUUUGAAAUAUGAAUAAUUCCAUUUGAACACAUGAUUACACAUUUGGAUAAAAUUUUUUACACGUUAUUAAUUUAUUUUCUCACAUUUAUUUUUUCAAUUACAAGUUACAAUUAUUUAUCACCCGUUCUUUAGUUUUGACAUCGUGUUAUUAUUCUAGUUCACGAUGUAUAUUAGUUGGUACACAGUACGGAGAUCUCUUGAUUUAAUAGCAUUUACAUAUUGUUGUUUUAUAUGUACAAAUUGAUAUAUAUGUUGUACGCAUUGAUUGAUAUCAUGUACUACUGGUUACUUUGUUUUGAAAUAUGAAUAAUUCCAUUUGGACACAUGAUUACACAUUUGGAUAAAAUUUUUUACACAUUAUUAAUUUAUUUGCUCACAUUUAUUUUUUCAAUCGUAGAAGUUACAAUUAUUUAUCACCCGUUAUUUAAUUUUGACAUCGUGUUAUUAUUCUGGUACAUGGUGUAUUUUAUCUUGUACAUUACAAACCAUAUCAUUUGAAAUCUAUUGCAUAGUUACUUCAAUCUAAUGCAUUGGUUAUGUGUUAUAUCCAUAGUAGCCCAUAAGUUUGUAGUAUAACUUUACAAUGUAUUCAUUUAUGGUCACGUAUGUACUGAAUUUUGAUUUUUGUUUAGAUUACUUUUGGUUGAUUUUUGUUUACACACGUUGUUAUAUAUUAUGUACACAUUUGCAUCAUAAUUUUCCUACGACCUAACAUCUUAAAUUUUGGACACAAUGUGUAUUUAAUUUUUACAAAUUAGUUAGUUUGUUGUUAUACACAGUGUUAGCAUGACUUUGCAACUAAUGUAAUAUGGUACUCGUGAUAACAGUUAUUCAGUGAAUCAAAUUUUGGAUCUUCCCCAGUUAUUCACUCAGAUAUGCAGUCUUGUAGGAUGGUAAGUCAGAUAUUGCAGUUGUAUGGAUAAUCAAGAUUUUGGAUAAAUUUAUAGGAUCUUAUUCAGUACAAUACUUAAUUGUAGCCCGGUGAAGCUUGAAUCACUCCUCAAAUACUGAGUGCUCAUAAUAUCCGUAUUAAAGAUCGUAACAAUCUCCCACUUUUGCUUCCCAACGAUCCUGUGAGCAAGACAAAGUACACAAGUUUCACCGAAUUCUUAAUGGUCAGUAAUUCUUUAAAAAGCUCAUUAUUUACAGUUAUUAUUUAAAACUAUUCUAACCUUGUUACAAGACUAUUGUAGGGCAUGCUUUUAUGAACACUGAACUUUUGAUUUAAAUAAUUUAUGCUUGUUUCAAUGAUUGCCAGACCCCCAAAGUGGCCUCUGUGGAAAGGUCAAAGAGCAGUACUCUCAUGCAAUUAAGCGACGAAGAAGUGCAACUACCUACGAUAUAAAUGGGUAGAAGCUAAUUGCCUUCCAUGAAUAUGUAUGCUAAGUUGAUGUAUCUUGUGACCCUUUUGGAACUGGAUUGGAACAAUGUAAUAUUAAAAUGAUUUUACUUUAAUAUUAGAUAGUAGUUUGAGAAUUGCAAUCAAUGCAGAAUAGUUUUACACCUUUUACUUCUAUUCAAUUGAUUACAAGAAGUUAUAUAUUCAUCGUGGUGUCCCAACCCUAUCUGCCGCAAACAAAAAUUGAAGCAUGUCCCAACAGUAUUGAACUUUGCUCCCAACACAAAAUUCUAUAUGUCCCACUAGUAGUAAAAACUUCAUAACUAAUGAACUUUGCUCCCAACAGUAAUCCCAAAAGGAGAUAAUUCUACACAAGUACAAAAUUCUACGCAACACAACUCAUAAAUUACUAAAUAUUUGUCAAUCAUUUAUUACAACUGGCUUUUUCAUCGGGGAGGGAUAUUUAACAACUCAAGGAUGGAUUCGGCCCAUUCGUUAUGCUCGGUUGCAACCAACAUAGACAUAUAUUGCACUCGAUACUUCCACAUGUUAUCCUAUCCAAGCAUUGAAAUAAUCAGCACCAUAUAUUAUACAUUAGUCAUCAUAAAAAUAAUUGCUACCAAAAAAUUUCUAUAAAUCAAAAUAAUAUAUAUACCUCUGUAAUGCGUAUGCCUAAUCUUCCAUUCCAGUGCUCCAGAAAUUUCAUUAUGAACACACCACAAUCAUAGCUAAAACACGAGGUAUACAUUGUCGUGACAACCAGAUUGUAGGACAUACAAGUUUUACCUUACCAUCCUAAUAAUAUAACUUAGUAUUUAGUUAUAUUUCAAGAUAGAAUAUAAAUAAACUCUUAUUUACAGGACAUAUACCUAUUGUGUGGAGACUGUUGAGGAACAUCUGCGACUUGCAAUACAAAUCCCUCGAAAUCCACCAAUUUAUCAAAUUGUUUUGCCAUUAUUAAGCCCAAGGUUCGCCUCUGCAAUAUAAAAAUAUAAUUUUCCUGAUUACACUUUCUCACUAGUUAUAUAAUAUAAAGCCAUGAAACAGAUGCAUUAAAAAUUCAAGGUAUAAAUAGUGUUUAGAUUUCACCAGUCAUCGUAAGAUGUUAGUCUGUCGAACCCGUGAUGAAUCAACUCGUGAGUCAAGGAGAUGAACAAUGCUUUGUGCAAUAUCAAAUGAGUAUACAAACCAGUGACUUUUGUUCACCACUGGAACCAGUAUCUGAAAAUAUAAUGUGUUAAACUUUACAAAUGCAACAUCUUUGAUAUAAAAUUAAAGGUAUUUGAUCUAGCAGUUAUAAGAGAUUGAUCACCAUAUCGGCAUUUGCUAGACUUGAUGCAUUAUCUGCUCUUAUUUUGAACCACUUGUUCAGUUUUGAAUAUAGGACAUCAUCAGACUUUUUCUCAAAUCGGUCUACACCUUGAAUGGUAGCCUACCCAACAAAUCAAUGAAAUUAGAUCGAAAGUCAUACGAUAGUUAGAAAUUGCACGAGCAAUUCAUACUAUUUAAUAAACAUUGAAAUCAAAUUUUCUAAUAAACUAACAAUAAGUGAAACUGUAUAUGCAUGAUGUUAGUUGGUGGUAAAAAAAAGUUGGUCAUUAUACUUACAACAACACAUGGCUCGACAAUGUACCGCUUAACCUUCAUUAGUCUUUUACUCACAUCAUUAUUCAAUAAUCUUGCAUACAUAUCAAUGACCUAAAAGAGGGGUGAGUAUAACAAUAAAAUAUUUUAGCAUUCCAAAAGGUGAGACUAUCUCCACAACUACAGCAGUUAACUUAGUCAAAUAAAAUAAUUUUUCUUUUUUUGUGGCUUACCCUAUCUGAUACCCAAUGCUUCUUCCGCAAGGAUUGCAUAUCUCUUCGGUUAAGGCUAAAUCCGAACAUAGACACUAAUAUCUCACUACAUUGAACAUUGAGUCAACAAUGUUAAGUUCAAUUAUAAAUGAAUAUGAAUAAAAAUAGCAUAUUACUCCGAAUAUUAUCGCAUGAAAAAAGAUUUUACCUCUCAUCUCUCGCGUCUUGCCAUGUGAAAUUCGCAAUCUUCCGGCUACAUUGUGUCAAAGUAGCUUGUAUUCGGAGCUGAUAAUCAGUAGACCUGAUGAGGGUGUUGUGCCUUGUUGUCCGCAAUGUCUUGUGCAUUCGGCCAUCUUCCGCAUCUAUAUUAAGUGAAGAAUAGCAAAUGUUUUUGUAAUGAUCAAUUUUUAUAUCAUUUACAAAGUGCAAUAACAAAUGAAAGCAGAAUUUUAGCUACAACAUAUAUAACUUGCCUUCACACUCUCUUUUUUUAUAUCUAGACCGACCCUUCCAUUGUGUUGCAGCACAUAGCGAAUGUUGCUCUACUGCAGCUCCUGAUAGGGAAGUUAGACCUGCAUCCAAGCAAUGAACUUCUGCAAUUGCCUUGGCAUCAUCUUUUCCUUCUUUAUCUUCGGGUUCACUUGCCUCAUUUUCACCAAAAUUCUCAUUCCUAUCCCCAGCACAUGUCUCGUCUUGGUUGUUUUCAUAUUCAAAUUUGUCCGUAUCAGAAUCUAUAACAACCUUUGCGUUCUCAUCAUCGAUCAUUCGCUUUUUUGUCCAUUUUCUUGUGGAUCUAACGGCUGCCUAGGAACAUGAUGGCAUGGCACUACGUUGCGAGCAAAGGAUACUGGAUAUAUUCAUUACACUUUGUUGACACUCGAUUGCUAUCCGCUCAGCAGUUGUCGCUUUUGUAUAUAGAGUGGUUAGAUGAAUUGAUAUAAAAAAAUAAAUGCAAUUAAUCCUCAUAUUCGUACAACUUCGGACAUAUUUGCAUUCGUAUUGCAUUUAAUUUGUUAUCUUACAGCAAUUUCUCCAUGUCCAUUAUUCACCAUCUGGCUAAUCACAUCCGAUGGAAGCUCAGUAGGUUCCUCUUGCUCAUUUUCUUCUCUGUUCGUUUUGUUUGAUCCCACCUUUGUGGACAAAAAAGUAUGUUGUAAGUUUCGCAAAGCAGUUAGCCGUAUAAUAUAAUGUCUUGCUAACUUAAAUUCCAAAAUAUCAUUGUUUCAAUAAUACUUACUAGCUUUCCUUUGCCAAAUUUUCCAAGACCACUCAAUUCUAGUGUUUCUCUUUCCAUUAUAUUGGCAUCAGUCCAUGCUUUUGCUAUAGGGCAGGUCCUACGAACACAAUGAUUGAGUAUACUUACUCGAUCAUAAUAAUGUAGCUGCAAAAUAAUAACAACUUAUCCUUGUUAGAUACAAUGAACAAAUAUAAGUUAAGAUCAUCCACUAGUUGAGAUUUCUUAACUUACCAGCAAAAAUAGGAUGCAACCUCCAACAUUUUUGUGGGCAUUGCUUUGCAUAUUCAACAAUUUUUUGUAUAAAUCAGCUCUGACGAACUCAGCCCAAUUGAAUUUUUCUAUUUGUGAAGUUGAUUGUAAACUCUCCCAUAAAUUGGCUUUAAUUUCAGCUCGUGUUGUUGGAGCAAGCAAGCACCCACAUGCAAAAAUAACAAAUAAUCUCUUGAAUUCAUCCCCGACCUCCAUGGAUAUUAGUUCAUCUUCUAUAUCAUGCCAAUUAUACUUCUUCUUCCUAGGAUAAUGUGGUUCGCUAUCAAUUCCAUCAUCUCCAGUAUCUUCAACCGGCACUAGCCCCUCACCUGGAAUUCCAAAAGCCUUUGCUAUAUCUUCUGACAUUACAGGCAGUACACGUCCACCUUCAAGUUGUAUGUAUGAGUGAGUUGGAUUGAAAUUUUUCACCAACCACAUGCAUAUCAUACUUGGAAGGUUGUGGCAUUGGAUCUCCAGCAAUCCACCAAAACCUAUUUCUUGGAUUGCAGCUAUUUUUUCCCCAUCAAUACGCCCCACAAACCUUAAAAAUUUAGCUGGUGUGCACCUAAACCUGUAUGCCUAUAAAAACAAUAUAACAAUGUUGAUAAAAUUUACCAAAUAACACUCCAAUACUUGCACUUGCGCUUUGAAACUUCUAAAUCAUUUAAUUUAAAAACAAUGAAAUUGUAUGCUAUGUCCUUACUUGUUUUGCUACAUCACUCUUUAUGCUUUCUCCCCUGUUAGCUAUAGACUCCUUGUAGCUUUUCAUCAGCUCCUUAUAUUUCUUCAUAUCUUUUUCAUUCUUCCAUACAAGCUUCUCCUCAUCACGCAAUUUGUUCCAUGCAUUUCUAGAGGCUAUGUUUAGCUCCUGCAUUGUUAAUGCCUUUCCCUUUGCUUUUUCCUUGCGUGCGAAGUCAAUCCUACCAACAUUUAAUAUGAUUAGAUCCUAUACAUUGACUUUUGAUUUUAUCAUGAGUUUUUUAACUAAUUCAAAGCCCCAAAUGUACACAAUAAUGCUUCUAUAAAGUCAUAUAUACCUGUAUGCAAUGAAAUCAGUUGGUGGCCUCAUCGGCUUUACUGGAUUCUUGUCAUGAAGUUCCUCAACCUGCUUGCCUUUAUCUUUUGUAACAUUCAUCUUCUUGGUUCCCCCAUGUCCCAUUUCAAACUGCACCAAAAUAAAUGACAUGAAAAAAACAUAAGAGAUAAUUUCGAUAUCCUAUCCCCUAAGGUUUCUUCACAGAAGUGUGUUAACUUCUGUUGUUACAAAUGUACAAGAGGUUUACAUAAAGUUACAAAAUGUUCAAAAUGAACUUCUUCAGAAAGAAGAAAGGUUAAGAAUUCCAAAAUAUUAUAAUACAUCUUUGCUGGAUAAAUAUUAAUUAAACAUUAUUUACACCAGGGUAACAUUAUGAAUUUCCUCUGCAGAAAGAAUAUAAAAUACACUACAUCUUUCCAAUUUCAAUCAUACAACUAAGGAGAGAUAAUGUAUUCCAAAAAUAAUUGUCUGAGUUUUGAUUUUUUCACAACACACUAAAUAGUCUGAAAAACAGCCUCCAAUGUUGACAAAAGUAAAAGCUGUUUUUAACUUAAUUAUGGCAUUUAAAUUUAUUCAGUUCAAAGACACGUAUAUGUAUAAAAAUAUAGUGUUAUUCUUCUUAGUUGAUAUUUCAUUACUAGGAAAUGAAAAUUCAAAACUCAAUAUGUAAUGCAACACUUAACUCCAAAAAAAUAAUAAAAUAAAAAUCAUACCUCAAAUUUUGGUAUGUUCCUCCUUGUUCCACCUUCAAAUGCAAGUACAGGCAAAAAUGCCAAGGUUGGUCCUUUAAUGUCCACAAGAAAGUUCUGCCAUGACAAUUAUGGUCAAAAACUAAGUGGUUAAAGCGGACAAGUAACAGUGAGGCCAUCAAAUGUAUACAUGCAUCUAAAGUUUGUAUACCUGUAUGAUUGUGUUUUAGUAGAUACAAGUUGUGGAAUCAUACCAUGUUAUAGAUAUACAAGCGUCACUAGUUAUAGUCUCAAGAAAUGAUAUGGACACGGCACCCUCUUAUUUAUCAGAUUGUUUCUCUAGAUGUUUGCAAAAGCAAAAUUUUUCUGAUUGUGAUCAUAAUGUGGCAGGAAACCAGGAGAAGAAUCUUUCAGGAAAGAGGAAAUAAACAGAAUUUCUUAGAUAAAGUCCACAACAUCAGCCUUUCUUAGCAAGCUCAUGUCUGAGAAAUUUAAGCACAAAAACUUACCCUUUUCUGCGAGCUUUCAACCCAAUACUUAUUUGGCUUUGAAAACCUUAGCACAGCAUCACCAUCCUAAAAAUGAUAGCAAUGCAGCUUAAGUUCUCAUUUUCAUUGUCUUUCCGCAUCUUCAGUUAUAAUUUUGGGCUCAAGCCACGACGGUUUUAGAUAGAGUUUAAGUUGAUUUAAUCUACUACUCAAAAAUUUUAAAAUUUAAUGAACAAGACAACAAUGGCAAAGGCAAAAGAAAUUUUUCGAGCUUCUGGAUACCUUAAAUUCAGUUUGCCCAUCAAUAGGCAAAAAAACCAAAUAUUUUAGCAUAUCAUGAUUGCCAAAAGAAAAAAAAAACUUGCAAUUAGGUUGAACAGAAUAUAAUGCAAAACUGAACAAAACAGGAUCAGAUUUUUUUUGACAAUUUCUCAUCAUUUCCUUUCGUUCUUCUAAUAUUGCGGGUUCUUUGGACUGAUUACUAGAUUUUCAAUAAUUACACAAUUAUAUAAAUUAAUUAAAAUCAAAAUUAAACCACAACAACUUAGGCAGCAAAAAAUUGACAUUAAAAAUUGAAAAAUUCAAUCAACAUAAUUGAGAGGGGCAAAGAAAAACCCUAGUGAAAACGGAGACAUUACAGGAGAAAUUACAGAGAAAUUACUAGUUUGUUACAAGAUAAAAAUAAAAAAUCAGGAAGAAGACAUUACAAACCUGUAAUUUCUAGUUAACAACGAAAUUAUUACUGAUUACGAACUAGUAACAAUGAAAUUACUAGUUCGUAAUCUAGUAACAAUGAAUUACGGACUAGUAACAACGAAAUUAUUAGUUCGUAAUCUAAUAACAAUGAAAAUACAAAGAAUUUUGACCCCAAUGAAUUAAAAAAAAUGUCAAAAAAAUGAAGAGUAUCAAAGUUGUCAGUACGUUACAAGGGCAACAUAGGAGCAGAGAGUGUAAAAGAUUCCAUCUUACCUUGGAUUAUGCAGUUUCUCCUCCUCCAAAAAACACCGUGGGUCUUCUUUAGGAUGAAUUCAGGCAGUUGUUUUGGAAAUUAGCAGACAACGGGGAGUGAAAUGGGAGUGAUUUUGUGGAGUGAAAUGGAAGUUCUUUUGUGGAGUGAUUUUUUGCAUUAGCAGACAACGGGAAAAGGGUUUGGGAAAUGGGGAAAGUGAAAUGGGGAUUUCCGAUAAAAAGGAACUUUUCAUUAAUUAUUUGGGAGGGAUAAAUUUGACGCCAUUUGACGAUGAUGCUUCAUCCGUUUCUACAAUUUUCAUUUUUUUAUUUGCCACUCAAUAAAACGACGCCGUCUUCUUCAGCUCAUAUAACUUUGUGACGUGGCUUCGUUUUGGCCGUUGAUGAUGGUCCACCACAUCUUGGCCAUGAAAAGUUUAUGAGCGGUUGUCCAUCUUGGCCAUGAAAAGUUUAUGAGCGGUUGUCUGACAACCGCUCCAGCCCCUUGUCCUGGGUACGACAACUCAUUAUGUUGAAGCCUCGGAGACAACCGUGCUAGAGACCUUGGCCCUUUUUGUUUUUUGGGCCAGAGAGACUUUGACUUUGACUAAUUCAUUUUUUAUCUGUAACAUUGACAGAGUAAACGAUGGAAAAAAAAUGGAAAGCUAUUGAAAACCCAGGUCUUGCUUCUCAUUUAUUAUUUGAGGUCACGAUGUAACAGGUCCAUGCAUUUGAGUGGAAUGCACAUUGGAAUUUGAUUUGGAUAAGAAUUUAUUCAUUUCUAGCUUGAUUAGUGACAAAUAAAAAUUCAUAUGACUUUUAAUCACUCUUGGUCUGAUUUCAAUAAGUAUAUUUAAUGUACAAAUUAAAGAGCAACAAAUAAGAAUAAGAAAAAAUCAUCUUGUUCCGUUCACCUUUUCAGGUUCAUAUUUUUUAAACAGGUUCAUAAUUGUUUCAUGAUUCGUGUUUCAGAUUUACAGUGAAAUGAUUUGAAACAACUUAGGAGGGAAAUUACAUAAACAUAAAAUUGACAAGUUAAAGAGAUACUUGGGAUUGAGGUGGAGGAAGGUUCUUUUUCGUCGUUUAAAGAGAUAAAAUUUUUUGGGUACAAUUUCUUGAGUGCAAUGAUCACGUCUCUAUAUCUAGUUCAAUAUUUCUGCCUUUUUGCGAUUGAUAAAUUAAAACCACACCAGAAAUGUCAAAGUGCAUAGGCUUGUUAUCAAAUACUUAGAAGUCCCAAAAAUAUAUUCCACUGUGUUGUUGUAAUCCCAAUUAUGCUGGCUUUUAACAUAUUGUUAAUUAAUCAAUUGUGCUCUUUUUUUUAAAAAAAAAUUUGUUAGCUAUAAUUGCGUUAGAAGACUCAAAUUAAAAAGAGAUAUAUAUAUAUAUGUUCUUAAUGCCUUUUCCAAGUGAAUACUAAUUAAUCACGUACAACAUGUACGACACCUGACUUGAGGAACAAUCUGAUGGCUACAAUGAAGUAACCGAAGAGCAGAAUAUGAAAUAUUUCUUACUAUUUCUUACCAGAAUUUGUUCGAGAUUGUGAAUUUUGUGCAUCAGUUUCGAAGCCUAGGAGAAAAUUUUGAAGAAAAGUUUGUUCCUAUAUUUUUUAUUCACACACACAAGAAUGCAAAUACGAGUCAAGUUCAGGUUUAUCCUCUAUUGUGCGUGAGACCAUCGAAGGAAAUUAUAUCUGAGUUUAUAUUUCAACGAUCGGGCUUUAGGUCCUGGACAGGGCUUAGCAGGAGACAUAAUGGCUGGGAAAAGUUUGUCCCAUCAUGUGCAUGGUUGAACGGGUCUGGUAAACAAAUCGAAUCGGAUCAAAAAUGUUAACCGCCUGGCGUGAUUUGAAAUUUCAAAUUUAAACUCGAGUUCUAUUCAAUUUAACAGUUAAUAUUCUCAUGUUUAACUUGAAUUUUUAUUCAAAUUUUUAGUAAUCAUAUAAAUAAUACAUAUAUAAUAUUAAUAUAAUAAAAUAAUGUGUAAUUUUAUAUGAAAUAUCAAUAAAUAUAUUAUAUAAAAAGUUAAUCAAGCCUAAUCAAACCUUGAUCAGCGAAUAUAUACAAGUUCAAAUUCGAUUUGAUACUCAACUUAAUCAAAUCCUAUUCUCGUUUAAAUUUGAGUUUACGUUCGUUAAAAAUUGAAAUUAAGCCGAACCCUUGAUGAAUCAAUCGAGUUAAAAUUGUUCGCUAAAAAUUCAAUUUGUUUACAGCCUUAUGUUGAUGGUCUAAAUCAUGGCUGUACUGUGCAAUUCACGGUCUAAUCAAGCCAAAUGCUAAUUGUUCGAUUUGGACUACUCAUAUAAAGAUGAUUAAGCAUAAGAAACUUCAUAUUGUUUUUCCUCUGUCCCUACAAUUCAUAGAAACAUUCAUACACUUACAAGACCUUAUUUAACCUUAUUUUCAUCUUAAGUUUUUCUUUCUUCAAAUUCUUUAUGUUCGUUUAAUGGAUACGUUUUCAUUAUAAAAACCUUUUAAUGAUUAGGGACCAAGUAAUUUUUUGUUGUUGUUUUAUAGUUUAAGAAGUGAUUUAGUUGCAAAUUAGCAUUUAGGAUGCAAAGGUGCACAGCUUAAUGAAUAAAACCUUUUGUUGUUCGUUUGAUAUUUCUAUUAUACCCCUAGAGUUGGCUAAAAAUUUUGAAGGCAAAAUGAGUAAAGAAAAACAAUAUUAGGGGACAAACUGUAAAUUAACUAGCUAUAUCUCACGGGGAGAUUUUGUAAUUAAUUCUAAUUUUAAUUAACAUUCCUAGAGAUAUUUGAAAUCUGUCCAUGAAGUUGAUUAUGGGAAAAAAAAUUUAAGAGCAAGAGUUGGAUUGAUAAAUUCUAAAAGGAAGGUGAUAUGGCACGUAAAUUUUCAGUGAAGGAAAAUUCCAAAGAGUAAAAUGCUUUCUGUCACAGAACCCACGUAAGAAUCCGAGACUCAAGUAAUGCACUUAUAAAAUAUGGCUAAAAUCGAUCACAAGUUAAUUUUGUAGAAGAAUGUUUCAUCAAAUUCUGAUGCAACUCCAUUUGAUGAUUAAAAUUUAAAUAUUGUAACAUAAACUAACAAUCAAUAUUAUGGAUUUUUCUUUUAUUUUGUAACUGUAAUUCAAAUUUCAAACUUCCAGAAUUUAUACAUGAAUAAAUUAAUUGUACAAGUUGUUUGAGAAAGGAAAUUUUUUGAGUUGCCAUAUAAACGGCAGACUUGCUAUCAAUACUUGAGAAACGAAGCUUUUCUCUUGAUUUCUCAAAACACUUGAUUUCCCCUUACAGAUUUGAAGCAUAGUUAUUAAACUCAGAUCAGCCGAUGGUCGAUUAAUGCCAGCAAUUUAAUCGAAUUAGACUGGAAUCCGACCGAUUUUGUCAACGAACCGGAUUUUAUGGAAAAGAUGUUAGUAAGCUCUUAUCAAGAUUUGAACUUAGGACUUUAAGCAUAAAUGUAUAGUAUACUCACCACCAUACCACUUGACAUAUGUAAGUUGAAUAGCAUUCUUAUGCUAUAUGAAUGUUUUGUCAAUUCUAUCUUUGUUCUUUUUUAUUUUUCCAAAACAAAUUUAUUUGAAAUCUUUUAAUAAAAAUUUAUGACCCCCCUCCCCAAACAUUAUAAGUUAUAAAAUGGAUUUUAAAAAUAUUAUAUUACAUAAUCUAUUUUAAAGACAAUUAUUGUUUUAAAUAAUUAUUUGCACUUAAGAUUUGUAAAUAAACUCGAUAAUUACACUAAAUACGAUAAAAUUUUAUGCUUGAAGUUUGGUGAAUUAUUAAUUAAAUUUAUGUUUUGUUGAUUCUUAUAUGAAUUAAUUAUUCUACAAUGAAUUAAAUUAAAUAAGCAUUUACUAUGGCAUUUUUUAUUAUAGUUUAUAACAUAUAUCUCAUAUCAAAAAUUAUGAGACAUAAUAUUUAAUUAUAUUUAGUGACCCACUAGUUCAACCAUUCAUCAACUGGUUGAACCAGUGACUCGUUGACCCACCUCCUUCAUCAGAUUCCUUUGUGGGCCGGGUUUAAUAACUAUGAUUUGAAAAGUUAUUUUUGUGUUUUAGAAAAUGGAUAAUAAUAAUUACAAGUAUCAGAGUUGGGAUGGCCCAACAUUUGAGUUCAAAUGCGCCAUAGCAUCCAGAGAGCUAUUGUUAAAUCUGGAAACAUUUCAGACUUCAAAACACGUAGUUUGGGCCGCCAACGUCCACUUGCACAGAUUUGUGUAGGUUUUCUAAACGACUCAACAAUCCCCCACUAAUUUGCAAAACAUGUGUAUCCUAAACCAUGAACUCUUCAAUAGUUCAACUUUAAUGGAUGAAUCUUAAGCAUAAUCAGAAGUAUCUCUUGAUAAUUUCAAAAAAAAAAAAAAAGAAGUUUCCCUUGAUUUAAACUUCUAACUGGUAUAGAUGAUUUAAAUUUUUAAUGUAGUUGUUAGUGUUCUUAAAUUAGGGAAGUUCUACAGUCUCUUUAGAGCACUGUGCCGAUGAAAUUAAAUUUAUUGUUGGAUAUAAAAUAGGAAUUAUCAAUCUUUAGAUUAUUUUAAGAGUUUAAAUUACUAAAUGAUAUGAUAAGAUAUGAGUAGAUUAAAAUUAUAGAUACCGUACCCAAAAAGGACUGUAGCAUUUUUCAUUAAAUUAAACUAUAUCUCUUAAAUGUCAAAGCACAGCACAAUUAAUGAUAUAUACUUUUCUCGAGGUUAAUAUUAGCUUUACAGCUAUUUUACCCACGUGUUAAUCCUAAUUUCACAGUCAUCUACAAAAGUAUGCUCAAACUCUUGUUGAAGUGGCAUCACUUCAAUACUUAUAUAGGUGAGAUUGUGCUUGUAAGAGUUCAAAUUGAAGGAACUUGAAGGGACGUUUUGUUGCUAAAAAGGAGGCUCUAGAAUCAUCUUUUGGACUCCUUUUUCUCUACAUAUAUAUCAUUUGAGCAAAAAUCAAGAGCUAGGAAAAGGAGAGUGAAACAAAUACCACACAAGAUGUAAAACUUAGUUAGUUUCUUAGUUCUUUAGCUUAGUAUAGGUUAGGUAGUUUUAUUGCAAACUUGUAUCUUAACUUGGAUGAACAUCAAGAUUGAAGAAGAAGAGAGGGAGGCCCACAUGUGACAAGGGGUUUUUUCUUUUCCAACCCUUUAAUUCUUGUAUUAGAUUCCAAUGUUUAGCCAUAAUAUAAGUUUAUUAUUUACUUUUAUUUUCUUCAUGUUUUGUUAAGUUUAUAUCUAGAGUUAUAGAUGAAUUUUCUAUAUCUUGUUUGUGAGGUUUGCUUGCGUAUUUGAUACUGUUAUUUUAAGCAACUUAUUUAACACUUUUGCUUAUCUAAUCAUGAUUAACUGAUCAUUAAUUGUAAUAAUUUCAUGGUGUUAAAUUUGCGAUGAGAAUUGAAAUUUAACAUUAGUUCAAGAAAGUGCUAAAUAUAUGGAGUAACUCACAAAAAUAGAGGUGCACUUUUGUGACUUUCGUGACUUAUUCCAUUUAAUUUCAUAGAAUUUAAUGAACUUGUAGUCAAUUUUAUAAUUAUGAGAGUAACUGUGGAUUAGUUAUAGGUAUGUUCGGUAUACUGGUUAUAGGUAUGUUCGGUAUAAUUAUGAGAGUAGAUAUUGCAUACAUUAGGAAAUUACAUCAUAACUAGUUAAGGUAGUAAUAUUCAAUUAACUGGUAGAUUCAUUUGCAAGAGUAGUUAUGAAUUCUAUGACUCUAGGAGCUUUUUAUUGUUGUUUUUACUUCCAUUUAUUACACAUUUGUAGUGCAUAUAAAAUUUCUCGUACUUGUGAUCAUCUAGAAAGGACCGUGUAUUCCAUUGAUGAGUUGAAUAACCCAGAGGAAAUAUUAUCUAAAAUUCCAGUGAGGCAAUUAUUGCCCAAGUCUAAAUGCUCCAGAUAUUCCAAAUUACCAGUGACUUGGAAAGCUUCCAAUGAAGUUAUUGCCGUUGAAAUUGAUGUAUCCAUGGGUGGGUAAUUCAUCCAACAAUUAGGAAUUUCUCUUGAUAGAAAAUUUGCUUGAAAAUUUAGACAUGUAAGAUAUGGUUUUCCAUUUUUCACUUCACACAAAAAGUGAGAAACAGCUCCUGAAAACAAAUAGUUGGAAAGGUCUAGAUAUGAGGUAAAUGAGAAAUUAAUUGUGGCAGUGGGCCGUUGGAUCUAUAUGACUAUAGUGUACAUGUGUACAUGUAAACCUCUAACAAUUUCAGAGAUAUUUGAACGCUUAUUAUGAAGUUGAUUGUGAGAAAGGUUCAUGUAAUUCGUAGAUGAGUUGAAUAACCAAGGAGGAAUAGUACUUGAAAUUCUCAUAGAGGACAAAUCCAAAUAACAAAGUUUCUUUUAUGACUUGAGCCAUGUAGGAAAUUAAGAACCUAGCUUCCACGGACCCAAUCCAAGUCCUUUAAAGGCAUAAGGAUUCCAACUUGCCCUUACUUUUAAGGUCAAGAGUUUUAGAUGCAUAAAAAUGUUUAAAAACUUGUCAUAUUGUUAAGUAGAUUGUCACUCACAAAGCCUUCUAUGAAAUUAUCGUUAAUAAAAAGGUAUUCAAGUUUGGAAAACUGCCCAAGACUUUCAGGAAGGAUUCCAGUGAGUUUGUCUGUACUUAUAAACAAGUGCUCUAAGGAUGACAGAUUUCCAAAAUUUGAUGGAAUUGAACUAGCAGAGCAUUGUCACAAAGCAAAAGAUAUUUUAGAUUGGUGUGGUUGCCAACAGUGCUUGGAAUUGGAUCACUCAAGUAAUUACUACUUGUAUCAAAUGUAAUAAAGUCCUUUCGAUGUGAAUAACUCACUUGGUAAAGAGAAGCUAAGGUUGUUAUGAGAUAGAUCAAGAUAUUGAAGGCUGGAAAUGUUAGCAAUAGAGCUUGCCAUAUAACCUUGAAAGUCAUUGGAGCCAAGAUCAAGUGAAAUUAGGACAGUUAAAAGUGGAUAAUACGCUUGAGAGAGAGGCAGAGAAGGUAUUAUUGUACAGAUCCAAAAAUGUAAGGGAUCUCCAAUUCCAAGUUCCAUCAGGGAAUGUAACUUCAAAUUGAUUUGACGCAAGGUUGAGAGAAACGAGGUUAUUACUGAAAUUGUUUUGACUUAGAUCAAGGUAAAGCAAUUGAGUAAAAUUUUGUAAUGCAUGACUGAUAUCACCACUUAUAGUGAUUUCAAAUUACGCUCUAUUGCAUUGACGUGAAAGUAGUACGGAUGAAUAUUGAACAUAGGAACAAGAUAUUGAAGACGAAUAUUACUAGUCAAUUUGUUCGAACUGAGGUCGAGAUUUUGAAGCUUCCCAUUAGUCCCUAGCCUUUAUGGGAUGCUUUCAGUGAAACUGUUCUGCCAUAACUGCAACACUUCGAGCUCCGGCUAGUCUCCAAUGAAGUCCGGUAUCGACCCUUGAAGUUGGGUUCGGAAAAGAUUCAAGAGAGUCAAAAUUUUCAGCUUGGCAAACGAGGAAGGUAUUUCGCCGGUGAACAUGUUGCUGGACAGAUCCAUAUAUUUCAAGCUUUUCAAUUACCCUAGCUCCGGCUUCAACGGCCCAGAAAACGCAUUCACUUGAGGAAAGAGAGUAUCCGAGUUCUGCAACUUCCCAAGCUCCGGCAGAAUCUCGCAAGAGAGGCCAUAGUUGGCUGCAUCUGCGAUAAGUUGCCAAUUUCUGGUGGGAUCCCACCGGAGAAAGUGUUGAAGUAGCCAAUGUAAAGUUGUUGAAGUUUGGUCAAGUUUACUAACUCUGGUGGGAUCUUACCCGAGUUCAUUGCCAGAAACGGCGAGGUAUUCGAGAUUUGGAAAUGUACAAUACGCCAUGGGAAUGCUUUCGGUGAAGAAGUUACCGCCCAAAUGGAGAUGCAUGAGGUAUGUUAACUGAUAAACGUCCACCGAACAUGUUAUUAUUGUCGAAAUCAAGCACCUCAAGAUUAUUUAGGCGAAUGAGCUCCUGGGGAAAGGUGAGGUUAAAGAUAUUGUUGGACAGGUUUAGGUAGCGGAGGGUGGAGAUUUCAGGAGGGACGGGACAACAGAACUGGUUGGCCGCGAGGGAGAGGUUAAGGAAUAAGCGGAGAUGGCCAACAUCAGGGGAAAGGGUCUGGUGAGAUUAAUCCCGGAAAUGUCAAGAGCAGCCACGUGAUGGCAACCGGAACAAGUGCUUCAUAUUCAAAUCAUUUGUUCGGGAUUUUGUGUGCCCUGUCUAUUUCAUCUUUAUUUUAACUGCCAUGAGUAUUACGACAUGUAUGUAUUGUGCUAUGUACUUAUCCUCCAAUAAAAUUAUAAGAUUUAUUAAUUGUUCAAUUUAUUUACAAUAAAAUUGUAAGACUUGUUAAUCAAUACACGUGAUAGUGAAAUAGAGGCAGGAUCGAGACAAAAUUCGGGACAGAUGAUUUUAAACAUAGGCCAUGAGCAAUGACUCGUGGAGGGCAAUGUUUAAAAGGCAAUCACUCAUCUUGAGUGUAAAUUUCAGAAAUUUUGAUUUUUUAAAUAUAUAAAAAAUAAAAUAUACAAUAAUACAACAAAAUUACAAUAUUCAUACAUAUAUGUGUAUAUAUACUAAUAAACAUAAAUUUGAAAAAAAUUAAGAAAAUUACAAAAAUAUUAUUAUUGUCUAACAAAUAAAAUCGCAACAUAACUCUAACUCAUAUAUUAGUUAUUUACCUAGAAUCAUGCUAAUAAAAAAUAGUUAUAUUUUGGGAUAAAAAAUGAAAAACUAUUAGAAAAGUCUUGAAUGCUUUUAUUUUGUAUUUUUCCUAAACUAUUUUCAAAGAGAAAAUAAAUAGAGUCAUUCUUCAAAAUUAUUAAACAAUAAUCAGGACAGGAAACAGAGAUAAGGAAGAUAAAAUAGUAAAAUCAAAGUUCAAAAUAAUGAAAAGAAAAAUAUACAAAAAUGCCAUGAAUGCCCAAAUGCCCAAUGCCUUAAACACUCAUAUGUUCGCCCCAUUCAAACAUUCUAGGGCAUUUGGGGCUCAUCUCGCCCCGGGGUUUGCCCCGAAACUCGCCCCAAAAAUGCUUUUUAAAUUAAUGGUGGAGGCAUUCCAGGAUGAUAAAGAAGAUUAUGGGUCGUCGGUAAUGGCGGAUUUUAUGGAGAGUAAUGCCUUGUACACCGGCAUUCAGGGUGUUGUUGCCGCAAAGGCAGAAUGGAGUAAGAAGAACUAAAAAAGAGGAGGAGAGCAAAACUGUUGUGGUACAGAACCUAAGAUCCAGCUGGGAAUGGAAAAUAAUGCUGAAGUAAUCGAACUUUUAAUUGACGCUCAAAUGAAUUGCAAACUCAAUUGAAUGAACCACUAAUUUAUUGAUGAACUUCAAAUUGGAUACAGAAACAGAUUUGGCGGGAAAAGGAAGAAGGGGAAAAAGAAUGCAGGAAACUUGAGGGAAAAGACAGAGGGAAUAUUUCCUCUCUGAUUACAGAACAAAUCUAGACAAAAAGCUCCCUAUCUAUUACACGAUCAAUUCAUUUAUAGGAAAUUAUCCUAACUAACUUAUUUCCGUAGCUAAUAAACAAAUGACACGUGUGGUAGGAAUCUCAGGUUGUUUGGAUUCCAGUUCUCGUACAGAAAGCAUGAACCCAGAAUGGGCGUGCUUCCUUGGUCGCGCCUUUGUUGCUUCUCCCGCGCCUUCCCCUUUGUUGACUUCGCGCCUUCACUCUUUUGCUCCCAUCCACUUGUUGUUAUUUGUUGGUUCGCGCCUUUCCUUGCCUGUCCUUGCUAUCCCCACGCCUUUCCCUUUGUACUCCCCACGCCUUCUUACCUCCAGCUACCUACUUCAUUACAAUGCUUCCCCCUUGAGAACAAAUCUUGUCCUCAAGAUUGGAAAGUAGGGAACUGUUGUUUGAUUCCUUCGGCGUCCUCCCAGGUGGCCUCUGCAGGAUCAGUGCCCCACCAGUGGAUCAGCCACUGUGUUGCUGCAGCAUUUCUUCUCUUCACCAUCCUCCUAUCCAACACUGCUACUGGUUCUACCCUCCAGUGUCCUCUCUCAUCCGUGUCUGGCAAUUGAAGUGUAGGGGAGACUUUGUUCCCCACCUUUUUCUUGAGCAGGGACACAUGGAAAACAGGGUGGACUUUUGAGUGAGCUGGUAGGUUCAGUCUGUAGGCCACAUUUCCUAUCCUUUCUUCCACUUUGUAAGGACCAAAAUACUUGGCUGAGAGUUUGGUGUUCCCUCUCAAGGCUACUGAAGACUGUCUGUAUGGUUGUAGCCUCAGAUACACCCAAUCUCCUGUAUUGAAUUCCCUCUCACUUCUCCUCUCAUCAGCAUACUUCUUCAUCCUUUCUUGAGCCUGUUUCAAGUUCUGCUUCAGUAAGCUGUCAAUCUGUUGUCUUUCCUUGAUAUACUCUUCUACUGUAGCUACUCUGGGCUGCUGAUAAGGUCCCAGAGCUAGUUGGGGAGGGGGAAUGCCAUAUAGUGCUUCAAAAGGGGUCAUCUGAAUAGCAGUGUGAUAGGAGGUGUUGUACCACCAUUCUGCCAUAGUUAACCAUUGGUUCCAUUUUCUAGGUUCUGUAUGAGUCAGGCAUCUGAGGUACAUUUCCAGCACCUGAUUUACUCUUUCUGUCUGGCCAUCAGUUUGUGGAUGAUAGGCCGUGCUGUAGUUCAGCUUGGCCCCCAGCAUACUGAACAGUUCCCCCCAGAAUUGACUAACAAAUAUCCUAUCUCUAUCUGAAAGCAUGCACUGAGGAAUCCCAUGAAGUUUACUAACAUGAUCAAUGAAGAGCCUGGCUACCUUUGGGGCAUCAAAAGGAUGAGUGAGACUGAUGAAGUGAGCAUAUUUUGUGAAUCUAUCUACUAUCACCAUUAUGGUAUUCUUUCCUUCUGACUGAGGCAAUCCUUCAAUGAAAUCCAUGGUGACAUGGCUCCACGAAUGUUGAGGUGUAGGCAGGGGCUGUAGCAGGCCUGGAUAAGCUACAUGUUCAUCCUUACACUUCCUGCAUGUGUCACAUUCCAGAACUUUCUCCCUGAUAGCUUGGUACAUUCCUGGCCAAUAGAACAGUAGCUUGGCUCUCUGGUAGCUAGCCUGGACUCCUGAGUGUCCCCCUAUUUGAGAGUUGUGUAGAGCAGUGAUGAUCUUUUCCCUGAUGUCUCCCUGUCCUCCUACUACCAGCCUUUUCUUGUAUCUGAGUAUAUCAUCUUGGUAGGAGUAAUCUGGCACCUGUGUGGGGGUCAGGAGCACCUGUGAUAUGGUUUCCUUGAUCCAAUUGUCUCCCUUAUAGCUCUCCUGCACUUCUCUGAUCCAGGUAGGUACUGCACAAGAUAUGGCUGAGCAUUCUUCUCUGCCUUGCCUAGAAAGUGCAUCAGCAGCCACAUUGUCUUUCCCUUUCUUGUAGUGAAUCUCAUAUCUCAGUCCUAGUAACUUGGUGAGCCACUUCUGCUGGAGGGGGGUGGUAAUCCUUUGUUCCAGCAAAUACUUCAAACUCUGGUGGUCAGUGUUUAUGAUGAAGUGGUGUCCCUCCAAAUAAUGCCUCCACUUGGAUACAGCAGUCACUAGUGCCAGCAAUUCCUUCUCAUAGAUGGAUAGUCCCAUAUUCUUUUGUCCCAGGGAUUGGCUGAGGUAGGAGAUGGGUCUCCUGUCCUGCAUUAGUACUGCACCUAUGCCAUGGUAGCAGGCAUCGGUUUCAAUGAGGAAUGGUUGAGUGAAAUCAGGUAUGGCUAGGACAGGGGUGCUGCACAUGGCCUCCUUUAACUCCUGAAAGGCUUUCUCUGAAUCCUCACUCCAGUGGAAGUUGUCCUUCUUCAACAGGUUGGUCAAAGGCCUUGCUAUGGCCCCAUAUCCCUUGACAAAUCUCCUGUAGUAGCCUGUCAACCCCAGAAAUCCCCUCAACUGCUUAAUAUUUGUUGGUUUUGGCCAGUUCUUCAUGCACUCGAUCUUCCCUAGGUCAGCCUGCACCCCUUCUGCUAAAAUUAUGUGUCCCAAAUACUCCACCUGCAGUUGUGCAAAGGAGCAUUUACUCCUCUUGGCAUAUAGCUGGUGCUGCCUCAGGAUGUCCAAGACCUCAGUUACUUGCUGAACGUGUGCCUCCAUGGUUGGACUGUAGACCAGUAUAUCAUCAAAAAACACCAGUACAUGUUUUCUCAUCUGCUCCUGGAAGACUUGGUUCAUCAAGCUCUGGAAGGUUGCAGGGGCAUUGGUCAAGCCAAAUGGCAUGACCUUGAACUCAUAGAGUCCUUGAUGUGUCCUGAAGGUUGUCUUUGGAAUGUCCUCCACCUUGACCCUGAUUUGGAAGUAACCUGCCCUUAAGUCAAUCUUAGUGAAGUACCUGGCCCCAUGCAGCUCAUCAAUCAGCUCUUCAAUCAAGGGCAUAGGGAACUUGUUCUUAAUUGUCAGCUCAUUCAGUUGACUAUAGUCCACACAGAAUCGUCAUGAUCCAUCCUUCUUCUUGACUAGCAACACUGGAGAGGCAAAGGGGCUGCUGCUAGGCUGUAUGAUGCCUAUUUCUAGCAUUUCCUUCACUAAUUUUUCAAUUUCUGUUUUCUGUACGUAGGGGCAUCUGUAGGGCCUUACUUGAAAAGGCUUGGCUCCUUCCUUCAGAUUAAUCUGGUGAUCAUGGCUUCUGGUAGGUGGCAUCCCCUUAGGCUCUUCAAAAACAUCUUGGUACUGGUCCAGAACUUGACUGAUUUCAGCAGGUGUUUGCUUUGGAUCAGCUGCCUCCACCACUGCUGCCAAUUGUGCUACUACCCCAUAAGGUUGCUUCCUCAGCCACCUCUUCAGCCUGUUCCCCUUGAGUCCUCUCAGCUUGACACUGCUAUCCUCCCCUCUUAGCACUACCUUAUGUUUUCCUUGGUGGAUCCUCAUACUGAGGUCCUUGAAAUUGAACUCUAUGGGACUAUGCUUUGCCAAUCAGUCUACUCCUAGAAUCAUGUCACAGCCUCCCAACUUAAGAGUGUUGAAGGUGUGCUGGAAUUGGUGUCCCUGCAUUUCCCACUGCAGGGGUUUGUCCAAUCCCUUUGAAUCCACCUUUUCACCAUUUGCCACAUUGACCAACAAGCUAGGCCCCUGAGUACCAAGCCUCAGUUCUAUUGCUAGUUGUUCAUCAAUAAAGCAGUGGGUGCUGCCACUGUCUAUUAAGGCAGUGACCUGUCUUCCUUUGGUCAAACCUUUAAGUUUUAUGGUCCUGUGUCCUGCACCUCCAGCCAAGGCGUGCACAGACACCUCUAUAUGUUCAUCAGCCAGCUCUCCAUUAAUACAGUCACAGUACACCUCAUCCCCCUGUUCUUCACUCCCUCCUGUAGCCCCCUCCUCUUCAGCCAAUAGAUAGUGAACAUGGGACUGUUUGCAUACAUGUCCCAUGGUAUAAGGUUCUGCACAUUUAUAGCACAAUCCCUUCUCCCUUCUCAGGUUAAACUCUUCAGGAGAAAUCCUUUUGAAUUGAUUUUGGUUGAGGGAAUUUUGGUUAUAGGUUCUAGGAGUGUGUUUGGGGUUAUCCUGGUUCCAUUUGGGAUGAGUAAGUGCCUUUAAUGGCCCUUUCUGGCUAUGGAAACUAGCAGGAGCAGGUUUGUGUAUCUUUUGUAUGGCCUUAAGGUUCCUUUCUUGCAGUUUAGCUAUUUCAAUGGCAUCAGCAAGAGAUUCAGGUUUAGAUAUCUUAACCAUAUUAACAAUUUCCUCUUUCAGUCCACUCAUAAAACAUGCUUUAUAGUAGGAAUCAGACAAAUGUGGUAGGGAUGGCAUUACCAGGGCUUUAAGCAUCUCGAAUUUCUCCAGAUAAUCAGCUACUGAUCCAGCUUGUGUCAGCUUGUUAAACUCCUCGAUGGCCUCUUCAGGUUUCCCUUCUCCAAACCUGACACACAGAGCAGUAGUCAGCUCCUCCCAGGGUAUGAUCUCCCUUCCAUGGAACCAAAUGUCUGCCCUAUCCCUGAAGUAGAGCUCAGCCACAUCAGAUUUCAUAUCGUCUUCUACUCCAUGUAUCUUGAAGUAUUUGUUGGCCUUCCUGAUCCACUCUCUAGGAUUGUCCCCAGUGAAAACUGGUAGGUCCAUCUUAGGUAUCUUGUGGUCAUUCCUGAACUCUCUCCUUCCAGACGAUUCUCUCCGUGGAUCCAAUUUAGAUCCUUCUGGUUGAGUUACCUCCUUAGAACUGCUGCUUCCUUCCUGGUCUUUGCCUCGAUCAUUCACCUUAGACAUAAGUUGAGCCAUCAUGUUCAUCAUUCCCUCAUAUUUCUGAUCAAUCCCCUUCAAUAGCUUUUCAGUAGCAUCUUGCCUGAAUUCCAUUGAUCUGAUAGCCUGCUCCAUUCCCUCAUUUUUGUUAGUGAAGGUCCUGACCACACUGCCGAGCUCCACUAUCUCCCUCCUCAGAGUCUCAUCCUGAUUUUUCGUCAUCCCUAUGGCUUGUUACCUCAGCUCUGAUACCACUGUUGUGGUACAGAACCUAAGAUCCAGCUGGGAAUGGAAAAUAAUGCUGAAGUAAUCGAACUUUUAAUUGACGCUCAAAUGAAUUGCAAACUCAAUUGAAUGAACCACUAAUUUAUUGAUGAACUUCAAAUUGGAUACAGAAACAGAUUUGGCGGGAAAAGGAAGAAGGGGAAAAAGAAUGCAGGAAACUUGAGGGAAAAGACAGAGGGAAUAUUUCCUCUCUGAUUGUAGAACAAAUCUAGACAAAAAGCUCCCUAUCUAUUACACGAUCAAUUCAUUUAUAGGAAAUUAUCCUAACUAACUUAUUUCCGUAGCUAAUAAACAAAUGACACGUGUGGUAGGAAUCUCAGGUUGUUUGGAUUCCAGUUCUCGUACAGAAAGCAUGAACCCAGAAUGGGCGUGCUUCCUUGGUCGCGCCUUUGUUGCUUCUCCCGCACCUUCCCCUUUGCUGACUUCGCGCCUUCACUCUUUUGCUCCCAUCCACUUGUCGUUAUUUGUUGGUUCGCGCCUUUCCUUGCCUGUCCUUGCUAUCCCCACGCCUUUCCCUUUGUACUCCCCACGCCUUCUUACCUCCAGCUACCUACUUCAUUACAAAAACGCAUUUUCAGUUUGCGUAUUGGGGUAUUUUGUGUGCAUGGGAUGUGUGGGCUGGGGAAGCGUAGAACAAGAAGAGUUUGAUAUGUUGACAAAGGAAACGAUUGAAAACUCGAGUUUUGUUUCUUAUUUAUGAUUUGAGGUCAUGAUGCAAUAGGUCUAGGCAUUUGAGUGGAAUUUACUUUGAAAUUUCAUUUGGAUGACACUAUAUAUUCAUUUCUUGGUUCAUUUGUGACAAAAAAAAACUCGUACCAUUUGAUAAGUAUACUAGUUUUGGGCAUAAGCUUAAAUUAGUUAUUUGUUUCAUUUGAAGAACCACAUAAUUCUGCUUUCUAGAGCUGAUUGGACAAAAAUUUUACCAUACAACUCCAUAAAUUUUCCACAAAAAAAAAGUCAUCUUCACAUAAUGAAAAUGAAGAUAGGUACAUUUGUCAACUCAAUUGCCAGUGAAGUAUUUAUAAAGGAAAUUUUAAUCUACUUUUUCAUUUCUUUUGCCUUGAUUCUUUUUUGUUUCAAACUUUACAUGUAUGUGUGCAAUAGUCCCCACCGCAGUUUCCUCCUUCCUCUACUCUUCUCCUCUUCUUUAGUCGCAAUAGCAAGCUUCCUCUGUUUUUUGAGCUCCAUAAUCUUCCGAAGAGGAUAGGAUUAAAUUUUUGUCUGAACCUCAUAUUGUAACCAAUUCCAACUAUCAACAGGAAAGAAACAGUAAAUAUUUACUAUUAUCCAAACAUUAAAUGAAGGCAGAACUAACAAGAAAGCACAAAGGAGAUUUUAAGCAUAAAGUGUGUGUGAUUACCAAAUUCCCAAUUCCCAUGAUACUCACCUGCAUAUGCACAAAAUGUUCAAAUGCAGUUUGAAAUUCCCAGUUCCCGUGAGAAAUGGUUGAUACAUGUCUGUAUAUGCACAAAAAGGUUCAAACGCAGUUCAAACGCAGCAAGAUAAAGGAUCAUUCUCCUUGUCUACAAGUAUGAUCUUUUCUCUGCAAUGUGAGUAGGGAAGGCCUGCAACGUGCUUAGUCCCUUCAAUAUAUCAUAUUUGCAAUAGCUGCACAAAGUCAAUCAAGAGCUUGAAUCUCACACUGCAAAUCCCAUCACUAAAUUUUUUCUUUUGACUAGGAAAUUACAUUUGAAAGUUUCUUAUCCUCUAAUCAUGACUAUAUUAAAUUCCAAUUCAACACAUCAUCUUUUAGCUACUAAUUAGAAUCCACCACAGAAAAAGAGGAAGUAACAAAACUUCCAACAAAUUAAUGUAAAAUUCCUCUAUUUCAUUAACAUUCUUUUCCAAAUUUCCCAAAAAAAAUUUGAGAAAAAACCAUAGAAAAUCUCUCCAUACAACCUGGAUAAGCAAGUAAGAGGAAACCUGCUGUGCAGUUAUAAAAAAUUCUCAAAAAAGGCCCAGUUUGUAUUUGAAACAGUGGUUGUAGAGCAUUGAAUCAUCUCUAAUGUCCUAAAUGACUUCUUUCUGAAAUCCAAACAAUAUCAAAAGUUCAUCACCUUUUCUCUUCUAAGCUGACUACUGAGCCAAAAGCUAAAAAUAAUAUGCAAACCUAGUUGGUUCAAUGAUUUUUUUUUUCCAAAUUUGCAAUAACUUGAACUGAAUAUAUCAUAUUUCUUCAACAAUAUAGAGGGUAUAUCAUUAUAAAGCUGGGCAGUCAUAAAAUAUACAAUAGCAGAUGGAUAUUGCUAUGUACUUUCCAAUCUUGCUAGCACAGAUGCUUUCCUCAAUGCAAAGGCCAUGUUUUUUCUACUUUUGUUUUUAUUCAGAUAUGAAAGCUCUCAACUUACACAAUGCCCAUGCUUUUUCAACUCUUAAUACCAUAAAAAACAGAAGAGGAAAAGAGAAUGCAGAGCUAUCCUAAGUGAUAACUUAAAAAACUCCAGCAACAUUAUAACAACAGAAAAGCCAAAAUGUGCCUAAAUAAAUCCGAAAUUGCUGUAAUUUAAAACAAUUAUAAAGCUGCGACUGAGCUCAUGUUGGUACUGAACUUGACUGGUAUAAGUUCACUUAAUUUUCAUCGAUGGGAAAUUGCAUGAGAAGUAUAGCAGUCGACUCUAAUGAAAUCAUAUGACCCUUUAACCAAUUGUUCUAUUCAUGCAUGAAUCUUGGAAGCACAGCUCUCACAAAAGCCGCAAUGAUGAACUGAUAGUCACCAAUAAUUUUGCAAUCCUAUUAUUUAUAUUAAAAAACAGAGUGAAUUUAAUAAUGGAAAAAUCCUACAAUUAAACCACACCUUCCCUAAAAAUCACGAAUACUGAUUUCUAGUUGCUGGACAAAAACCAAUAACAGCAUCCAUUACAACCAACCCAAAGAAAGAAGUUGAUCAUAGCUAAACUUCCGGUAAAUAGCAUUUUUGUGGAUAUAUAACCCCAAGCGCAUCAUUGGGAAGGGCUAUCCGAAAUAAUCUAAUGUAGAAAAUUGCAAGAAAAAGCAAUACCUAUUAUGUGAUGUCAAGGCCCAACAUUGAAUAUCACCACAGUAUUAGAUUUAGAAAUUAAUUUUGAUGCCCAGUAUCCUAUACCGCCUUUGAUUUUUAAACUUUAUCAAAAUACCAAAGUAAAGUUGGGAACUUAGCAAAAUCAUGCGUGAAAAGGCUCAGUAUUCAAUGCCAAGAGGGAGGAAUAGUGCCAUGGCUGCAACCCAGUUGCGUGCAAGCGAGGGGAACUAUUAAAUUUGUUCCCAUCUCAGAUCUGCCAUUCGAGUUGCCCUGCCAUGGAAUGGGUCCAUAACCUCCAUGCCGAAUUCAUAAACCACUACAAAAAUAACAUCAUAGCCGGCAUUAUGAAUUUUGCUAUAACAGAUUCCAUUGGAGGCAGUUUGGAUAUAGAAUUUAGGUUGGAUUAGGAGGGUGAAAGGGAAGAAGGAAAUUUCUCAAAGGGAUAAGCUCAUUAAGAGGAUAGAAGGACAGAGUACAGGAGAUGGUGAAAGCAAGGGGUGGGCGCUCGACGGGGCGAAUUACUCAGAUUAUAGCCGAACAAAAAAAAAAUCGCACAUGUACCGAUUUGACAAUGUUAUUGUACAAAUUUAUGGGUACCGGGCUGACACGGCCCGGCACCCAAGUUUCAUCAAAAUUUUUUCUUUUAUAUCUGGCACCGCCCGGCAGCGGGAAAAUUUUUUUUAAAAGAAAAAACUGUCUACUACCGGGCUGACAAUGCCCAGUAACCAACCAAGGCUGAAAAAGAAAGCUGGCUGCCGGGCUCUCUCUGCCCGGCAGCCAGUCAAAUUGAAAAAAAAAAUUGCAAAGCGCCUGACUUGCAAGAGAACCGUUUGAAACCAAGGGCUUUGCAAACAUGCAAUCUUCCUAUUUGGGCUUUGCAAGGGCUUUCCAAUUGCUAAAUUGGAAAGAGUGAGCAACAUUCGUUGGGAAUCUAAGAGCUGGGAAUGUGCGAAAAAAAAAUUCUAGGUUAUUCCCAACCUUUUUUUUUAACUAACUUAGAUUCCCAAAUAAAUUAACAAAUUCUAUUUUUCUUGUCAUGUCAUGCAAGAGUUUAAACUUAUUGUUUGAAUAUUUCAAAUUUUACAUGAAACGUUAUCAAUACUUAUUCCUUUCUUAUUUUUCAAAAAUAGUUUGAUUGUGAUAUCACUCCAGAUACUCAUUGGAAAAAGGCCAACUCUACUAUGUGGAGACGGACGAAGAAGUAUAUUCGGGCACCGGAGAAAGUGAAUUAUGCAUGCAUCAAAAAUAUUAUAUAUUUUAAAAUCACAAUAAAAGUUCUCUUAAAAAUUUAUUCAUCAUCUAAUGUCCAAUACUUAUAUUCGAUAAAUUAAAAUAGUUAAUUAAAUAUUCUAUUAUAAUAUAAGUAACUAUAUAUUAUUGAGUCGAAUGAAUAAUAUUUGCUUUUUUCUUUUUGUGGUAUUUCAACUAGUUGUCUAUUAAGUUUCAAUUGGAAUAAGGAUUUUAUAAUUAUUUAAAUUAUUCAAUAAAAUUAUCAAUUUAAGAUGAACAUAAAUAUAAAUACAUUAAAUUGUAUUACUGAAAUAUUUAAUUUAAUAUGAAGGAAAGACAAGAUGAAAUAGCAAGAAAUUUUUUAAAAAUUCAUAUAAGUACUUUAUAUUAGUAAUCACAUUUAUUUGUUAUUAUAAUUAUAACACCUGAUCAUAAUUGAUUGAAACUCAUAUCCUAAUAUUAUUUACAACUAAAGUUACUAUAUACUGAAAUUAAAAUUUUCUUUUUUGCACUAAAUUUUCUUUUAUAUUUACGCCUCAAUUAUUUAAAAUAUGAAAUUCAAUUAAAAAAUAAAAUGUACCACAAUAUUUGUUUUGACAUAUACAAAAUUCACUAAAUAAUGUUAAAAAUUUCAAAUAUGAUCCAAUACAACAAUUUCGCCCUUAUUUUUUUUGUCCACUUAUCUGCUACGUACUAACUUUCUUUUUUCGUUCAGCUUUUUUGCUUCACGGGAGCUGCCAGCCUUCUUCCUUUUUUGUCCACAACCAUGCUUUGCAAUUUUGGUUCACUAACUUCCCUUUUUUGGUUCAGCUUUUUCUUUCUUUCCGCUUUGCAAUUUUUUUUUUAAAUAACUUGACUGGCUGCCGGGCAGAGAGAGCCCGGCAGCCAAUAGCUUUUAAAAAAAAAAAAAAAUUCCCGCUACCGGGCUGUGUCGGCAUAGAAGUAAAAAAAAAAAAAAAUUUUAUUCAAGCUUGGGUACCGGGCCGUGUCAGCCCGGUACCCAUAAAUCUGUCCCAAACCAUUGUCAGAUUGGUAUAUGUGCGAAUUUUUUUUGUUCGGCCAUAAUCUGAGUAAUUGGCCGCUUGACGGAGAAUGCAAAGAAUAUAGGGUCUGUUUGGUUGGAAGUAAAAUGUUUUCCUUGGAAAAAUAUUUUCCGUGGAAGUAAUUUUUCAUGAAAAUCAUUUCCCUCUCAUCAUUUUCAGGUGUUUGAUUAGUUUAUUGAAAAUAUUUUCUUACUUCAUUUUUCUGGUGUUUGUUUAACUUUUAAAAUAUUUUUACUUUUAUCUCUAUCUUUACUUUCUACACAUUAUAACUACAUACUUCUUCCCAUGCAAAAUAAGAAAAUUUAUCUCAUUGUUUAACUUUUAAAAAUCUUGGAGAAAUGUAUAUAUGAAUAAAAAAUAUCUCCUUAAGCAAUAAACAAAUUGCUGGCCAUUUAGUGUCAAAUAUCAAUCAUAUGCAAUGCUUAUUGUGACAUAUAUCUUGCACUGUCACCGCUAAAAGUUCUCUAGACAAGAAUGUCCCUAUUAUACAUAAUUAAUUACUAGCAUAGGAUGAGCAGGAUGAAAUUUUUUUUUAUUUUGAAUAUACUAGGGGGAGGGUUGGGUGGUAUGGGAAAGGGAGUGUAAGGAAGAGGUCUUGGGUUCGAAUCCUCCUGUUUACACUAAAAAAAAAAAGAACAUACAACAAGAUGUUUUCAGUAAGUUUGGAACAUAUUACAGGCGGGAUGCAUGCAUUUCGAAAAACAACUUCAAUAAGUUUGGAAGGGAAGUUGUUUUCCAUAAGAUGAGUGAAAAUAUUUUACAUAGGAAAAUAUUUUCAGUAACUUUUGUGCAACCAAACACGGGAAAUUAGGAAAAUAUUUUCCUGGAAAACAUUUUCACUCAAAACAAACGGACCCAUAAUCGCUGCCAUCAGGUACUGUAUCUGAAAAGCGCGAAAAAACACGUGGCAUCUCAGCCCAUGACAGCAAGAAUGAAAUGGCAAUAUCAAAGCAAAUUUCUUUCCCGUGAUCGUGAGGCAUUAGUUUCUGGGUUUAAGGUCCAUGAGUGGCCGGUUCUAUUACCAAUUGGCUGAACGUGGUUGCUUUGUGGGUCCCAUCUUAGAUUGCUCGUUUGGGCUAUUCUUUGAUGUUCUCCGAGUAUUUAAUCUAAUUGUGUACGUGGAUUCUUGAUCAUUUGUGAGAAAAAAACCACUUGUGUGGCGAGGUUGUGCUCGGGGGGAUAGGGGCAUCCCGUCCCACAUCGAAAGAUCGUGGGGCAUUAGUCUCUGGGUUCAAGAUCCAUGAGUGGCCGGUUCUGUCACCAAUUGGCUGAACCAGGUUGUUUUGUGGAUCCCAUCUUAAAUUGCUCGUUUGGCCCGUUCUGCGUGGAUUCUUGAUCAUUUGUGAGAAAAAAAAAAGGCAAAUUUCUUUCUGUUGACCAAAAGACGCUCAAUUAAUGGAGCAGAAAAUCGAGAACGCCCUUUAAAGACCACGGAAUCACGUUGAAACCAGACGAAAUUAUUGCCCCUCAUAAAGUCAAUAUUUACGUUGAAAUCGGACGAAAGUCACUUUUCAAAAGAAGCAUUGACGCUUUAUUUGUAUGUUAUGAUUUAAGGAAUAUGCGAAAGCGCCCCAAGCCAGUGGCCAUUUGGUCCACUAGUCAUCACCAUCUUUGGUGAUGCUGGAGAUCAAGGUUCAACCCCUACCUCCCACAAAAAAACUUGUCACUUUGGGUCUGUUUGGUUGGAAGUAAAAUAUUUUCCUUCGAAGUAAUUUUCAUGAAAAAUUACUUCCCUUUCAUGAAAAUUUUCCGUUGAAGUAAUUUUCCAUGAAAAUCAUUUCCCUUUCAUCAUUUUCAGGUGUUUGAUUAGCUUAUUGAAAAUAUUUUCUUACUUCAUUUUUCUGGUGUUUGUUUAACUUUUGAAAUAUUUUCACUUUUAUCUCUAUCUUUACUUUCUACAUAUUAUAACUCAUACUUCUUCCCAUGCAAAAUAAGAAAAUUUAUCUCAUUGUUUAACUUUAAAAAAUCUUGGAGAAAUGUAUAUAUGAAUAAAAAAUAUCUCCUUAAGCAAUAAACAAAUUGCUGGCCAUUUAGUGUCAAAUAUCAAUCACAUGCAAUGCUUAUUGUGACAUAUAUCUUGCACUCUCACUGCUGAAAGUUUCUCUAGAAAAGAAUGUCCCUAUUAUACAUAAUUAAUUACUAGCAUAGGAUUAGCAGGAUGAGAUUUUUUUUUAUUUUGAAUAUACUAGGGGGAGGGUUGGGUUGGGUUGGGUGGUACGGGGAAGGGAGUGUAAGGAAGAGGUCUUGGGUUCAAAUCUUCCUGUUUACACUAAAAAAGAAAAAAAAAAGAACAUACUACAAGAUGUUUUCAGUAAGUUUGGAACAUACUACAGGCGGGAUGCAUGCAUUUCGGAAAACAAUUUCAGUAAGUUUGGAAGGGAAGUUGUUUUCCAUAAGUUGAGUGAAAAUAUUUUACAUAGGAAAAUGUUUUCAGUAACUUUUGUGCAACCAAACACGGAAAAUUAAGAAAAUAUUUUCCUGGAAAAUAUUUUCACCCAAAACAAACGGACCCUUUAUGUGGCUGGUCUUCUGCCCCCACGGGAUAGCUCGAACGGUCCGCUCCCCCUCCUUAGGGUAUGGCGACCUUCCUGACUUGUCCAGGGUUCGAAUCCCGUUGUUAACGUGCUCGGAGUGGAGUGGGGCCUCCUCUCCCGGGUCGCAGGGGAUUAGUCGGACCCCGUAAGGAUUGACCCGGACACCCUUGUGUUGACAAAAAAAAAAAAAAGGGAAAGCGCCCCAAAAAAAAAAAAAUCUUGUUCUCUUACACUUUUUCAAGUUCAUAUUUUUAGGUAGUAUCCCACUGAGAAAACUAAAUUUUCAUCAUUCAAAAGUCAGAUUUUCUCCCAUAACUAUUGACAAUUUUUAAUUUGUUUCAGCCCGGGGACUGAUUUCAGACAAUUUAGGAAUAAAAGUACAUAAGCAUGAAUUUCACAAAUUAAACUGAGUAUUGGGAUUGAGGGAGAGGCAAGUUCUUUUGUGUCCUUUUUUUUGUGUAUAUUAUGUUGUUUAGUUUAGUGCCAAAUAUUGGUCCAAGAUGUUAAAGCCACUCUUUCUAAGCAAAGAUGCUAGGAUUUAACUUUUAUGUUGUCUUUGAAGCACUCAUGUAGUAAGAUUUUGUAGUAACAUUGUACUAAAAUUAGUAAAGCCAGAAAAUAAGAAGGAAACAUAAGAGUUGUUUUAUUUAUUCUGUUUUCAUAAAUAUAAAUAAUAGCACUAAAAUAGUUUAAGAGAAAUUGAUUUUUUAGAGUUUGAACGUCUUGCCUUAAAACCACCCAUUGAGAAAUUAGUCACAUAUAUGCACACCUUUGUUUCCUCAAAAUAAUCUUUUGUUUCUUCAUUGCAAGUGUGGCAGUCCUGUUUGGAUUGCUAUUUUUAUGAUUUUUAUAUAAAAAAAUAUAUUAUAGUAACUUGAUAUAUGUGAGGCAAAAAUGUGGUUGAAAAAUGUGUUUAAAAAAUUUUUUUGAUAGAAAACCAUAAUCUAAGCACUUUUACAAAACAAUUACAAAUUUGAUACCAAUGUAUGUUGGAGGGGUGGGCAAAAUGGUCCCUUUUAGUGUGUAUUUUAUGCAAAAAAAAAAAAUGUAGUUCCAAAGUUUGAAAGAUGAACCAAUCUGGACCCUUAUAUUUGGACACAAUUAAUCUAGUUCCUGAUUUUCCCCAAAUUUAAUCAUGGGUAGAUUUCUAUAUGCUCCCAUUGUGGUUUCACAUUAUACCACUUAUUCCCUUUUGUUCAAUAGUAUUAUUCAAUUUCUCUAUAUUUUAUAAAAAGUGAACAAAAAAAGACGUAAAAGCAAUUCCAAUUAUAUUAAGGGAUAAUUUUAGAAACAUUCCCUGAGGUUUCUAACGAUUUCACUGGUCUCUCAUGAGAUUUGUAAAAUUACACUUAUCUCCCUUAGUAGAAUGGUGGGCCCAAUUAUAUCACAUGGGAAAAAUUACUCAUAUACCCUAAGACAUUAUGUCUUAUAGAAACUAAUAUCUAAUGAUUGAGUAAUUAGAUCACUAAUUAACUAUAAGUAACUAAUUAAUGAAAAUAAUUGUUGAAAUUUUCUUUAAUGAUGAAUAGUGACUUGCAAUUGUAAGAUAAGGCCAAUUGAUAUACCAGAUGGUGCUAUUUUGUGAUUGAUAGAACUUGACAAUAAUUAAAAUCUAGUUAUACACAAUGUGAGAAGAAGAGCUUUGGUAAAAGGAAAAACAUAUGGCAAAAGAAGAUUGUUCAUGGAAAUUUUUUUUUUUAACUCUUAAAACUAUAAUAGUUAUAAAGUAAUUUCAUGGAAAUAAAGAAGAAAUAAGGGAAAAGAAAGGCGAAAUUUAAAAUUUUUUUCUGUUCAUAAUCACAAGAAUUAUAGUAAAACCUAAUGUUAAGAGUGAUGACCGGUCUAUUAUACUAAAUCUUAUGAUCAUUAGUAUAGUUUUAUUGUUUAUUUGUGUUGUCUAAUGUGUUGAAUGUGAACUUUUUGAAUAGUGAAAUGUAUGUAUUAAUUAUUUCUAACUUUUAAUUUUUUUAUGCUUUUACUAAUACAACUUAUAUACAUGUAUAAGGGGUAUUUAUGGGAUAAAAGUUUCAUUUUUCUCCUUAAAGUAUUUUUAAAUGUUACUUUUUGUGAUUUGGAUUAAUUUGUUACUAAAACAUUAAUCUCAAGGGAGGUUUGUGCAAUUUUACAAACCUCAAGGGAAGUAGUGAUAUUGUCAGAAACCUUAGGGGAGGUAGGGGAGGUUUCUGAAUUUAUCCCUCAUAUUAAUUGAUGCAAACAUGUUUCAAAAACGCGUGUGAGGCAUGAAAUAUAGAAUAUCCACCCAACCCCACAGUGAUUUCACAUUCGACCACAUGAUCUUCCUAUGAUUUUAGGUAAAGUGGUUAGGAUCUUGUUAUAUUUCAUAUUUAAAUAAGAACUUAAUUGAAAUUUUAACGAAUGCCGUUACUAGAUGUGCUUUUUUUUUGUUAUAUUACUAGAUGUGCUUCGAAUCAAUUUUACAUCUAAAACUACAGGGGAUAAGUAUAUGUUAAAACAUAACUAGUGGACUGAUUAUGUGGUCGAAGGCGAAACAAAUGGGGGGUAAAUAAUAAUUUACAAUUCAAUUAAUGUAACACAAACCAACCCAACAUGGUUGUAACUAGUGUUUAGCUAACUUGAUAACUAGCUCUCGAAUGGCACUUGUGAAUUCUUGAAAAGUUGCUUACACCAAGGCUAUUGAUUGAAUUAGGGACUAGAUCCCUCUUUAUUGUGUUGGAGAGAACUUCUCUAUUACACUAAUAAAAUUAAUUUAGAACUUUUAUUUUUUAAAGUUAGCACCAUUUAUAAUGUACUUCAUCACUAGUAGUUAUAUACAAAAAUUGGUUUGAACAACAAAGAAUAGGUCAAAAUCCUAACAAAAUUUGUAAUGAUGAAUAAUAAGAGACUUAAUAUUUGAAACAAAAGUGAGAUUUUAGUCAAUUCUCCAAAGAUUAGGGACCAAACUCGCAAUUCUCCCUUGCUUUUAUAGUACUACAACUCCACAAGGGUUAGUGUUAAGCGAAGAGAAAUUGUACGCAAAUAAAAAGAUUGAUAAACGUCACAAUCUUAUCUGCACAAGGCAAAGCAAAGGUAAUAUUCAUCCACAAUUCAAUAAAAGAAACUCGAUAUUUAUAGUUUCAUAUGUAUUUUAAAUUUUUCCUGUCACUGUAAACUGCGUUUGUCCUUGACGGGUCACCAUUUUAUUCCACGUCAACAUGUCAUGGUUAAAAUCUGGAAACCUUCUAUAGCCUUUAUCCAUUAUCCAAAAAAAUAUAUAUAAUUAGUAAAAAACAAAAAAGUUUACAUUAACUAAAAUUUCCUUUAGUGAUUAACAAGAUAGAGAGUGAUUAAAAAAAAUGAAAAAGAUAGAGAGUGAUUAAAACUCUCACAAAGUUUUACAUAAAUUGAUCUCUCAUAAACAUCAAGGUCGAUUCUUAAAUCACUGAAAGGAUUCAACUCUCACAAAUUUUUAAUAUCACCCAAAUUGCUGAAAUUUCAACAACUGCUUGAAUCACAAUACAGACAUGCAUAAAAGCCUUCUAUUUGUUUCAUAGCAUGUGAUUGGGUAAUAGCAACAAAGUUAUUCCUCAAACACUUCCUGGGGCACUGCUUUAUUUUUCUUCAAGUUUUUCGAUAUUUAUUUCUUUUUAAAGGCAUUCUCCCAUGAUUUAGAGUCGAUCGGAUUUUAGAAUUUCUAAUAAGAAGAGAUUCAAAGGGAGUUGAAAGUUACGCUCACUAGACAAUUAGAUUGAAGGGGGUAAUAAAAAAAUUUUUAUCGUUGAAAGUGAUUAAUUGUUAUAAUGUUCAUGUAUGUAAAUAAUUUUAUCUCAAAAUCUAAAUAAUUUUAUAUAAUAUAUAUUUCAUUUCGAACUGGAUUGAUAAUCUGUUGAAAUGUACAAAGAAAAAAAAGAAAGAAAAUAUAUGUUAGCUUGUCAAUCUAAUUUACAUCUAAUAUAAUUGAGUGUUUAACAAUUAAUAUAUGUGAAAGAAAAGGAGAGAACUCAUGAUCAAAGAAACUAGUGGCAUUAUAAAACAAAGAAAAUAAAAAAAAGAAGUAAAAGAAAUUUAAACAGUAUUUGUAAUACACGUCUAAAAACAAUUUUGAUCUAAUUUAUUUAUCUUUUUAUUUAAAACUCUUAAUAAUAUUACUUAAAACUUAAGAAACUAUAACAAUUCAAACUCUAAAUAAAUGCAAAGUAAAACUGUUGGCUAAAGGUAAACUGAUUUUGACCAUGAGAAUUAUUGAAUUAUUGUCUAGUCAUAAAUUUGAUAAAAAAAAAGGAUAAAUUUUGGAGACCAAAUUUAUUUUGAUCAAAACAGUUGGGCCUAAUACUGGAUCAGAAAACUGAACUUCUCCAAGUAAAGAUGUUCAUUUCAAGUUUACAGUUUGAUAUGCAUUUUAGGUAAUAUUGACUUUUUCUUUGGUUCAUUUCAAGAGGACGGGGUGCAAAUGUCAUUUCCUAUUGUCGUCAAAUGUAUAAUAGAAACCAUUACGUGGAAUCUGACAAUCAUAGCUUCAAAACACUGGUGAAUCCAUUAACGACUGUUAAAAAUUACAACAUUUUCUAUAUAUGAAAGAUUUGGGAUUGCAGCUUGACCUGCAAUUACAUCACCACAACUCUGCCGGAGGGUUCCGAAUUCCAAACUUAUUUAUUCAAAGUCAAAGGUUAUCGGACCAGUGAGGCUGUUAUUACCCAAGUCUAAAUAGUCCAGACCUUCCAAAUGAUACAAUGACCUUGGAAUGCUUCCAGUGAAGUUAUUGCUGUUGAGGUUGAUGUGAUACAAGACUAGGUAAUUCAUCCAACAGUCAGGAAUUUCUCCUGAUAGAGAAUUCUCCCGAAGAUCCAGAUAUUGAAGAACUUGAUUUUCAUUCUUCACUUCACACAAAAUGUGAGAGAUGCCUCCUGAAAAUAAAUAGUUGGAAAUUAAGUUCUAAAUAUGUCAAUCAAUGAUAAAUUAAUUGGGUGUGUAGGCAAUUGAAUGUAGGAAAGGUCAAGGAGAUAUUUGAACUUCAAAGAUAUAAACCCUUAACAACUUCAGAGAUAUUUGAACUCUUACCAUGAAGUUGAUUGUGAGAAAGGUCUACGGUAUCCAAUGAUGAGUUGAAUAACCAAGGUGGAAUGGUAUCUAAAAUUCCCGUGAAUGACAAGUUCAAAUACUGAAGGAAUUUUUGUGAUCGGAUCCAUGUAGGAAAUUGGGGACCCAGCUUCCACGAGCCCAAUCCAAGUGUUUUAAAUUGGGUACGAGGAGUCCAACUUGCACUUACUUUUAAGGUCAAGGAGUUUCCAGAGGCAUUAAAAUCUAUGUUUUCAGACUCGGACCGGAUAUCGACUCGGCUGAGGUCAAGGGUCAGGGGUCAAUGGGUUCGACCGGGUUCAACCGGGGUUGAAUCGGAUGACGUCAUAAAUAUAUAUUAAUGAUAUAUAAUUAAAAUAAUAUAUAAAAAUUCCCUUUAAAUUGAUGGUUUAUAACUUUAUAUGCAUAUUUGAUGAGUUUGGAUUUAGUCCAAAAGAAAUGCACUUCAAAAUUAUAGGUAAAUUUGUAGUUUAAAAAAAUAUAAUGGGUGGAUUUUAUACUUCUUAAAAUAAUAUGGGGUCAAAUGAAAUUAUUAAAACAAUUUUGGAGCAAGCAUACCUAAUAUGAUGUUAGCCGCCGCCCCAAUUUGCUUUUGACUUUAUCCUGGCACCUUUUCGGCUUUUCUUUCUCUCAUUCACCGGAGCUCUUUUCUUGUACUUUAUCUCCACAAUAACUCCUUUCCUCCCAUUCCUUCUUCUUCCGCCCCAGUAAUACUCUUCCUAUUUCUUUGCCUUUUCCUCAAGUCUCCACGCUGCCUGCCGCUGCUUCAUUUAUCUUAUUGUCUUCCCAUCAUUGCCAAUCUUAUGUUUCUUUCAUCUUUUCGUUUUCCUGAUUUUUUUUUUACCUUUGCAAAUUUAAUUUGUUAAUUUUUUCUUUUUGAACUCAGAAAUCGUCUUUUCUUUUUUUUUUCUAAUUUCUCUUUUCUUUAUGUUUCUCCUUUCUACAAUUUUCUUUGUCUUUUUUUUCGUUUAUUGACAUGAGAUCUAUGAGAUCUUAUUUAAAAAUUAAUUAUAAAAGCUGGUUUUGAUUGAGUCCAUGCCAGCUGAUGAUAUGUGAGAAGAACAAGAAGGAAGCUAUGCUGCUGAGAACUAAACUCACAAGCGGGAAGAAAAAAGUUAGAAGGAAAGGAAAAAUGGAAAAGCCCGGUUUUAACGGUUCGUACCGGUUUCCGGUCGAACCCCGGUUUUGACCGGAUUUGACCGAGUUUUGGCCAACCGAGUUUUAAUGGCAACUCGGACCGGAUGCCUGACCGGUUCCCGGUUCAACCGGUCCAACCGGCCGGUCCGGUCCGAGUUUGAAAACAUGGAUUAAAAUGCCUUAAAGCUGUCAGAUUGUCGAAGUGACUAUCGCUCACAAUGCCUUCCAUUAAAUUGUCGUGAAUACGAAGCUCUUCAAGUUUGGGAAGCUGCCAAAGACUUUCAGGAAGAGUUCCAGUGAGUUUGUUGCGAGAUGCAUCCAAGAGCUCCAAGGAUGACAGUUUUCCUAAACUUGAUGGAAUUGAACCAGAUAGAGCAUUAUCAUUUAGCAAAAGUUCUUUGAGCUCGGUACAUCUUCCUAAAUUUGAUGGAAUUGAGCCAGAUAGAGCAUUAUCAUUUAGCCGAAGGUAUUCUAGCUUGGUAUAUCUUCCUAAAUUUGAUGGAAUUGAGCCAGAUAGAGCAUUACUAUUUAGCAAAAGGUAUUUUAGCUUGGUACAGUUGCCAACUGUACUUGGAAUUGGGCCGUUCAAGUGAUUAUCUGUUGCAUCAAGUCUAAUCAAGUCCUUCAAUGUGAAUACUUCACUUGGUAAAGAGGAGCUAAGAGUGUUAUUAGAUAGAUCAAGAUAUUGAAGGUUGGAAAUGUUGGCAAUAGAGCUUGGGAUAGAACCUCGAAACUGAUUGUUUGUAAGAUCAAGUGAAAUUAGGGCAGUUAAAGUCGAUAAUUGGCUUGGGAGGAAGGUAGCGAAGUUAUUAUCUGACAGAUCCAAAGAUGUAAGGGAGCUCCAAUUCCAAAUUCCUUCCAAGAAGCCGUCGAAAUCAUUCUCCCAAAGGUUGAGAGAAAUGAGAUUGUUAAGAUGAACAAGCUCGUUUGGUAGCGAACCAUUCAGAUGGUUCGUUGAAAGAUCCAAGUGCUGGAGGGAAGUCAAGUUCCAAGGACCUCUAGGCAAUGGACCUUCAAACAAGGUCAGACUUAAAUCAAGGGAAGCAAGGGUAGUAAGACCGAAAAUCCAUCUAGGGUAUCCAAGAAAAUUUCCAGAAAGAUCUAGGACAGUAAGAGAAGAAAAGUUGGCAUGGAAGACCAAUGUAUCUCUGCCAAGAUGAUGAGAAAUUAAAUGAAGCUGACAAUAGGACAGAUAUAUCUCUACCAAAGAAGGGAUCGUGUUAAUCACCUCUAGCCAAUUAGACGCUAGACUAAGGUUCACGCCACUCAUGUCUAGGUGCUCCAGAUUAGAGAGACCAGCCAACCAUUGCAGGUUAUCAACUUGAAGAUCGGACGGAUCUCCUCCUAUGCUUAAAGUGCGUAAACUUGACAGGUUUCCAAGCUGAUAGGGAACCAUUCCUUGAAAUCCAGCUCCAGAUAAAUUCAGGUACCUCAGACUUCUGAGAGACCCAAAAAAACUGGGAAUUGGA